AUUCUGUAUGUAAACACUUAUUCAGAAUUCAGCUUCAUUCUGCGAGGCAGGUCCCGUCGUCACACAGUGUCUCGGUACAUGCCAUAGUUAGUCUGACUCAGUAUCAAAAUAACAACCAAAAAGUAUACUCAAUGAAAGAGUCCGAAUCUUACUUAGAUACAUACAGGAGUCUGAAUCCUACUUAGAUACAUACACCAAGUUCACGUCCAAUGCCACAUCGUACCGGGCCGUGUAUACGUACAUGCCAUUGUCAGUCUGACUCAGUAUUAAAAUAACACCCAGAAAAUAUACUCAAUGAAAGAGUCUGAAUCCUACUUAGAUACAUACAGGAGGCCGAAACCUACUUGGAGGCAGGUAUCGCUGGUGCUACAAAUACACCUGUAUCUCCACGUGAUUCUUACACAAUCUCAAGUCUUCAGUUCAAUCAAAUAGAAUCAGUUUCACACGUCGCCUUCUAGAUACAUUUGGUUCAAUUAAGCUGCUAAGCUCCCAAGUCUGCUUAACAUCAGGUAUUUUCGUUGCGUAUUUUCAUAUACGACAUCCUUCAACAUCUUUUUCUUUUUGCGAAUUCUUCAACAUCUUUAUGAACACCGGUAACUGCCAUGAAAUGAAUAAGUUUAUCAUUAGCAAUUUGAAAUUUCCGAACAAAUAGUACACCAGACCGUACUUUGAGCAACAAAUUUACAAGAUUUUAUAUAUGACACAUUGAAUCAUAUUUAAACAUCAUUGUUGACAAGGAAAAAAUAGAUGCAAUUAUUGGACUAGAUUGCACACUGAACUAACAUAUACAAGUUUAAUCAAUUUUCCAUUUCUAAUAUUUCUUACACUUCCAAAACUCUCAUGCAGGCAAGCAUUUUGAUCACAUUCUCCAGAGAUGGAUGCUAAGGAAAGAAGAAGGAAACAAGACAGAGAGCGCUAUGAACAGAUGGCCAAUGAAAAAAGAGAGGAAAAACUCAAAAAAGGCCGUGAAGCCUAUCAACAAAAGAAAGAAAAAAUAUGCGCACAACAAAGGCAGAUAUAUGCAAAAAUGCAGCCGGAACAAAAGAAAGCUAGAAAAGAACAUAUCAAUGAAUUGAAACGCAACACAGCAAGCAAAGACUCCAUUGCACGGGAGAACCCUGCCUAUAUUGCAACUGAAAAAGAAGUUGGUACUUCUACCUUUCCUGAUUACAGAAAGCAUGUCACACCAGGAGAAAGGCAAACAUUGCUACACCGUCGUAACAAAGAAUUCACGACAAGACAGAGGCAUGUAUCAUCGAAACAAGAUGUAUCUAUGACGGAAACCGGCGACGAUGACACAGAACCUCUACAGCAACCAGAAGAAAUGAUUUACGGUAAUACUCUAAAUUUUACACAAUACUCGCAUUCAAAAUAAAUAUACGAAUGUUUGUAGAACUAACCAUCUUUUAUGGACAGAUAUCCCUAAUCAAUGUUUCCAAGCAUCAAAGAAGCGGAUACACCAACACAGACAUUCUACAAUGACGAUCAAAAUAAGGUGGCAUUGUGGCCAGACAUCCCGUCUUCAAUGUUUCCAGCAAUCAAAGAAGUAGAUGCACGAAUACAAACAUUAUACAAUGAUGUUCAUGGUAAGGUUAUAAAAUUUCUUAUAUAUUUUUAUGCAAUACAAAAAUUACAUAUAUAUAUAUAAAUAAUUAAUUAAUUACUACACAGGUAAGGAUGAGAUUAUAUGUGAGCAUGAUGCAACCAUGAAAGUGAAGGAAAAUGCCCUAGAGGCAAUAAUAAAGUUAUUAUUUAUUUCCUUAUAUCAUGAUAAAUGUUUAUUAUUCAUGCUAAAAUUGUAUUAACCAGAAACAUAAUACAUGUGUGAAUACAUAGACAAACAAAGUAUCACUAGUAUGCCUCUACUUGACUAGCUCGUUAAUCAAAGAUGGUUAUGUUUUCUAACCAUGAACAAUGAGUUGUUAUUUGAUUAACGGGAUCACAUCAUUAAGUGAAUGAUCUGAUUGACAUGACCCAUUCCAUUAGCUUAGCACCCGAUCGUUUAGUAUGUUGCUAUUGCUUUCUUCAUGACUUAUACAUGUUCCUAUAACUAUGAGAUUAUGCAACUCCCGUUUACCGGAGGAACACUUUGGGUGCUACCAAACGUCACAACAUAACUGGGUGAUUAUAAAGGAGUACUACAGGUGUCUCCAAAGGUACAUGUUGGGUUGGCGUAUUUCAAGAUUACGUUUUGUCACUCUGAUUGUCGGAGAGGUAUCUCUGGGCCCUCUCGGUAAUGCACAUCACUUAAGCCUUGCAAGCAUUGCAACUAAUGAGUUAGUUGCGGGAUGAUGUAUUACAGAACGAGUAAAGAGACUUGCCGGCAACGAGAUUGAACUAGGUAUUGGAAUACCGACGAUCGAAUCUCGGGCAAGUAACAUACCGAUGACAAAGGGAACGAUGUAUGUUGUUAUGCGGUCUGACCGAUAAAGAUCUUCGUAGAAUAUGUAGGAGCCAAUAUGGGCAUCCAGGUCCCGCUAUUGGUUAUUGACCGGAGACGUGUCUCGGUCAUGUCUACAUUAUUCUCGAACCCGUAGGGUCCGCAAGCUUAAGGUUACGAUGACAGUUAUAUUAUGAGUUUAUGCAUUUUGAUGUACCGAAGUUUUUUCGGAGCCCCGGAUGUGAUCACGGACAUGACGAGGAGUCUCGAAAUGGUCGAGACAUAAAGAUUGAUAUAUUGGAAGCCUAUGUUUGGAUAUCGGAAGUGUUCCGGGUGAAAUCGAGAUUUUACCGGAGUACCGGGAGGUUACCGGAACCCCCCGGGAGCUAGAUGGGCCAUAGUGGGACUUAGUGGAAAAGAGAAGGGGCUGCCCAAAGUGGGAUGCGCGCCCCUCCCUUCCCUUGGUCCGAAUAGGACAAGGAGAGGGGGCCGGCCACCGUCUCUCUCUUCCCCCCUCCGCGAAUCCUAUUCCAACUAGGAUUGGGGGGGGGGGAAUCCUACUCCCAGAGGGAGUAGGACUCUCCUGGCGCGCCUCUCCUAGGCCGGCCGCACCCCCCUUUAGUCCUUUAUAUACGGAGGCAGGGGCACCCCAGAAACACACAAGUUGAUCCACGUGAUCUUUUCCUUAGCCGUGUGCGGCGCCCCCAGCCACCAUAGUCCUCGAUAAUAUUGUAGCGGAGUUUAGGCGAAGCCCUACUGCAGUAGUACAUCAAGAUCGUCACCACGCCGUCGUGCUGGCGGAACUCUUCCCCGACACUUUGCUGGAUCGGAGUCCGGGGAUCGUCAUCGAGCUGAACGUGUGCUAAAACUCGGAGGUGCCGUAGUUUCGGUGCUUGAUCGGUCGGGCCAUGAAGACGUACGACUACAUCAACCAAACGCUUCCAUUGUCGAUCUACUAGGUAUGUAGAUCACACUCCCCCCUCUUGUUGCUAUGCAUCACAUGAUCUUGCGUGUGCGUAGGAAUUUUUUUGAAAUUACUACGUUCCCCUACAGUGGCAUCCGAGCCUAGGUUUUAUAUGUUGAUGUUAUAUGCACGAGUAGAACACAAGUGAGUUGUGGGCGAUAUAAGUCAUACUGCUUACCAGCAUGUCAUACUUUGGUUCGGCGGUAUUGUUGGAUGAAGCGGCCCAGACCGACAUUACGCGUACGCUUACGCAAGACCGGUUCUCCCGACGUGCUUUGCACAGAGGUGGCUUGUGGGUGACAGUUUCUCCAACUUUAGUUGAACUGAGUGUGGCUACGCCCGGUCCUUGCGAAAGUUAAAACAGCACCAACUUGACAAACUAUCAUUGUGGUUUUGAUGCGUAGGUAAGAUUGGUUCUUGCUUAAGCCCGUAGUAGCCACGUAAAACUUGCAACAACAAAAUAGAGGACGUCUAACUUGUUUUUGCAGGGCAUGUUGUGAUGUGAUAUGGUCAAGACAUGAUGCUGAUUUUUAUUGUAUGAGAUGAUCAUGUUUUGUAACCGAGUUAUCGGCAACUGGCAGGAGCCAUAUGGUUGUCGCUUUAUUGUAUGCAAGCAAUCGCGAUGUAAUGCUUUACUUUAUCACUAAACGGUAGCGAUAGUCGUGGAAGCACAAGCUUGGCGAGACGACAACGACGCUACGAUGGAGAUCAAGGUGUCACGCCGGUGACGAUGGUGAUCACGAUGAUGCUUCGGAGAUGGAGAUCACAAGCACAAGAUGAUGAUGGCCAUAUCAUAUCACUUAUAUUGAUUGCAUGUGAUGUUUAUCUUUUAUGCAUCUUAUCUUGCUUUGAUUGACAGUAGCAUUAUAAGAUGAUCUCUCACUAAUUAUCAAGAAGUGUUCUUCCUGAGUAUGCACCGUUGCGAAAGUUCUUCGUGCUGAGACACCACGUGAUGAUAGGGUGUGAUAGGUUCUACGUUCAAAUACAACGGGUGCAAAACAGUUGCACACGCGGAAUACUCAGGUUAUACUUGACGAGCCAAGCAUAUACAGAUAUGGCCUCGGAACACGGAGACCGAAAGGUCGAGCGUGAAUCAUAUAGUAGAUAUGAUCAACAUAAUGAUGUUCACCAAUGAAACUACUCCAUCUCACGUGAUGAUCGGACAUGGUUUAGUUGAUUUGGAUCACGUAAUCACUUAGAGGAUUAGAGGGAUGUCUAUCUAAGUGGGAGUUCUUUAAGUAAAUUAACUGAACUUAAAUUUAUCAUGAAACUUAGUACCUGAUAAGUAUCUUGCUUGUUUAUGCUUGUUUGUAGAUAGAUGGCUCGUGCUGUUGUUCCGUUGAAUUUUAAUGCGUUCCUUGAGAAAGCAAAGUUGAAAGAUGAUGGUAGCAAUUACACGGACUGGGUCCGUAACUUGAGGAUUACCCUCAUUGCUGCACAGAAGAAUUACGUCCUGGAAGCACCGCUGGGUGCCAGGCCUGCUGCAGGAGCAACGCCGGAUGUUAUGAACGUCUGGCAGAGCAAAGCUUAUGACUACUCGAUAGUUCAGUGUGCCAAGCUUUACGGCUUAGAAUCGGGACUUCAACGACGUUUUGAACGUCAUGGAGCAUAUGAGAUGUUCCAGGAGUUGAAGUUAAUAUUUCAAGCAAAUGCCCGGAUUGAGAGAUAUGAAGUCUCCAAUAAGUUCUAUAGCUGCAAGAUGGAGGAGAACAGUUCUGUUAGUGAGCAUAUACUCAAAAUGUCUGGGUAUAAUAAUCACUUGAUUCAAUUGGGAGUUAAUCUUCCAGAUGAUUGCGUCAUUGACAGAAUUCUCCAAUCACUGCCACCAAGCUACAAGAGCUUCGUGAUGAACUAUAAUAUGCAAGGGAUGAAUAAUACUAUUCCCGAGCUCUUCGCAAUGCUGAAAGCUGCGGAGGUAGAAAUCAAGAAGGAGCAUCAAGUGUUGAUGGUCAACAAGACCACUAGUUUCAAGAAAAAGGGCAAAGGAAAGAAGAAGGGGAACUUCAAAAAGAACGGCAAGCAAGUUGCUACUCAAGAGAAGAAACUCAAACCUGGACCUAAGCCUGAAACUGAGUGCUUCUAUUGCAAGCAGACUGGUCACUGGAAGCGGAACUGCCCCAAGUAUUUGGCGGAUAAGAAGGAUGGCAAGGUGAACAAAGGUAUAUGUGAUAUACAUGUUAUUGAUGUGUACCUUACUAAUGCUCGCAGUAGCACCUGGGUAUUUGAUACUGGUUCUAUUGCUAAUAUUUGCAACUCGAAACAGGGACUACGGAUUAAGCGAAGAUUGGCUAAGGACGAGGUGACGAUGCGCGUGGGAAACGGUUCCAAAGUCGAUGUGAUCGCAGUCGGCACGCUACCUCUACAUCUACCUUCGGGAUUAAUAUUAGACCUAAAUAAUUGUUAUUUGGUGACAGCGUUAAGCAUGAACAUUAUUUCUGGAUCUUGUUUGAUGCGAGACGGUUAUUCAUUUAAAUCAGAGAAUAAUGGUUGUUCUAUUUAUAUGAGUAAUAUCUUUUAUGGUCAUGCACCCUUGAAGAGUGGUCUAUUCUUGUUGAAUCUCGAUAGUAGUAACACACAUAUUCAUAAUGUUGAAGCCAAAAGAUGCAGAGUUGAUAAUGAUAGUGCAACUUAUUUGUGGCACUGCCGUUUAGGUCAUAUCGGUGUAAAGCGCAUGAAGAAACUCCAUACUGAUGGACUUUUGGAACCACUUGAUUAUGAAUCACUUGGUACUUGCGAACCGUGCCUCAUGGGCAAGAUGACUAAAAUGCCGUUCUCCGGUACUAUGGAGAGAGCAACAGAUUUGUUGGAAAUCAUACAUACAGAUGUAUGUGGUCCGAUGAAUAUUGAGGCUCGUGGCGGAUAUCGUUAUUUUCUCACCUUCACAGAUGAUUUAAGCAGAUAUGGGUAUAUCUACUUAAUGAAACAUAAGUCUGAAACGUUUGAAAAGUUCAAGGAAUUUCAGAGUGAAGUUGAAAAUCAUCGUAACAAGAAAAUAAAGUUUCUACGAUCUGAUUAUGGAGGAGAAUAUUUGAGUUACGAGUUUGGUGUACAUUUGAAAAAUUGUGGAAUAGUUUCGCAACUCACGCCACCCGGAACACCACAGCGUAAUGGUGUGUCCGAACGUCGUAAUCGUACUUUACUAGAUAUGGUGCGAUCUAUGAUGUCUCUUACUGAUUUACCGCUAUCGUUUUGGGGGUACGCUCUAGAGACGGCCGCAUUCACGUUAAAUACGGCACCAUCAAAAUCCGUUGAGACGACGCCUUAUGAACUGUGGUUUGGCAAGAAACCAAAGUUGUCGUUUCUGAAAGUUUGGGGCUGCGAUGCUUAUGUGAAAAAGCUUCAACCUGAUAAGCUCGAACCCAAAUCGGAGAAAUGUGUCUUCAUAGGAUAUCCAAAGGAGACUAUUGGAUACACCUUCUAUCACAUAUCCAAAGGCAAGACUUUUGUUGCUAACUUUGGAAACUUUCUAGAGAAGGAGUUUCUCUCGAAAGAAGUGAGUGGGAGGAAAGUAGAACUUGACGAGGUAACUGUACCUACUCCCUUACUGGAAAGUAGUACAUCAUAGAAAACUGUUUCUGUGACACCUACACCAGUUAGUGAGGAAGCUAAUGAUGAUGAUCAUGAAACUUCAGAACAAGAUACUACUGAACCUCGUAGAUCAACCAGAGUAAGAUCCGCACUAGAGUGGUAUGGUAAUCCCGUUCUGGAAGUCAUGCUACUAGAUCAUGAUGAACCUACGAACUAUGAAGAAGCGAUGGUGAGCCCAGAUUCCGCAAAGUGGCUUGAAGCCAUGAAAUCUGAGAUGGGAUCCAUGUAUGAGAACAAAGUAUGGACUUUGGUUGACUUGCCCGAUGAUCGGCGAGCAAUUGAAAAUAAAUGGAUCUUCAAGAAGGAGACUGACGCUGACGGUAAUAUUACUGUCUACAAAGCUCGACUUGUCGCAAAAGGUUUUCGGCAAGUUCAAGGGAUUGACUACGAUGAGACCUUCUCACCCGUAGCGAUGCUUAAGUCUGUCCGAAUCAUAUUAGCAAUUGCCGCAUUUUAUGAUUAUGAAAUUUGGCAGAUGGAUGUCAAAACUGCAUUCCUGAAUGGAUUUCUGGAAGAAGAGUUGCAUAUGAUGCAACCAGAAGGUUUUGUCGAUCCAAAGGGAGCUAACAAAGUGUGCAAGCUCCAGCGAUCCAUUUAUGGACUGGUGCAAGCCUCUCGGAGUUGGAAUAAACGUUUUGAUAGUGUGAUCAAAGCAUAUGGUUUUAUACAGACUUUUGGAGAAGCCUGUAUUUACAAGAAAGUGAGUGGGAGAUCUAUAGCAUUUCUGAUAUUAUAUGUGGAUGACAUAUUACUAAUUGGAAAUGAUGUAGAAUUUCUGGAUAGCAUAAAGGGAUACUUAUAUAAGAGUUUUUCAAUGAAAGACCUCGGUGAAGCUGCUUACAUAUUAGGCAUUAAGAUCUAUAGAGAUAGAUCAAGACGCUUAAUUGGACUUUCACAAACCACAUACCUUGACAAAGUUUUGAAGAAGUUCAAAAUGGAUCAAGCAAAGAAAGGGUUCUUGCCUGUGUUACAAGGUGUGAAGUUGAGUAAGACUCAAUGCCCAACCACUGCAGAAGAUAGAGAGAAUAUGAAAGAUGUUCCCUAUGCAUCAGCCGUAGGAUCUAUCAUGUAUGCAAUGCUGUGUACCAGACCUGAUGUGUGCCUUGCUAUAAGUCUAGCAGGGAGGUACCAAAGUAAUCCAGGAGUGGAUCACUGGACAACGGUCAAGAACAUCCUGAAAUACUUGAAAAGGACUAAGGAUAUGCUUCUCGUAUAUGGAGGUGACAAAGAGAUCAUCGUAAAAGGUUACAUUGAUGCAAGCUUUGACACUGAUCCGGACGAUUCUAAAUCGCAAACCGGAUACGUGUUUACAUUAAACGAUGGGGCUGUAAGUUGGUGCAGUUCUAAACAAAGCGUUGUAGCGGGAUCUACAUGUGAAGCGGAGUACAUGGCUACUUCGGAAGCAGCAAAUGAAGGAGUCUGGAUGAAGGAGUUCAUAUCCGAUCUAGGUGUUAUACCUAGUGCAUCAGGUCCAAUGAAAAUCUUUUGUGACAAUACUGGUGCAAUUGCCUUGGCAAAGGAAUCCAGAUUUCACAAGAGAACCAAGCACAUCAAGAGACGCUUCAAUCCCAUCCGGGAUCUAGUCCAGGUGGGAGACAUAGAGAUUUGCAAGAUACAUACGGAUUUGAAUGUUGCAGACCCGUUGACUAAGCCUCUUCCACGAGCAAAACAUGAUCAGCACCAAGGCUCCAUGGGUGUGAGAAUCAUUACUGUGUAAUCUAGAUUAUUGACUCUAGUGCAAGUGGGAGACUGAAGGAAAUAUGCCCUAGAGGCAAUAAUAAAGUUAUUAUUUAUUUCCUUAUAUCAUGAUAAAUGUUUAUUAUUCAUGCUAAAAUUGUAUUAACCGGAAACAUAAUACAUGUGUGAAUACAUAGACAAACAAAGUAUCACUAGUAUGCCUCUACUUGACUAGCUCGUUAAUCAAAGAUGGUUAUGUUUCCUAACCAUGAACAAUGAGUUGUUAUUUGAUUAACGGGAUCACAUCAUUAAGUGAAUGAUCUGAUUGACAUGACCCAUUCCAUUAGCUUAGCACCCGAUCGUUUAGUAUGUUGCUAUUGCUUUCUUCAUGACUUAUACAUGUUCCUAUAACUAUGAGAUUAUGCAACUCCCGUUUACCGGAGGAACACUUUGGGUGCUACCAAACGUCACAACGUAACUGGGUGAUUAAAAAGGAGUACUACAGGUGUCUCCAAAGGUACAUGUUGGGUUGGCAUAUUUCGAGAUUACGUUUUGUCACUCCGAUUGUCGGAGAGGUAUCUCUGGGCCCUCUCGGUAAUGCACAUCACUUAAGCCUUGCAAGCAUUGCAACUAAUGAGUUAGUUGUGGGAUGAUGUAUUACAGAACGAGUAAAGAGACUUGACGGCAACGAGAUUGAACUAGGUAUUGGAAUACCGACGAUCGAAUCUCGGGCAAGUAACAUACCGAUGACAAAGGGAACGACGUAUGUUGUUAUGCGGUCUGACCAAUAAAGAUCUUCGUAGAAUAUGUAGGAGCCAAUAUGGGCAUCCAGGUCCCGCUAUUGGUUAUUGACCGGAGACGUGUCUCAGUCAUGUCUACAUUGUUCUCGAACCUGUAGGGUCCGCACGCUUAAGGUUACGAUGACAGUUAUAUUAUGAGUUUAUGCAUUUUGAUGUACCGAAGUUUGUUCGGAGUCCCGGAUGUGAUCACGGACAUGACGAGGAGUCUCGAAAUGGUCGAGACAUAAAGAUUUAUAUAUUGGAAGCCUAUGUUUGGAUAUCGGAAGUGUUCCGGGUGAAAUCGAGAUUUUACCGGAGUACCGGGAGGUUACCGGAACCCCCCGGGAGCUAGAUGGGCCAUAGUGGGCCUUAGUGAAAAAGAGAAGGGGCUGCCCAAAGUGGGCUGCGCCCCCCUCCCCUCCCUUGGUCCGAAUAGGACAACGAGAGGGGGCCGGCCACCCUCUCUCUCUUCCCCCCUCCGCGAAUCCUAUUCCAACUAGGAUUGGGGGGGGGGGAAUCCUACUCCCAGAGGGAGUAGGACUCUCCUGGCGCGCCUCUCCUAGGCCGGCCGCACCCCCCCUUUAGUCCUUUAUAUACGGAGGCAGGGGCACCCCAGAAACACACAAGUUGAUCCACGUGAUCUUUUCCUUAGCCGUGUGCGGCGCCCCCAGCCACCAUAGUCCUUGAUAAUAUUGUAGCGGAGUUUAGGCGAAGCCCUGCUGCAGUAGUACAACAAGAUCGUCACCACGCCGUCGUGCUUGCGGAACUCUUCCCCGACACUUUGCUGGAUCGGAGUCCGGGGAUCGUCAUCGAGCUGAACGUGUGCUAAAACUCGGAGGUGCUGUAGUUUCGGUGCUUGAUCGGUCGGGCCAUGAAGACGUAUGACUACAUCAACCAAACACUUCCGUUGUCGAUCUACUAGGUAUGUAGAUCACACUCCCCCCUCUCGUUGCUAUGCAUCACAUGAUCUUGCGUGUGCGUAGGAUUUUUUUUGAAAUUACUACGUUCCCCUGCAGAAAGAAGUAGAUACACCAACACAAUCAAUCAAUAAUGACGAUCAAGGUGAGGUCAUCAAUUCCAUAUAUGUUCUUAUGAAAUCCAAAUAAAUAUAUUAUACAAUAGAAAAUUGCAACACAGGUAAUAAUGAAGUCAUAUUUGAAGAGGACAUAAACGAGGAUGAAUACAUGUUCUCUGGUCAAGGUAUGCUUAAUAGAAUUUAAAUAUAUUUUAAUCAUUAUAUUGCUUCUGUACUAACUUUUGCUACAAACCAAACUAGAAUGGGACAGAGAAGUGGAAAUUGAAAUCAAAGAAGGCGAGGAAAUACACAACCCUAAUCCUUAUGAUUUCGUCUAUAGCAACAUACCCAAAAAAACACACGUGCUCAAAACGGAAGGAAAUUGCAGAUUCUGCCAUGCAAAAAAUUCAAGUAUGAAACUAAGGGAUUAUGCUGCAGAAAAGGACAGAUAAGACUAGCCAAUGCAGAUACACCACCUGAACUCAUAAGACUUUGGAUAAGCAACGACUCUGAUGCAAGACAUUUUCGGAACAAUAUAAGAUUUUUCAAUGGCCACUUCUCGUUUACUACUCUAUAUUGCCAUCUUGACAGAGACACAACCGACAUGCGAAAUUCUGGUGGUAUUUACACCUUUCGAGCACAUGGUCAGAUCUAUCACAGCAUACACUCAUUUGGUAAUAGUCGACCAGAUCCAAAGCAUGUGGAGCUAUACUUCUACGACAAUGAUCCAAGCUUAGAGCAUCGGUACUGCCGUUGCCGCGAGGAAAUGUACGAGCAAGACAAGCAUGUGAUCGGGAUAAUAACCAACAUCCUACGGGAUAACCCAUACUCUCAACAAUUUAGGAGUUUGGGACGAGCCCAAAACCUUGAGGACUACAGACUCGUCUUAAACCCGGACCAAAGAUUGGACCAGAGAACAUACAACGCGCCAAUAAAUUCGGAGGUAGCUGCAGUGUGGAUUGAAGGAAAUAAAAGAAGAGACACUUAUGACAGGAAUGUAAUACUACAUGGAAACUACAAUGAAAAAGAGCACAUUCGAUCAUAUUACGGGUGCUAUGAUCCGUUGUCGUACCCUCUAUUCUUUCCAAGAGCUGAGCUGGGUUGGCAUAGGAAAAUCCCAAAGAGGAAUACAAAAAAGGAAGAUAUUGGUGCUGAUAAUAUCAGUAAUGAUGAUGACCUAGGUAAAAUUUCAUAUACUAUUAUAUUCAAUAUUCAAUUUAACUAACUUUUUUAUGUCGCAAUAUUUGCACAGAUUCUGCCAACGGCCUGUGGGUAACCAUGAAAGAAUACUACUGGUAUAAAUUCCAUACACGACCAAGCAUAUUCAACCAAUAUUGCAGGGCGGACGGAUUUUCCAGCAGUUUGUUGUAGAUACAUACAUAAAGAUUGAAAGCUCCAGACUGGAUUACAUGUGGCAUCAUCAAAACAAAAUAAGGGCGGAUCUAUACCAAGGCCUUCUAGACAUCAUUCAAGCUAGAGAACAGAAUGGAGAUGCAAUCGGAAAACGGAGAGUACUUGCAUCAUCAUUUAUUGGAGGGCCACGCGAUAAAAUUCGUCCGUAUCUAGAUUCUAUGGCUUUAGUUAGAAAAUAUGGAAAACCAGACGUAUUACUCACAAUGACAUGCAACCCCAACUGGAAGGGAUCACACGUGAACUACAGUUUGGACAAACACCACAAGAUCGCCCAGACAUUAUCGUUUGUGUUUUCAAGGCGAAGCUCAAAGAAAUGAAGAAGCAACUAUUUGAGAAGGCCAUUCUUGGAAAGGUCAAGGCAUAUACAUAUGUCAUAGAGUUCCAAAAGAGGGGAUUACCCUGACGGUGUCCUGGACUAGGGGGUACUGUAACACCCCGGAUGUAACUUUCCCAAUUUGUACUCCAACUCUUGCCGUUUCCGGCGUUAACUUAUUUUAUUUUCUCGGGUUCGGGUCUUUGUCUCCGUGUGUUGUUGUCGUUGUCAUGCAUCUCAUAUCAUGUCAUCAUGUGCAUUUCAUUUGCAUACGUGCUCGUCUCAUGCAUUCGAGCAUUUUCCCCGUUGUCCGUUUUGCAUUCCGGCGCUUCAUUCUCCUCCGAUGGUCAUUUCUAGCUUUCUUUCGUGUGUGGGGAUUAAACAUUUCCGGAUUGGACCGAGACUUGCCAAGCUGCCUUGGUUUACUACCGGUAGACCGCCUGUCAAGUUUCGUAUCAUUUGGACUUCGUUUGAUACUCCAACGAUUAACCGAGUGACCGAAAAGGCCUCGUGUGUGUUGCAGCCCAACACCCCUCCAAUUUGGAACAAAACCCACCUAAACCCUUUCUAUCAUCUAGAGCGUUCGAUCACGAUCGCGUGGCUGAAAACUGCACCUCAUUUGAACUCUCCUAGCUCCCUCUAGGCCUAUAUAAAGGUCUCUCCCCGAAAAUCCGGGUCUUCCCCCGUCCUAACCCUAAAAAUUCCGUCUCUGCCGCCGCCGGACGUGUCCGGACGGAGCCGGACACCGUCCGACCCAGCCGCCACCGCCACGUGUCGCCCCGGGAUUCACCGCCNNNNNNNNNNNNNNNNNNNNNNNNNNNNNNNNNNNNNNNNNNNNNNNNNNNNNNNNNNNNNNNNNNNNNNNNNNNNNNNNNNNNNNNNNNNNNNNNNNNNNNNNNNNNNNNNNNNNNNNNNNNNNNNNNNNNNNNNNNNNNNNNNNNNNNNNNNNNNNNNNNNNNNNNNNNNNNNNNNNNNNNNNNNNNNNNNNNNNNNNNNNNNNNNNNNNNNNNNNNNNNNNNNNNNNNNNNNNNNNNNNNNNNNNNNNNNNNNNNNNNNNNNNNNNNNNNNNNNNNNNNNNNNNNNNNNNNNNNNNNNNNNNNNNNNNNNNNNNNNNNNNNNNNNNNNNNNNNNNNNNNNNNNNNNNNNNNNNNNNNNNNNNNNNNNNNNNNNNNNNNNNNNNNNNNNNNNNNNNNNNNNNNNNNNNNNNNNNNNNNNNNNNNNNNNNNNNNNNNNNNNNNNNNNNNNNNNNNNNNNNNNNNNNNNNNNNCUCCCCGACGCCGCGGCCGCGCCGCCCUUGCCUCCCCGACGCCGCGCCCGCCGUCCCGUGCUCCGGCGAGAGCAACACCGGCGAGCCCCUCGACCUCCUACGACCGGCGAGCCCGCCAAGACCGGCCACCACCUCCGACGAACCUCGAACAUUGCGCCCCAGUGAAUAGUACCCGGCGAGAUCUAGAUCCAGAUCCGGUUGAUUUUCUCCCGAAACCCUAGCUCAUGUGCCCAUGUUCGUCGUGCCGUAACUUUGCAUCCGCAGCUUCGAUUUAGGCAUAUAGCAUAUCAAAAUGUUCAUCUCAGAGAGUAUAUCAUUUCAUUCCAUUGCAUCAUUUUCAUUUGAGUUCAUCUUGAUGCCCGAAAUGCUGUUAGAAGAGGGCUAUUUGAGAUAAUUGUCAGAUCUGCUACUCCAUUUAGGUUUUUGUCAUUUUUGCCAUGAUUAAUGUGUGCUUGAUAUGCCCUGAUGUUCUACAUAUGUUUUGUUAAGGGUUUUAUCAUCUUUCCAGAGGUGCAACCCAUGUAUUUUUGUGAUGUGUGUGGUGACUAGCACAAGCUUGCAAAGUGGUGCACUUGGUAAUUUUGUUUUUAGGGACUUAGCAAUUCCACUAAGUCCUUGAUCUAUUUAUCUCAUGAUGCCAUAUGUUCAUGUUGUUUCCUAGUGAUCCGUGCCUCUUUUGAGGAUGAUCAGUAAGGAUGUUUUGUUAUUCUUGCAGUGCUCUAUCCAUCCAUGUCUUUAUUUGCAAUUAUGGAGCACGCUAGCUUGAGUCAAUCGAGCUCUACUUUUGGUACUUUGUGAAUCUGGGCAGAUUGUCAACUUGUUUGCAAUUUUGCCGAUGAUGUUGUAGUUGAUCCGUGCAUGCUAUGUUAUUGGUCUUACAUUGUCUAGCUUUCAUUUUGUGUAUUCUUGAUGGGUAUAUGCUUGUCUUGUCAUAACUUGCACCGUAGUGAGUGCAUCGAGCUCGUGAACAUGCCUACUUGAGUUAUAUUUCAGUAUGUGCCAGUUUUCACUAAGUCUGAAAACUGAUUAUGUUUUUGCUAUGUUCACAUGCUUGCAAUUGUAUUUUCCGAUCCCUUUUGGCUCAAGGUCACUAAGGGACUUUUGUUAAGCUCUUCGAGUAGCUCCAUGCCAUGCUUUACUUUGCCAUGUUCAGGUCCUGUAGCAUGUAGUUUUGUUGCUCCGAAGAGAGCUACCUGAUCUGAAAUUCCAGACAAGUGUUAAUUUCACUAAGUCUGAGAUCUGUUUGUCAUAUGCAUUUUUGCCAUGCUUGUUUGAACCUGUUAAUGGAUGAUUUGGCCGUAGCUCAGUGCUAGACUUUUGUUAAGCAUUUUGAAUGCAUCCCUGCCAUGUAUUUUGUGGUCAUGUUUGGGUGUUGUAGCAUGUUCAUCUCAUUGCAUUUAGGUGGCUACUUGUUGUAAAUCGCAGACCGGUGUCAUAUUUGAAUCGCUUGCCAUUUCCAAACCGUAACUCCGAUUCCGGCGAUCUUUAUAUCGUUUUCAAGCGAUUUCAUCUCAUCUUUCCAGUGGAAUACUUGGAUUUCCAAGUUGAUGCCAGGUUCUUGCAUUUCCUGUCAUAUCUUGCAUAUGCAUCCUGCAUCGCAUCCCGCAUAGCAUAUCAUCAUUGCAUCGUCUUGUUUGAUCCUUGCACGUGGUUGAUUGUGUCCUUGUUGCUUGUUUGUCUUGUUUGGGUAGAGCCGGGAGACGAGUUCGCUAACGAGGAGCCCGUUGAGUUUGCUUUCGAGGAUCCAGUCAACUCUGACAACUGUGCAGGCAAGAUGAUCAUACCCUCGAAAUCACUACUAUCUUUGCUAUGCUAGUUUGCUCGCUCUUUUGCUAUUCCAAUGCUACGAUGCCUACCUUUUUCUUUCAAGCCUCCCAAAUUGCCAUGUCAAACCUCUAACCCACCAUGUCCUAGCAAACCGUUGAUUGGCUAUGUUACCGCUUUGCUCAGCCCCUCUUAUAGUGUUGCUAGUUGCAGGUGAAGAUUGGAGGUCGUUCCUUGUUGGAACAUUUAUUUACUUGUUGGGAUAUCAUUAUAUUAUCUUGUUAUCUUAAUGCAUCUAUAUACUUGGUAAAGGGUGAAAGGCUCGGCCUCUCGCCUGGUGUUUUGUUCCACUCUUGCCGCCCUAGUUUCCGUCAUAUCGGUGUUAUGUUCCCGGAUUUUGCGUUCCUUACGCGGUUGGGUUAUAAUGGGAACCCCUUGAUAGUUCGCCUUGAUUAAAGCUUCUCCAGCAAUGCCCAACCUUGGUUUUACCAUUUGCCACCUAGCCUCUUUUCCCUUGGGUUUCCGGAGCCCGAAGGUCAUCUUAUUUUAAACCCCCCCGGGCCAGUGCUCCUUUGAGUGUUGGUCCAAACUAGAGUCCUGUGCAGCGCCCCCUCGGGGAUACUCGAGGUUUGGUUUUAGUUGUAUGGAGUGCUCAUCUGAUGUGCCCUGAGAAAGAGACAUGUGCAGCUCCUAUCGGGAUUUGUCGGCACAUUCGGGCGGUGUUGCUGGUCUUGUUUUAACCUGUCGAAGUGUCUUGAAGAACCGAGAUACCGAGUCUGAUCGGAACGUCUUGGGAGGAGGUCUAUUCCUUCGUUGACUAUGAGAGCUUGUCAUGGGCUAAGUUGGGACUCCCCUGCAGGGAUUUGAACUUUUGAAAGUCGUGCCCGCGGUUAUGGGCAGAUGGGAAUUUGUUAAUGUCUGGUUGUAGAUAACUUGAACCUUAAUUUAAUUAAAAUGAAUCAACUGAGUGUGUUACCGUGAUGGCCUCUUCUCGGCGGAGUCCGGGAAGUGGACACAGUGUUGGAGUAAUGUUUGCGCAGGUUGUUCUCUAGUUUCUCGCUCGCGCUUUGCCUCCUCUUCUCGCUCUCUUUUGCGAAUAAGUUAGCCACCAUAUUUGCUAGUCGCUUGCUGCAGCUCCUCAUAUAUUUACCUUGCCUUACCUAUAAGCUUAAAUAGUCUUGAUCGCGAGGGUGCGAGAUUGCCGAGUCCCUGUGGCUCACAGAUUACUAUUACACCAGAUGCAGGGCCUGAUGAUUCUGCUCCAGGUGACGCGCUUGAGCUCAAGUGGGAGUUCGACGAAGACUCUCAACAUUACUAUGUUUCCUUUCCUGAUGAUCAGUAGUGGUGCCCAGUUGGGGGUGAACGGGACCGUUGUCGCAUGUUGGGUUCUCUUUUAUUUUGGCGCCGUAGUCGGGCCAUGAGUGUUUGGAUGAUGUAAUGUUAUUUAUGUACUUGAUUGACGUGGCGAGUGUAAGCCAACUAUGUUAUCUCCCCUUUAUUAUUCAUAUUACAUGGGAUGUUGUGAAGAUUGCCUAACUUACGACAUAUGCCUUAAAUGCGUUUAUGUCUCUAAGUCGUGCCUCGAUACGUUGGAGCUAUAGUCGCAUCGAGGGUGUUACAGGUACUCACCACGUCAUCUCCCGACUAGUGGGUCAGGCCGAGGACCUUCAUGGUGGUUCACUAUUGGGCCAGUUCGGACAACCCAUGCCGUAUACAAGGGAGAUCCCACAAAGACUUGGCGCCCAAGACGAGGACUCUCCUAAACCCUAGGCCUCUGGUGUGUUAUAUAAACCGAGGCCAGGCUAGUCAAUAGACAUCUCAUAUUCAUUACUACAAUCUCGUGGUAGAUACUUGUAUUAUGUACUAUCCCCAUAUGAAUACAAUUAAAAGUUGGACGUAAGGUUUUAGCUUCAUCAAGAGGGCCCGAACCUGGGUAAAACCCCAUGCCUGUGUUACCAUCGCUCCAAGACGCCUAGCUUAGGACCCUUAGUACGGGAUACGCCGAAUAUAGAACCGACAUUGAUGCUUUCACUGAGAGCCUGCUAGGCGUCGUCACGGGUCGAUGGCAUAAACCAGGUGUUAUGAUUUUAAUUCAAUCUAUUCCGCGUAUAUCAGAUUUCUUUUUAUUGUUUGUGGUCUUGCACUAUGUUUGUUUACAUACCAGUUUUGACCUCGAACGCCGCCGGGCAAUCGGAAUAUGCGUCACGCAGCGGCCGCCCGGGCUCCUUGAAAAUCAGGCAGACGUGGUACAUCGCAGAAGGAAAAAUCAAGACAUAUCAAAAAGCUGCUCCGAGGAGAAGCGACGGCCUGGCACUAAUUGCCAGAUCAAUCUAAUCAUGGGGCAGCCCACUAGGACUACUAGUUGUGGCACAUCAAUCGUUUGAUUGAUGCAAUCGUGCUUGUCUAAUCUGACUAGCCCUCACACUGAAGCUCCAGAGCACUUUGAUGUAGUUUUUUUAUUUUCCCUAGCUUUAGCCGGAGUCAGAUGCAUCCAUAAAGGUCAACUAGCAGAUGAUCUUGCCUAACGUAUGCCGCGCUGGGUCCUGAGGAAUAAAUGCAUGGGUCGGGCAAACACAUGCAAAGGUGAAGACACUCCGGCCAUCCAGGCAUCUGACGACCGCCGUAUCUGUAACCGAAUCUGUCCUAUAAAAAAUAUGCCAUCACCCCUUCGUCUUCAUUGACCUAGGCGCCAGGCUAUGUUUCUUUUAUCUACUUUGUGUAAACUUAAUUAUGCAAAGAAUUUUUUUCAACUAUUAUUAUUUCUUUGUGCAUUAUUCUAUGUGUGCAGGUAAUCAACUUCGACUGCAUCAUGCGGUCAACUCUGUGGGCCGACAUCGUCGUCCUGCCUGCAUCGAUCAAGUUGCUCCGUCGCCUCAGUGCGCGUCCCUGUGUCAGCAUGUCCGCGGCCAUUCUAUCGGUACGACCUCGGCACAAUUGACAUACACUGCGCAUUACCUGGCGCAAUGACGCACAAGAGAAUUAGGCUUGGCGCAACCACAAGGAGAUUUGACUUUCUUUUUUCCAUUCCUCCUCUAUAUUAUUUAAUUAAGCAGGUAAUCGACUUCGACUACGUCACACGGUCACUUCAGCAAGCCGACGAUGUCGUCCCAAUCGGCAUAAAUCGGCUCGCGUGAUCACCUUGUCGGUCGAAUUGCCAUACCGACAUGUUCUGUUGCCUCAGGGACUUUGACAUCACUAAGAGAGCUCUACCUCAUUGAGUGUUCGGCGCACGGGUCAUAUUUCUUUUAUUACUCACUUUGCAUAAAUUAUUAAUCAUGCAACUUUUUUAUUAUUACUUCUGCCUUGCACUAUUUUAUGUGUGCAGAUAAUUGAUUUUUGCUGCGUCACGCAGUCACCUCGGCGUGCGGAGUCGUCCUCUCGCCUCUAUCAACCAAAUUCCACUAUUACCAUGGUGUGAUACCCUGUGUUGCCAUUAUCGCGUGGUCGCUUCAUCAAACUGACGUCCACCAUGCCGACCUGUUUUGACAUGUCGACUGACGUGGGGGCUUCAUUGUCACGCUGCCGAACUACUCUGUUUCCUCAGCUGGACCGGGGGCUUCCCCUCGGAACUUUGGCACCGUCAUGCUAUCACUUUGUCAAGCCGAGCUCUUCGCUCGGGUACGUCAAGACUAGUUUGGGGGUUGGGACCUUGAGCCAAGACAAGCUCGGCCCACGUCACACCGAGCACAUUAACCAGCUAAGUCGCUUUCAUGCUCAAAAAAAAUUAAGUUUUAAAUAUAUUUUUCGGGUCGACCAAGCAUUAUACUUUUUUGACAAAAAGUCAUUUGCGAAAAACUUUCUUUGUCAAAACCUUGUUUGUUACAAACAAAUUCAAAUAAAAUACCCCGUUUAUUUGGGGGAUUCUUUUAUGAAGCCUCUCCUCUUGAAUAUGAUUAUACUUGUAUGGCUUCAUUCCUUAUUAAUGUAUUACGACACAAUAUGCACCAUGUUGACUUAUGUGUUCCGCAAGCUGGGUUGCCUUGCUCCUGUGUUUACCCCUACGUUCCCAAUUGUUCGGCUAGGGAGUAAAGGGAGCACCUCUACGAUUGUCACGAUCGGGUCAUCCGAGCUCGGACCUCAGACUGGGUGAAGUCGAAAGCUAGUGCUCUUAUUGUUUUCAAUCAUGUUCGGCACACAACUGAACUCAUGAAUACAAAAAAUCUAUUGCACAAGUCUCAUAGUAACAAUGAGCAACCGAAGAAAGGUACCAAUGGAGGUACUAUUUUCUUCGAAGAUGCUUCUUACACUUCAUCAGUAAUAUAGCAUAAGUUCCCUGAGCGCGCUUUGUCUAUUAUAGCCUUAUGGCCUGAUUGCCUGGUUAUCGGAAACACCGUCGAUAUUCUCGACAGGUGGAGUACAUAACACUUUUCGGCCCUUGUCCGAAGAGGGAGAAGCCGAUGGUCGGUUAAGACGCGUUUAAAGUUCGGAUGAACACAUAUAUGAUAUAAGUACUUCGGUACAUACAAUCAUUAUACAUAAAAUUCUUUUACCCAAAUCACUUGGGGGCUCUUAAAUUAAUAUGAGUAGUUUUGUAAUAGAUGUUUUCUUUUUAGUCAUUGCAAAAUCUUUUUCUACCACUCCUUUAUCGACUCAACUGUAUGAUCAAUAGCCGGGUAGCCUGGUUUCUCUCUAAAGCCGCUCGCGUUUAGUUCGCUAAACUGGCCUGAGAAACACUCCGCCUUCGGGAUAGGGAGGUUGAAGCCGAGGGCUGACCCACUUGAAGUCUAGAGAUCAGAUGUGUCAUGUCAAAGCAUGACGGAAGUACAAUUUUAAGACCAAUUUCUUAUUGGCACCAAAACAGCUUGAUUCAAUCUAGACGCAAAGUUUUUUACGCAUGUUUUUGGCCUUUGGGCUUAUAACAUCUUUUUACCUAUUUUAUGUUUUCCUUUCAGGAAGCAGGACAUUCUCUUGGUUGAGGUUUUUGGCAUGAAACUCUUUUCUAAAACUACAGUUCGACAUCUUUUCUGCCGAACCCCACCUCGGUAUUGUCAAAACAUACAUGACAGUUGAACUAGUUCCCGAGGAGGUACGAUCCUAGGGUCGGCCAUGUAGCCCAACCCAAUUCUAGGGGGGGGCUACUGCAUUGGCAAUCCAAUGCAGAAAAUUUAAGUGCAAUAUAGUUUUCGAGGAGAUUAUGAUCCUCGGGUUGGUCGGCCGCACCCAACCUGAGUCUCAAGGACUUUGCACACUGCUUUUUGUGUCCCGAAGUAUUUUGCCGAGCUAAGAGUUGAUCCUCAGGCCGAUUUUGCGAAUCAACCUGAGUCUCAGGGGCUACUGGGAUCAGCGGUCUUAUGUCAUCCUUUAGGUGCAUCUCGGGUUUUAGACCGAUACACACCUUGAGGGCUACUGGCUAUAUAUCUCGGCAGAGAAUAAAUUGCACCAAUCAAAAAUAUUGACAAAAAAUCGGCCCGCAGUCGGGGUGGUGCACCACCUCGGAAGCAGUCCGGCAUAAAGCUCGGGCGCUAGUGGCUGGCUCCAUAAAGGGCAUUUCCGGCAUUAAGCUCGGCUAAACUCCUUCAACUUUUUUUGAACCAAGGUGAUCUAUGGCACAUCGGACACAGUCCAGUGUUGGAGCUUGGACACAGUCCGACAUUGGAGCUUGGACACAGUCCGACGUUGGAGCUCAGAUAAAGCCCGGCGUUGGAGCUUGGACAUAGUCCAGCGUUGGAGCUCGGGUACAUUCCGACGUUAGUGCUCGGCUGCAAAAGAUACCUCGAAUGUAGUUCGGCGUUGGAGCUCGGACGCUGCCGCCCGGGAACAACUUCAAACCCAAGGUGUGGCAUAAAAAUAAAAAGGCAUUGAUAAAGGCCGCAAACUUAAAGGGGCUCCUUGGAUACCCGACGUGUAAACUCUUCGGAUGCACUUCAGUGAUGCUCAAGAUCGAAGAUGAUAAGAUUUGUUGAACUAGUUUUCAAGACCAACGACCAAAGAUGAAGAACAGUUUGGAAGAAUCGAGGAGCGUCCCCAACUUGAAGACCGGUUCAGGGGGCUACUGACGGUGUCCUAGACUAGGGGGGUACUCACCACGUCGUCUCCCGACCAGUGGGUCGGGCCGAGGACCCCCAUGGCGGUUCACUAUUGGGCCAGUUCGGACAGCCCAUGCCGUAUACAAGGGAGAUCCCACAAAGACUUGGCGCUCAAGACGAGGACUCUCCUAAACCCCAGGCCUCUGGUGUGUUAUAUAAACCGAGGCUAGGCUAAUCAAUAGACAUCUCAUAUUCAUUACUACAAUCUUGUGGUAGUUACUUGUAUUAUGUACUAUCCCCAUAUGAAUACAAUCAAAAGAAGGAUGUAGGGUUUUACCUCCAUCAAGAGGGCCCGAACCUGGGUAAAACCCCAUGUCCGUGUUACCAUCGCUCCAAGACGCCUAGCUUAGGACCCCUACUACGAGAUAUGCCGGAUAUAGAAUCGACAUAGCCCAUGCUCACUUUUUGCUCAUCAUGACUAGAAAAUACAAAUACACAUGUCCAGAACAGUAUGACCGAAUCAUCUCCGCUGAGCUCCCUAACAAGCACAAGUACCCAGAGUUAUACAAAAUGGUAAUCAAACAUAUUGUGCAUGGUCCUUGCGGUGCAUUGAAUAAAUUUUUUCCAUGCAUAAAGAAUCGUCCGUCAUGCAAGAACAAUUAUCCAAGGCCAUUUAAUGAAACUACAAUCCAAGGAAAGGACUCCUGCCCACUGUAUAGGAGACGCAAUGAUGGUCGGACUGAAACGGUAUGAAAAUGCCAACUGGAUAAUAGGUGGGUGGUUCCUUACAACCCAUAUCUUUUGCGGAUGUUCAACUGCCACAUAAAUGUUGAGAUAUGCUCGAGCAUUAAAGCCGUUAAGUACUUGUUCAAAUACAUCUAUAAGGGACAUGACCGAGCAUCUGUAUUUGUAAUUGACAAAGUGGACGAAGUCGAAAUUGACGAGAUUAAACAGUAUAGAGAUGCGCGGUGGGUGACACCUCCGGAAGCACUAUGGAGAAUAUAUGGCUUCAAAUUAAGCAAAAUACACCCACCAGUCUUGCAACUGCAGCUACAUCUUCCAAAUAUGCACAUGGUUUCAUACCAUGGCAUGGAAAAAAUAAAGAAUAUUAUCGACCGUGAUGGCACAUAAAGAUCAAUGUUGACUGCGUACUUUGAAGCAAACAACUUACAUGAGAAAGCACGAGGCAUACUAUACAGAGACUUUCCGGAAUAUUAUACUUGGCAAAGACAAGGGAAGUUUUGGCAGGAGAGGAAACGAGAUGCUGUGUUCCAGGUUGGCAGGAUGGUCUCGGCACACCCGGCUGAAGGAGAACAAUAUUAUCUUCGAGUACUCACGUUCCAGGCGCCACCAGCUAUGAAGACCUACGAAUAGUCAACAGACAAGUAAUGCCAACCUUCCAUGAAGCUGCAGAAAAACGGGGGCUCAUCGAGGCAGACAACACACUAGAUGACUGCAUGACAGAAGCAGAGUUGUUUCGAAUGCCAUCAUCACUACGAAGGCUAUUCGUGACAAUCUUGGUUUUUUUGCGAACCUAGUGACGUACAUGGCCUAUGGAACAAACACCUUGAUGCAAUGUCAGAAGACUACAACAGAAACUACAAAUGCAAGCACACAAUCGAACAGAUGGUGCUGAGAAAUAUCAGAGACAUGUUGCACUCAAUGGGAAAAGACAUAGAAUCAUUUCCUCUUCCAGAGAUCGACAAACAACAUGAGACGACUGACGACAUACCUAGGGAGAUCGUUGCAGAGACCUCCAUCGAGGUUGACCCUGAGGACAUAUCGUUGCAUAAAAACCUAAACAUCGAGCAGAGGAAGGCCUACGACGAAAUCCUAGCCACGGUUGACCGCCAAAGAGGAGGUAUAUUCUUUGUCGAUGGGCCGGGAGGCACAGGAAAAACUUUUCUUUAUAGGGCGCUCUUGGCCACACAAGGCAAGAUUGCCGUGGCAACGACCACUUCCGGUGUUGCUGCUUCCAUAAUGCCUAGAGGGAGGACCGCACACUCGAGGUUCAAGAUUCCACUAAAAAUAGAUGAUGGAGCUAUUUGUAGCUUCACAAAACAGAGUGGGACAGCAAAGCUACUCCAAGCAGCAUCACUAAUAAUCUGGGAUGAAGCAUCUAUGACAAAGAGACAGACAGUGGAGGCGCUAGACAAAAGCAUGCGGGACAUAAUGGAUAGACUAGAUCUUCCAUUUGGUGGAAAAACGAUCGUAUUUGGGGGAGAUUUUAGACAAGUGCUACCUAUUGUCUGAAAGGGAACAAGAGCCCAGAUAGUAGAUGCAUCACUACGCAGGUCGGAGCUCUGGAAUUACAUGCGUCAAUUGAAGCUUGUGCACAACAUGAGGGCUCAAACGACCCAUGGUUCGUAGAAUACCCACUACGCAUUGGAAACGGAACCGAGAAGACAAAUGAUGAUGGUGAAAUACUUCUACCUACAAGUAUAUGUGUGCCAAAUAAGACGGAUGAUACCGGCCUGGAUAGACUUAUUGACAGUAUCUACCAAACGGGAAAUGUUUACCUAAAAGAUCGAAAGUACAUCACAUCAAGAGCAAUUUUAUCCACAAGGAAUGACUGCGUAGACAAGAUCAACCUAAAUAUGAUUGAUCGCUUCCAGGGGGAGGAGAUGGUGUACCACAGCUUCGAUUCUGUAGAAGAGACCCACAUAACUACUAUCCAUCAUAAUUCCUAAACACCCUAACCCCAAAUGGACUGCCUCCACAUAUGCUGAAGCUAAAAAAAAUUGUCCAAUGAUACUACUCAGGAACAUCGACCCUGCUAAUGGGCUCUGCAACGGCACCAGACUGGUCGUACAUGGAUUUCAGAAAAAUGCAAUUGAUGCAGAGAUUGUGGUAGGCAACACUCUGGAAUGCGAGUUUUCUUGCCUCGGAUACCAUUAUGCCCAUCUGACGAUGACAUGUUCCCGUUCAGUUUCAAGAGAAAACAGUUUCCUGUCAGACUCAGUUUUGCAAUGACAAUAAACAAAUCACAAGGCCAGACAAUACCAACUGUCGUUGUCUACGUGCCUGAGCUUGUUUUCUCACAUGGUCAAUUAUAUGUCACGCUUUCUAGAGCAACCGCGACAUCGGACAUAAAGGUACUAACAUGUACACAUGAUGUGAACAAGGGGACAAAUAAAAAAUAAAUAAAGGUGACACAUACACAAAGGAGAAGAAGAAAAGGAAGAAUAGGAUCAGUACAAGCAAUACAUACACAAAGAAUAUUGUCUACACAGAAGUCUUGACCAAAUAGGUAAUGCAAUUUUUCAAUUUUGUGUUUAUAAAUUCAGUUUCAACUUAGUACAUUCAUUCAUGACCAACUUAAUAAUUUGUAUUACACAUUGAAUCUCUAAUUUUCUAACCUUAAAAUUACUUCUUGCAUUCUUCAGGACAAUCAAGCUGUCAACUUCGGAGUUAGAAUUCAGAACUACUUGAUCGUCUUGAAGGAGGAUGUCUUCAUGUUCUGAACCACUAACUUAUUCAUUGAUAUUUAUUUAUAUAAUAUGUCCAAUAAAUUAUUAAGUUUUAUUCAAAUAUUUGAUCACUUUGAUGAUCUCUAUUAUGGUUAUACAAUCUAUAUAUGUAAAUUUACCAACGAUGAGUAGCUAAGGUCAAAUUGAGACUUACCAGUCAAUAUAGAGACAUAUUUCUUGCCUUGGAGCUGAUGUUGUUGCAUUGAUUUUUCUAAACAUCGCUUUAUCUAAGUCCAAGAAACCUGAAAAAUAUCUGACACAUUGUAAGAAAAUACAUAUCAAUUUCACAUUGUAAGAAAAUAUCUGACAAUUUCAUAAUGGAUUGAAACCCUGCAUAGUGUAGCGUUGCAUAUUUUUGAGGAAAUUGUGAUGCUCUGUUUCAUCAGGAUUAAGAUGCUUGAACAUGUAAGCAGUGUACUAGCGGCCAAUAGAGAUAUUUCUCAUGCUGACUACGUGCUAUCAAUUGUGCCAUACACAUUAUUUAGUAACUAAUCAAAAAGUGUCAAAAGCUAGCCACCAAAGCAAAUCUGAAUCUGCUACUAUGCUACUACUGCCACAACUAACCGAGGUUGGAGCAUAGGGAAUAAGCUGCUCCUCCACCAAUCGCAUAUAGGGGGUGACGGGGUGGGACUGAAGGAGAUUGGGAGAUCCGGAGAGGAAGUAAAGAGAGAAGAAGGGAAAUGGCACGCAUUACCUUUACAAUAUUGGAGGCAACGUCACGGAAGCAGGCGGAGGCGGAGGGCAGCCAGGCGGGGCGGAGAAUGAAGAGGCAAGCGGCGGCUGUCGGGACGCACGCCGGGAUGGCAACAAGGUGGCGGUGCACAUGCGAGGUCGGCCAGGAGGACGAGCAAUGCAAACAUCUGGAAGGAGGAAGCCGACGCUAUUCUCCAUCGAGAAACGAAGGCUGCAGUACCACACCCCAGCGACGGCGAGCCCCAUUGGUGGACGGCGGCUGCGGGAUAGCCCUAGACGAGUCUGCUGCGUGUGUUUUUUUAGGGGUAUGCUGCAUGUGGUGCUGUGGAAGUGAGGAGGUGCAAGAGGAAGUGCUCGUGGGCUGGAAUGGCCAGAUGGAUUCAGUUUGGCCUUUUCAUUUUCUCCACUCACUAUUGAAACAUCCCGGGCAGACCAAAGUGGGCCUACCAAAUGUACAUAUGACAUCGAGCCAUUGUUUUCUUCGUUUUCCAAAAAGAAGUAAUUCCCUGGACACGGAUAUUUGACUCUAGGAGCAUAUUCUCUGUAAUGAACAGGAAAAUCAAAAUAAAAUUUUAAAAUCCUAAAUUUUUACUACAUGUUCAUAUUAGUGUAGCAAGCGUGCUUGACAAUUUUCAUGCCAUAUGGGAUAAUAGUGCUUCGUCGGUGAAAAAAAUAAAAUUAAGUGUAACAUUUGGCGUUUGACUUUUUUUCCCCACAAGUCAACAUGCUUAAGUUUUCCCCUGUAAGUUUGCAUGUACCAUUUGGGUGUGACAAUGAACCUGUCUAUUUUUUCAUAUUUUUUUAUAUUUGUAAAUUUUCGUUUUUGGCACGCUAGAUCAUGUGCUAACUAGAGCCAGAAUGAAUUUUCGGAAUUCCCCACCUACUUAUCCUCAUGGGAUGAAAGUGCAGAGCCAAAAAACAUACUAACAAACGAUGUUAGGGAGACUUUUACUGAAAAGUGAUAGUUGAGGACCCAUGUUCACUGAAGUUGGUCAAAAUUGAAUAUAAUAAGUGUUGAAAAGGACCGAGUACUAUUAAAUUUAUCGCCCGUUGCAACGCAUGGGCAUUUGUACUAGUUGGUUCCUACAUAUUCUACGAAGAUCUUUAUUGUUUAAACCGCAUAACAACAUACGUUGUUCCCUUUGUCAUCGAUAUGUUACUUGCCCGAUAUUCGAUUGUCGGUAUCAUCAUACCUAGUUCAGUCUCGUCACCGGCAAGUCUUUUUACUCGUUCUGUAAUGCAUCAUCCCGUGACUAAUUCACUAGUCACAUUGCUUGCAAGGCUCAUAGUGAUGUGCAUUACCGAGAGGGCUCAGAGAUACCUCUUCGAUACACGGAGUGAAAAAUCCUAAUCUCGAUUUAUGCCAACUCAACAAACACCAUUGGAGACACUUGUAGAGCAUCUUUAUAAUCACCCAGUUAGGUUGUGAUGUUUGAUAGCACACUAAGUGUUCCUCCAGUAUCCAGAGUUGCAUAGUCUCAUAGUCAUAGGAACAUGUAUAAGUUAUAGAGAAAGCAAUAGCAAUAAACUAAAUGAUCAAAGUGCUAAGCUAAUGGAUGGGUCAUGUCAAUCGCAUCAUUCUCUAAUGAUGUGAUCCCGUUCAUUAAAUGACAACUCAUGUCUAUGGCUAGGAAACUUAACCAUCUUUGAUUAAUGGGCUAGUCAAGUAGAGGCAUACUAGUGACACUCUGUUUGUCUAUGUAUUUACACAUGUACUAAGUUUCUGGUUAAUUCUAGCAUGAAUAAUAAACAUUUAUCAUGACAUAAGGAAAUAUAAAUAGCAACUUUAUUAUUGCCUUUAGGGCAUAUUUCCUUUAGUCUCCCACUUGCACUAGAGUCAAUAAUCUAGAUUACAUUGUAAUGAUUCUAACACCCAUGGAGUCUUGGUGCUGAUCAUGUUUUGCUAAUGAGAGAGGCUUAGUCAGUGGGUCUGCAACAUUCAGAUCCAUAUGUAUCUUGCAAAUUUCUAUGUCUCCCUCCUUGACUUGAUCGCGGAUGGAAUUGAAGCGUCUCUUGAUGUGCUUGGUUCUCUUGUGAAAUCUGGAUUCCUUUGCCAAAGAAAUUGCACCAGUAUUGUCACAAAAGAUUUUCAUUAGACCCGAUGCACUAGGUAUAACACCUACAUCGGAUAUGAACUCCUUCAUUUGCUGCUUCCGAAGCAGCUAUGUACUCCGCUCCACACGUAGACCCCACCACGACGCUCUGCUUGGAACUGCACCAACUGACAGCUCGACCAUUCAAUACAAAUACGUAUCCGGUUUGUGACUUAGAGUCAUCCGGAUCAGUGUCAAAGCUUGCAUCGAUGUAACCGUUUACGAUGAGGUCUUUGUCACCUCCAUAAACAAGAAACAUAUCCUUAGUCCUUUUCAGGUAUUUAGGAUAUUCUUGACCGCUGUCCAGUGAUCCACUAAUGGAUUACUUUAGUACCUCCCUGCUAAAGUAAUAUCAAGGCACACAUCAGGUCUGGUACACAGCAUUGCAUACAUGAUAGAACCUAUGGCCGAAGCAUAGGGAAUGACUUUAAUUUUCUCUCUAUCUUCUGCAAUGGUCGGGCAUUGAGUCUGACUCAACUUCACACCUUGUAACACAGGUAAGAACCCUUUCUUUGCUUGAUCCAUUUUGAACUUCUUCAAAACUUUAUCAAGGUAUGUGCUUUGUGAAAGUCCAAUUAAGCGUCUUGAUCUAUCUCUAUAGAUCUUGAUGCCCAAUAUAUAAGAAGCUUCACUGAGGUCUUUCAUUGAAAAAUUCUUAUUCAAGUAUCCUUUUAUGCUAUUCAGAAAUUCAAUAUCAUUUCCAAUCAACAAUAUGUCAUCCACAUAUAAUAUCAGAAAUGCUACAGAGCUCCCACUCACUUUUUUGUAAAUACAGGCUUCUCCAAAAGUCUGUAUAAAACCAUAUGCUUUGAUCACACUAUCAAAGCGUAGAUUCCAACUCUGAGAUGCUUGCACCAGUCCAUAAAUGGAUCGUUGGAGCUUACGCACUUUGUUAGCACCUUUUGGAUCGACAAAACCUUUUGGUUGCAUCAUAUACACCUCUUCUUUAAGAUAUCCAUUAAGGAAUGCAGUUUUGACAUCCAUUUGCCAAAUUUCAUAAUUAUAAAAUGCGGCAAUUGCUAACAUGAUUCUGACGGACUUAAGCAUUGCUACGGGUGAGAAGGUCUCAUCCUAGUCAACUCCUUGAACUUUUUGAAAACCCUUUGCAACAAGUCGAGCUUUGUAGACAGUAAUAUUACCGUCAGCGUUAGUCUUCUUCUUAAAGAUCUAUUUAUUCUCUAUGGCUUGCCAAUCAUCAGGAAAGUCAACCGAAGUCCAUACUUUGUUCUCAUACAUGGAUCCCAUCUCAGAUUUCAUGGCCUCAAGCCAUUUCAUGGAAUCUGGGCUCAUCAUCGCUUCCACAUAGUUUGAAGGUUUGUCAUGGUCAAGUAACAUGACCUCCAAAAUAGGAUUACCAUACCACUCUGGUGCGGAUCUUACUCUGGUUGACCUACGAGGUUCGGUAGUAACUUGAUCAGAAGUUUCAUGAUCAUCAUCAUUAGCUUCCUCACUAAUUGGUGUAGGAAUCACUAGAACUGAUUUCUGUGACAAACUACUUUCUAAUAAGGGAGCAGGUACAAUUACCUCAUCAAGUUCUACUUUCCUCCCUCUCACUUAUUUUGAAAAAACUCCUUCUCUAGAAAGGAUCCAUUCUUAGCAACGAUUUUUUUUGCCUUCGAAUCUGUGAUAGAAGGUGUAACCAACAGUCUCCUUUGGGUAUCCUAUGAAGACACAUUUCUCCGAUUUGGGUCCGAGCUUAUCAGGUUGAAACUUUUUCACAUAAGCAUUGCAGCCCCAAACUUUAAGAAAUGACAACUUGGGUUUCUUGCCAAACCACAGUUCAUAUGGUGUCAUCUCAACGAAUUUAGAUGGUGAUCUAUUUAAUGUGAAUGCAGUCGUCUCUAAAGCAUAACCCCAAAACAAUAGCGGUAAAUCAGUAGGAGACAUCAUAGAUCGCACCAUAUCUAAUAAAGUGCGGUUACGAUGUUCGGACACACCAUUACGUUGUGGUGUUCCAGAUGGCGUGAGUUGCGAAACUAUUCUGCAUUGUUUCAAAUGAAGACCAAACUCAUAACUCAAAUAUUCACCUCCACGAUCACACCGUAGAAACUUAAUUUUCUUGUUAUAAUGAUUUUCCACUUCACUCUGAAAUUCUUUGAACUUUUCAAACGUUUCAGACUUAUGUUUCAUCAAGUAGACAUACCCAUAUCUACUCAAAUCAUCUAUGAAGGUCAGAAAAUAACGAUACCCUCCGCGAGCAUCAACACUCAUCGAACUGCAUACAUCAGUAUGUAUUAUUUCCAACAAGUCUAUUGCUCUCUCCAUUGUUCCGGAGAAUGGAGUCCUAGUCAUCUUGCCCAUGAGGCAUGGUUCGCAAGCAUCAAGUGAUUCCAAAAGCCCAUCAGCAUGGAGUUUCUUCAUGCGCUUUACACCAAUAUGACCUAAACGACAGUGCCAUAAAUAAGUUGCACUAUCAUUAUUAAACUUAUAUCUUUUGGCUUCAAUACUAUGAAUAUGUGUAUCACUACUAUCAUGAUUUAGUAAAAAUAGACCACUCAUUAAGGGUGCAUGACCAUAAAAGAUAUUACUCAUAUAAAUAGAACAACCAUUAUUCUCUGAUUUAAAUGAACACCUGUCUCGCAUUAAACAAGAUCCAGAUAUAAUGUUCAUGCUUAAUGCUGGCACCAAAUAACAAUUAUUUAGGUCUAAAACUAAUCCCAAAGGUAGAUGUAGAGGUAGCGUGCCGACGACGAUCACAUCGACUUUGGAAGCAUUUGCCACGCGCAUCGUCACCUCGUCCUUAGCCAAUCUUCGCUUAAUCUAUAGCCCCUGUUUUGAGUUGCAAAUAUUAGCAACAGAACCAGUAUCAAAUACCUAGGUGCUACUGCGAGCAUUAGUAAGGUACACAUUAAUAACAUGUAUAUCAAAUAUACCUUUCACUUUGCCAUCCUUCUUAUCCGCCAAAUACUUGGGGCAGUUCCACUUCUAGUGACCAGUCCCUUUGCAGUAGAAGCACUCAGUCUCUGGCUUAGGUCCAGACUUGGGCUUCUUCACUUGAGCAGCAACUUGUUUGCCGUUCUUACUGAAGUUCCCCUUCUUCCCUUUUCCCUUCUUCUUGAAACUGGUGGUCUUGUUGACCAUCAACACUUGAUGCUCCUUCUUGAUUUCUACCUCCACAGCCUUUAGCAUCGCGAAGAGCUCGGGAAUUGUCUUAUCCAUCCCUUGCAUAUUAUAGUUCAUCACAAAGCUUUUGUAGGUUGGUGGCAGUGAUUGAAGAACUCUGUCAAUGACACUAUCAACCAGAAGAUUAACUCCCAGCUGAGUCAAGUGAUUGUGAUACCCAGACAUUCCGAGUAUGUGUUCACUGACAGAACUAUUCUCCUCCAUUUUGCAGCUGUAGAACUUAUUGGAGACUUCAUAUCUCUCAAUCUGGGCAUUUUCUUGAAAUAUUUACUUCAACUCCUGGAACAUCUCAUAUGCUCCAUGAUGUUUAAGACGUCGUUGAAGUCCCGGUUCUAAGCCGUAAAGCAUGGCACACUGAACUAUCGAGUAGUCACCAGCUUUGCUCUGCCAGGUGUUCAUAACAUUUGGAGUUGCUCCUGCAGCGGGUUUGGCACCUAGCGGUACUUCCAGGACGUAAUUCUUCUGUGCAGCAAUGAGGAUAAUCCUCAAGUUACGGUCCCAAUUCAUGUAGUUGCUACCAUCAUCUUUCAACUUAGCUUUCUCUGGGAACACAUUAAAAUUCAACGGAACGACAACACAUGCCAUUUAUCUAUAAUAACAUAGACAUGCAAAAUACUAUCAGGUACUAAGUUCAUGAUAAAUUAAAGUUCAAUUAAUCAUAUUACUUAAGAAGUCCCACUUAGAUAGACAUCCCUCUAAUCAUCUAAGUGAUCACGUGAUCCAUAUCAACUAAACCAUGUCCGAUCAUCACAUGAGAUGGAGUAGUUUUCAAUGGUGGACAUCACUAUGUUGAUCAUAUCUACUGUCAGUGGUGCGCGUUGGUGCUAAACAAACGAGUUUUUACCCCUUUCCGCAACGGCAUUUAGAACCGCCGCCAAGUGAGUGUAUGUGAUAGGGUGUACUUCCCACACGAUCCAGAAAACGCCGGGGAUGGUGAUACGUCUCCAACGUAUCUAUAAUUUUUGAUUGCUCCAUGCUAUAUUAUCUACUGUUUUGGACUAUAUUGGGCUUUAUUUUCCACUUUUAUAUUAUUUUUGGGACUAACCUAGUAACCGGAGGCCCAUCCCAGAAUUGCUGUUUUUUCCUAUUUCAGUGUUUCGGAGAAACAGAAUAUCAAACGGAGUCCAAAUGGAAUGAAACCUUCGGAAACGUGAUUUUUUCAUCAGAUAAUAUCCAUGAGAUUUGGACCCUUCGUCAAGAAAGCCACGAGGCGGUCACGAGGGUGGAGGGCGCGCCCCCCUGCCUCGUGGGCCCCUCGAAGCUCCACCCACGUACUCCUUCCUCCUAUAUAUACCUACGUACCCCAAACGAUCGGGGACGGAGCCAAAAACCUAAUUCCACCGCCGCAACUUUCUGUAUCCACGAGAUCCCAUCUUGGGGCCUGUUCUGGAGCUCCGCCGGAGGGGGCAUCGAUCGCGGAGGACUUCUACAUCAUCAUCCAAGCCCCUCCGUUGAAGUGUGAGUAGUUUACUUCAGACCUACGGGUCCAUAGUUAGUAGCUAGAUGGCUUCUUCUCUCUUUCUGGAUCUCAAUACAAUGUUCUGCCCCUCUCUUGUGGAAAUCUAUUCGAUGUAAUCUUCUUUUUGCGGUGUGUUUGUUGAGACCGAUGAAUUGUGGGUUUAUGAUCCAGUCUAUCUAUGAAUAAUAUUUGAAUCUUCUCUGAAUUCUUUUAUGUAUAAUUGGUUAUCUUUGCAAGUCUCUUCAAAUUAUCAGUCUGGUUUGGGCUACUAGAUUGGUUUUUCUUGCCAUGGGAGAAGUGCUUAGCUUUGGGUUCGAUCUUGCGGUGUCCUUUCCUAGUCACAGAAGGGGCAGCAAGGCACGUAUUGUAUCGUUUCCAUCGAGGAUAACAAGAUGGUUUUUUUUAUCAUAUUGCAUGAAACUAUCCCUCUACAUCAUGUCAUCUUGCUUAAGGCGUUACUCUGUUUUUAACUUAAUAGUCUAGAUGCAUGCUGGAUAGCGGUCGAUGAGUGGAGUAAUAGUAGUAUAUGCAGACAGGUGUCGGUCUACUUGUCUCGGACGUGAUGCCUAUAUACAUGAUCAUACCUAGAUAUUCUCAUAACUAUGCUCAAUUCUGUCAAUUGCUCAACAGUAAUUUGUUCACCCACCGUAGAAUACUUAUGCUCUUGAGAGAAGCCACUAGUGAAACCUAUGGCCCCUGGGUCUCUUUCUCAUCAUAUCAAUCUCCAUCACUUUGUUAUUGCUUUGCUUUUACUUUUUACUUUGCAUCUCUAUACCAAAAAUACCAAAAAUAUUAUUUAUCAUCUCUAUCAGAUCUCACUUUUGUAAGUGACCGUGAAGGGAUUGACAACCCCUAAGCGCGUUGGUUGUGUUGAGCUAUUGUUUUUGUGUAGGUACGAGGGACUCGCGCGUAGCCUCCUACUCGAUUGAUACAUUGGUUCUCAAAAACUGAGGGAAAUACUUACGCUACUUUGCUGCAUCAUCCUCUCCUCUUCGGGGAAAUCCAACGUAGUGCUCAAGAGGUAGCAAGAAGAAUUUCUGGCGUUGUUGCCGGGGAUUCUGCGCAAAAGUCAACAUACCAAGUACCCAUCACAAUCCCUAUCUCCCGCAUUACAUUAUUUGCCAUUUGCCUCUCGUUUUCCUCUCCCCCACUUCACCCUUGCCAUUUUAUUCGCCCUCUCUCUCUAUCCUCCCUCUCUAUUUGCCUCUUUUUGCCCGUUUACUUUUUGUUUGCUUGUGUAUUAGUUUGCUAGCUUGUCGUUAUGUCAAGUCCUUUAUCUUCUGCCUCUAGGUCUGAAAUUGGGGAAAUUAUUGUCGAUAUGGAUAGUAAUAAUAUCAUGAAAAAUUCUGAUGGUCCUGCUAAAGAACCUACCAUCUUUCAUACAAAAAAAUCCGUGUUGGUAGUGAUAAUAUUAUUGGAAAAGGAGUUAUUCAAGAUUUCUUUACUUGUGCCGGUGCUUUACCUUCUAUGGGUAGUUCUAUCCUUCACAGAACUAGUAUUCUUGCGGACGCUAUUGCCAUGCUUGUAGUUGAACUUGAAAGACAAUUCAUGCACAUGCAUCCUUCCAUACAAAGGAUUUUUCUGGAAUUUUCUAAUAUUGAGUAUUCUUCUGUUAAGCGUGCCGCUACUAUCUUUUUGGCUCAUGAGUUUAGAUUCAUAAUAAAAGAAGCCAAAGAAAUCUUUGCGCAUUAUAGGGUGGACGCUUGUCGUCCUCCCAUAGAGGCUAUCCUCUUUGAUCAAGAAGAAAUAAUGCGUUUUCAAUCUCUAGACUAUGUUGCUUUCAAUGAAAAUCUUAGAAAAAGGGUUCCUACCAAUGUUUUAGUUGAUAGAAUUUCUGAACUUAAUGAUGAUUUGGCUAUUCGAAAUAAUGAACUAGGAUAUUCUCUUGAAUAUAGGCUCACAAAGUUCUGGCAAAAGAAUGCUUAUAAUGAUGAAUUGGUUGUGCAUUAUGAAGGACCAAAGGAGGAACCUAUACCUCCCAAGGUUGAUCUUGGGGACUUUUGUCCCGUUAAAUUUAGGCCUUUUGAUUACUUCUGCUUGCCUCAAAUAAAACUUGCUGCCGAACGUAGAUAAUAUGAAAUGAGUUUUAAUAAUCUAUCUUACUAUUAUGGCAAUACCUAGAUCUAUUCUUGCUUGUUAUGCCUAGCUAGGGGCGUUAAACGAUAGCGCUUGUUGGGAGGCAACCCAAUUUUAUUUUUAUUCCUUGAUUUUUGCUCCUGUUUAGUAAUAAAUAAAUUAUUUAUUCUCUGUUUUUGUUGUGUUUUUUUUGUUUAAUUAGUGUUUGUGCCAAGUAGAACCGUUGGGAAGACUUGGGGAAAGUCUUGUUGAACUUGCUGUAAAAACAGAAACUUUAGCGCUCACGAGAACUGCUGUCAUUUUUAUUUGGAAAGUGAUAGUUAGUUAAUUAUUGUUGAAGAUGAUUAAUAUAUAAAUUCGUCACGUCCAGCAAUUUAUUUUAGAAUUUUUGGGGUUCCAGAUCUUGCGCUAGCUACAGAUUACUACAGACUGUUCUGUUUUUGACAGAUUCUGUUUUUCGUGUGUUGUUUGCUUAUUUUGAUGAAUCUAUGGCUAGUAACAUAGUUUAUAAUCCAUAGGGAAUUUGGAAUACAGUAGGUUUAACACCAAUAUAAAUAAAGAAUGAGUUCAUUACAGUACCUUGAAGUGGUCUUUUGUUUUCUUUCGCUAACGGAGCUCAUGAGAUUUUCUACUUUAAGUUUUGUGUUGUGAAGUUUUCAAGUUUUGGGUAAAGAUUUGAUGGAUUAUGGAACAAGGAGUGGCAAGAGCCUAAGCUUGGGGAUGCCCAUGGCACCCCCAAGAUAAUAUGAGGACACCUAAAAGCCAAAGCUUGGGGAUGCCCCGGAAGGCAUCCCUCUUUCGUCUACUUCUAUCGGUAACUUUACUUGGAGCUAUAUUUUUAUUCACCACAUGAUAUGUGUUUUGCUUGGAGCAUCUUUUAUGAUUUGAGUCUUUGUUUGUUAGUCUACCACAAUCAUCCUUGCUGUACACACCUUUUGAGAGAGCCAUACAUGACUUGGAAUUUUAUAGAAUACUCUAUGUGCUUCACUUAUAUCUUUUAGAGCACGGUGGUGGAUUUGUUUUAUAGAAACUAUUGAUCUCUCAUGCUUCACUUAGAUUAUUUCGAGAGUCUUAAUAGCAUGGUAAUUUGCUCAAAAUCCUAAUAUGCUUGGUAUGCAAUAUUAAUAAUAAAACUUUCUUAUGAGUGUGUUGAAUACUAAGAAAAGUUUGAUGCUUGAUGAUUGUUUUGAGAUAUGGAGGUAAUAAUAUCAAAGUCAUGCUAGUUGAGUAUUUGUGAAAUUGAGAAAUACUUGUGUUGAAGUUUGCAAAUCCCGUAGCAUGCACGUAUGGUAAAUGUUACGCAACAAAUUUGAAACAUGAGGUGUUAUUUGAUUGUCUUCCUUAUGAGUGGCGGUCGGGGACGAGCGAUGGUAUUUUCCUACAAAUCUAUCCCCCUAGGAGCAUGCACGUAGUGCUGAGGUUUUUGAUGACUUGUAGAUUUUUGCAAUAAGUAUGUGAGUUCUUUAUGACUAAUGUUGAGUCCAUGGAGUAUACACACUCUCACCCUUCCAUCCUUGCUUGCCUCUUCGGUAUCGUGCAUUGCCCUUUCUCACAUUGAGAGUUGGCGCAAACUUCGCCGGUGCAUCCAAACCCCGUGAUAUGAUACGCUCUUUCACACAUAAACCUCCUUAUAUCUUCCUCAAAACAGCCACCAUACCUACCUAUUAUGGCAUUUCCAUAGCCGUUCCGAGAUAUAUUGCCAUGCAACUUUCCAUCAUUCCAUUCAUCAUGACACAUUCAUCAUUGUCAUAUUUCUUAGCAUGAUCAUGUAGUUGACAUAGUAUUUGUGGCAAAGCCACCGUUCAUAAUUCUUUCAUACAUGUCACUCUUGGUUCAUUGCAUAUCCUGGUACACUGCCGGAGGCAUUCAUAUAGAGUCAUCUUUGUUCUAGUAUCAAGUUGUAAUCAUUGAGUUGUAAAUAAAUAGAAGUGUGAUGAUCAUCAUUAUUAGAGCAUUGUCCCAAGUGAGAAAAAAAAGGAAGGCCAUAAAAAAGAAGGCCCAAAAAAAAGAGAAAGGCCGUUAAAAAAAGAAAAGGCCAAAAAAAUGAGAGAAAAAGAGAGAAGGGACAAUUUUACUAUCCUUUUACCACACUUGUGCUUCAAAGUAGCACCAUGAUCUUCAUAGUAGAGAGUCUCUCAUGUUAUCACUUUCAUAUACUAGUGGGAAUUUUUAAUUAUAGAACUUGGCUUGUAUAUUCCAACAAUGGGCCUCCUCAAGUGCCCUAGGUCUUCGUGAGCAAGCAAGUUGGAUGCACACCCACUAGUUUCUUUUGUUGACCUUUCAUACAUUUAUAGCUCUAGUGCAUCCGUUGCAUGGCAAUCCCUACUCCUUGCAUUAACAUCAAUCGGUGGGCAUCUCCAUAGCCCAUUGAUUAGCCUUGUUGAUGUGAGACUUUCUCCUUUUUUGUCUUCUCCACAUAACCCCCCUCAUUAUAUUCUAUUCCACCCAUAGUGCUAUGUCCAUGGCUCGCGCUCAUAUAUUGCGUGAAGGUUUAUAGGUUUGAGAUUACUAAAGUAUGAAACAAUUGCUUGGCUUGUCAUCGGGGUUGUGCAUCAUGAGAGCAUUCUUGUGUGACGAAAGUGAAACAUGACUAAACUAUAUGAUUUUGUAGGGAUGAACUUUCUUUGGCCAUGUUAUUUUGAGAAGACAUAAUUUCUUAGUUAGUAUGCUUGAAGUUAUGUCAAUAUGAACUUUUGUCUUGAAUAUUUUGGAUCUGAAUAUACAUACCACAAUUAAGAAAAAUUACAUUAAAAUUAUGCCAAGUAGCACUCCGCAUCAAAAAUUAUGUUUUCAUCAUUUACCUACUCGAGGACGAGCAGGAAUUAAGCUUGGGUGUCGGUGUCAAAACCGGCGGAUCUCGGGUAGGGGGCCCCGAACUGUGCGUCUAAGGCGGAUGGUAACAGGAGGCAGGGGACACAAUGUUUUACCCAGGUUCGGGCCCUCUUGAUGGAGGUAAAACCCUACGUCCUGCUUGAUUGAUAUUGAUGAUAUGGGUACUACAAGAGUAGAUCUACCACGAGAUCAGAGAGGCUAAACCCUAGAAGCUAGCCUAUGGUAUAAUUGUUGUUGUAUAUCAUCUAUCGACUAGCCUGGCCUCAGUUUAUAUAAUGCACCAGAGGCCUAGGAUAACAAGAGUCCUAGCCGAAUACGCCGGUGGGGAGGAGUCCUUGUCUUGACCACCAAGUCUUGUAGAAUCUUCCAUGUAUGCGGCAGCUGUGCGAACUAGCCCAUGAGUAUACGGCCAUGGGGGUCCUCAGCCCAAUCUAACAGAUCGGGAGAUGACGUGGUGAGUACCCCCUAGUCCAGGACACCAUCAGUAGCCCCCUGAACCGGUCUUCAAGUUAGAGACGCUCCUCGAUUCUUCCGGACUGUUCUUCAUCUUUGGUUGUCGGUCUUGGAAACUGGUUCAACAAAUCUUCCCAUCUUCGAUCUUGAGGAUCACCGAAAUGCAUUCGACGAGUUUACACAUCGGGUAUCCAAGGAGCCCCUUUAAGUGUCCGGCCUUUAUCAAUGCCUUGUUAUUUUUAGGCCACACCUCGGGUUUGAAGUUGUUCCCGGGAGGCAGUGUCCUCUUGCGUCCGAGCUCUAACGCCGGAUAGCAUUCGAGGUAUCUUUUGCAGCUGAGCACUAAUGCCGGACUACUUCCGAGCUCUAACGCCGAAAUGUAUCCAAGCUCCAACGCCGGACUGUGUCCAAGCUCCAACGCCGGACUAUAUCCAAGAUGUCAUAGAUCAUCUUGGUCCAAAAAAGUUGAAGGAGUUUAGCCGAGCUUAAUGCUGGAAAUGCCCUCUAUGGAGCCAGCCACUAGCGCCCGAGCUUUAUGCCGGACUACUUCCGAGGUGGUGCACCACCCCGACUGUGGGUCGAUUUUUUGUCAAUAUUUUUGAUUGGUGCAAUUUAUUCUCUGCCGAGAUAUAUAGCCAGUAGCCCUCAAGGUGUGUAUGGUCUAAAACCCGAGAUGCACCUGAAGGAUGACAUAAGGCCGCUGAUCCCAGUAGCUGCUGAGACUCAGGUUGAUUUGCAAAAUUGGCCUAAGGAUCAAGUCCUAGCUCGGCAGAAUACUUCGGGAUACAAAAAGCGGCGUGCUCAGUCCUCGAGACUCAGGUUGGGUGCGGCCAACCAACCUGAGGAUCAUAAUCUCCUCGGAAACUAUAUUGCACUUAAAAUUUUCUGCAUUGGACAGGCAAUGCAGUAGCCCCCGAGACACUGGUCGGGUGGCAACACCAGAUCAGGGGAUCGAUGUGCCCUUUAAUAUUUGUAAAUAAUAAGCCCGAAGCCCAGUAGCCCCCGAGCCUUAAUGCGGGCACGGGUGGCCGAAUUAAGGAUCGAUAUCCAUAUCAAAAUCACAAAUUAUGUGUAAUGACUCUAUGUAUCCAAGUACUUUACGUCAUUUAAUGCUCGGAUCCGCAUUGUACAAAACUUUGUUGACCGACCAUCGGCUUUCACCUCCUCGGCCAGUAGCCGAGGAGUGUUUGUCUUACUUUAUAAAGCCUUUAUGAGGGCAAGAAAAACAAGGCAAUCUGGCCAUACGGUUUUAUAAACAAAGGUACGCAGAGAGAUAUGUUAUAUUAGCGUUUUAACAUAAGAAAUGUCUUCCAAAGAAAAUAGUCCCGCUAUCGGUUCCUUUCUUUGGGUUGUCAUGCUAAGCAUGAUCAUGAGACCUUAGCUCUAAUAUAAGAGAAAAAUAUUGAGGAUUUUAGUUUGGGAGGCCAGUUAAUAGCCCCGGUAGUGUUCGGCGACAGUCGAGGUCAAGCCGUAAACACUUCGGCCAUUGUUAUGAAUGGCCCGUCAUUUAACAUAGUCAUCGGAUCGCUGACCAGUUUACGCUUAUUGUGACAGUCAGUUUUCAUAUUUCUCCACUGAGGUGCUUAACCAUGUGAGCUGGAAGCACAAUCAUAGUGGUUCUCCCUUUGCACGCCUAGCCGAACAAAGCGGAAUGUAGGAAGCAAGUGCAGGAGCCGGGCAACCCAACUAUUGACCGAAGACACAAUUCGAAACCGAUGCAUAUAUAGCAAUAUCCGAGAAUGUUUUUGCCGGAUACCUAAAGGUGUCCGGCAUUGCACUGCGAGACUUGUGCUGAAAACACACAAAUAGUUUAAAAGUGCCAAAAGCUUGGAAAACCAAAAAAUGUCAGUAAAAACUUAACGUCCGAACAAGAUCAAGUGUUCGGUGCCAAUCCGAAAAUUGGUGAUAGAAAAAAAGAGUGCUUCUGUCGUGCUUUAACAUGUCACAUCCUAUCUCAAGACUUCAGGCGGGUCAGCCUACGGCUUCAACCUCCUAUCCCGAAGGCGGAGUACUUCUCAUUAGGCCAGUUUAGCAAACUAAACUCUAGCGGCUUUGAGAGAGAAAUUAGGCUCCCUGGCUAGUGACCACACACUCGUGUCAAAAAAAGGAGUGAUGGAAAAAGACUUUGCAACGACCAAGAAGAAAACACAUUUACUAUAAAAUAGCUCAUAUAAAUUUUAAGAGCCCCCAAGUGACUUGGGAAAAGAAUUUUAUGCAUAAUGAUUGUAUGUACCGAAGUACUUAUAUCAUAUCUUUGUUCAACCGAACUUUAAAUGCGUCUUAACCGACCGUCGGCUUCUCCCUCUUCGGUCAAGGACCGAAAAGUGUUAUGUACUCCACCUGUCGAGAAUAUCGACAGUGUUUCUGAUAACCAGGCAACCGGGCCAUAAGGCUGUAACAAACAAAGCGCGCUCAGGGAAGUUAUGCUAUAUUACAAACGAAGUGUAAGAAGCAUCUUCGAAGAAAAUAGUGCCCCCACCGAUACCUUUCUUCGGUGCUCAUUAUUACUAUGAGACUUGUGCAAUAGAUUUUUUGUACUCAUGAGUUCAGUUGUGUGCCGACCAUGAUUGAAAACAAUAAGAGUGCUAGCUUUCAGCUUCACCCAGUCUGAGGUCAGAGCUCGGUGGACCCGGUCGUGACAAUCGCAGAGGUGCUCCCUUUACUCCCUAGCCAAACAAUCGAGAACGUAGGGGUAAGCACAGGAGCCAGGCAACCCAGCUUGCAAAUUGCUUAAGUCAAUAUGGUGCAUAUUGUGGCGUAAUACAUGAACAAGGAACGAAGCCGUACAAGUAUAAUCAUAUGCAAGAGGAAAAGGUUCAUAAAGGAAGCCCCAAAUAAACAGGGUAUUUGAAUUUGUGUGUCACAAACAAAGUUUGGACAAGAAAAUAUUUUACAAGCAACUUUUUUCCAAAAAAGUAUAAUGCUUGGUCGAACCGAACACAAGUUAAAAAUUUAAAACUUGGAGCAUGAAGGCAACUUAGCUGGUUAAUGUGUUCGGUAUUGACGACACGGUCCGAGCUUGAUGCAGGACAAGGUUCCAUCCCCCAAGCCAGUCCCGAGGUGGUGGAGCAAAGAGCUCGGCACUCCGAAGUGGUGACAUGGCACGGUCAAUGCAGUGUUGACGAAGCCCCCCGUCCAGCCGAGGUGACGUGGUAUGUCAGUACGCCGAGUUGACGAUACUGCCCAACCCGGAUAAUUUUCCUAUGCACAAAAAAAAUAGUGCAAACCGGAGAUAAUAGUAAUGAUAAUAAUAAAAAAUGUUGCAUAAUAAAUAAUUUAUGCAAAGUGAGUAAUAAAAGAAAUAUGGCCUGGCGCCGAAGUCAAUGUCGAUGCAGGGCGUCGGCGUGGUGCGGUAAAGGUGUGGCAAAGCCUGAAUUCACAGGUCGGUCCCAGUUCCGGAUGCGGCGUUCGCCGGACUAUGUACGGAAACUGACCAAACCACCACGCGACCAUCAUUAAUGCGACCAUCAUUUCAUAGACCUGUGUACAGAUGAUGGACAAACCAGAGUAAUAAUUCCUUGGGAAAAAUAAACCCAAACAAGCAAAAAAUACUAGGAUUAAUAGCACCUGGUUUAUUUGUUGUAGCAGUCCGAAGAAAGGUGAUUCCCAGAAUUGGGACUCGAUCCACACACCCAUUGCCUGAUGGGCGAUAAAGCGAAGGCAUGGCAAUGCUGGCAAAGGUCGGCUUGCCGAGGCAAAGCCCUCGGCCCAGCUAAUCGUGACGAAGCUGGUCGGCUGGUGACGCCAAAGUCACCGGAGUAGGUUGAUGAAGAGAUGAUGAAGCCCCCGGUCCAGCCGAGAUGUCGAAGCCUCGAUGUCAGCCGAUGAGUCGAAGUAGGUUGGCGUGAUGGACACCAGCUUGAAGAAGCAACAGUGCAGCCCUGCCGAUGCAGGUCGUGACGUGGUCGAUGCCGGCUUGAUGAAGUGACCGUGCGGCGAUGCCGGUAUGCCCGCUCCGUGUAAUCCGUGGGGCGGCGAUGUUGGUGAUGAUUUAUCCUUCGCGAUGCCGGACUCUUGCUCGGCUUGCCGAGAUAAUGAUCCAAAGAAGUUGAGCUCGGCUCAACAAAGUGACGACGUGUCUAGCGCAGGUCGGCAGCCGUGGAGCAAUAUUGCCGAACUGGUUUGACACUAGCAUGAUGUUGAAGAUCAUGUUCAAAAGAUCUUAAAGUUGGUGGGAGGUGUUCAGGAACAAAACACAAUACCCGAUACAACACUUCCUUCAAAAGGGAUGUCCGAAAUCCCGUUCAUAAAAAAGACGAAUUCGGGUCGGAUUCGUUUUCGCGCAGAAAACAGAUCCAAAAAGUGAUGCACUAAUCGGAAGGUUCCCGGUGUUUGGACGGUCGGAUCGAGCUGAAAUUUUGAGAGGUGGUGGAUAUAGGAAUCCCGCAGCAGAUCAACAGUUGGAUUUUCCAAAGGAUGUCCGAGCUAGAAGCUGGACACCACGCCCUAAACUCGUCCAGAUUCUCGUGUAGAUUUGACAGGGCUCCGGUAUAUCGUGGAUUGCCAGACAUUCCUCCAUCGGAACUUGAGGAAAUUUUCCAGGGUUGUUGUAGACUCAAUUCUGCACAAUUCCACCGAAGCAAUCGUUAAAGAGACACUUGAGGAGGCGGUGGCGGCGGACACAAGUUUGCUGUCUAGAAAAACAACACGGUCGCCUGAGGGCAAUGUUGACGUUGAGCCCCCGGGCUCCCUGGAUGAUUCCUCCAUGAUCUUGAUAGACAUCGGAGUGGAUGUUUAUAAAGGCCCUCAUCCGAACAUGACGAUCGGAGGUAGGGCGCAGUCCUUGGUCGAACCAAGGUGACCAGUCAAGCUGGUGACGAAAAUGCCGAAGUCGCAGUUGAUCUGCAGGCGAGCCAUCAACCUUUUGCCGAACAACAACGAAACUCUCAAUGAAAGCACCAAUGUCGGUGUCAAAAUCGGCGGAUCUCGGGUAGGGGGUCCCGAACUAUGCGUUAAGGCGGAUGGUAAUAGGAGGCAGGGGACAUAAUGUUUUACCCAGGUUCGGGCCCUCUUGAUGGAAGUAAAACCAUACGUCCUGCUUGAUUGAUAUUGAUGAUAUGGGUACUACAAGAGUAGAUCUACCACGAGAUCAGAGAGGCUAAACCCUAGAAGCUAGCCUAUGGUAUAAUUGUUGUUGUAUAUCAUCUAUCGACUAGCCUGACCUCGGUUUAUAUAAUGCACCAGAGGCCUAGGAUAACAAGAGUCCUAGCCGAAUACGCCGGUGGGGAGGAGUCCUUUAAUUGAUCACCAAGUCUAGUAGAAUCUUCCAUGCAUGCGGCAGCUGUCCGAACUGGCCCAUGAGUAUACGGCCAUGGGGGUCCUCGGCCCAAUCUAACAGAACGGGAGAUGACGUGGUGAGUACCCCCUAGUCCAGGACACCGUCAUUGGGGAUGCUUGAUAGUCUCCAACGUAUCUAUAAUUUUUGAUUGCUCCAUGCUAUAUUAUCUACUAUUUUGGACUAUAUUGGGCUUUAUUUUCCACUUUUAUAUUAUUUUUGGGACUAACCUAUUAACCAGAGGCCCAGCCCAGAAUUGCUAUUUUUGCCUAUUUCAGUAUUUCAGAGAAAUAGAACAUCAAACAGAGUCCAAACGAAAUGAAACCUUCGGAAACGUGAUUUUCUCAUCAGAUAAGAUCUAGGAGACUUGGACCCUCCGUCAAGAAAGCCAUGAGGCGGUCACGAGAGUGGAGGGCGCCCCCCUAGUGCGCGCCCCUGCCUCAUGGGCCCCUCAAAGCUCCACCGACAUACUCCUUCCACCUAUAUAUACCUACGUACCCCCAAACGAUCGGGGACGGAGCCAAAAACCUAAUUCCACCGCUGCAACUUUCUGUAUCCACGAGAUCCCAUCUUGGGGCCUGUUCCGGAGCUCCGCCGGAGGAGGCAUCGAUCACAGAGGGCUUCUACAUCAUCAUCCAAGCCCAUCCGAUGAAGUGUGAUUAGUUUACUUCAGACCUACGGGUCCAUAGUUAGUAGCUAAAUGGCUUCUCCUCUCUUUUUGGAUCUCAAUACAAUGUUCUCCCCCUCUCUUGUGGAGAUCUAUUCGAUGCAAUCUUCUUUUUGCGAUGUGUUUGUUGAGACCGAUGAAUUGUGGGUUUAUGAUCCAGUCUAUCUAUGAAUAAUAUUUGAAUCUUCUCUGAAUUCUUUUAUGUAUGAUUGGUUAUCUUUGCAAGUCUCUUAGAAUUAUCAGUUUGGUUUGGCCUACUAGAUUGGUUUUUCUUGUCAUGGGAGAAGUGCUUAGCUUUGGGUUCGAUCUUGCGGUGUCCUUUCCCAGUGAUAGAAGGGGCAACAAGGCACGUAUUGUAUCAUUGCCAUCGAGGAUAACAAGAUGGGGUUUUUAUCAUAUUGCAUGAAACUAUCCCUCUACAUCAUGUCAUCUUGCUUAAGGCGUUACUCUGUUUUUAACUUAGUACUCUAGAUGCAUGCUGGAUAGCGGUCGAUGAGUGGAGUAAUAGUAGUAGAUGCAGGCAGGAGUCGGUCUACUUGUCUCGGACGUGAUGCCUAUAUACAUGAUCAUACCUAGAUAUUCUCAUAACUAUGCUCAAUUCUGUCAAUUGCUCAACAGUAAUUUGUUCACCCACCGUAGAAUACUUAUGCUCUUGAGAGAAGCUACUAUUGAAACCUAUGGCCCCCGGCUCUCUUUAUCAUCAUAUCAAUCUCCAUCACUUUAUUAUUGCUUUGCUUUUACUUUUUACUUUGCAUCUCUAUACCAAAAAUACCAAAAAUAUUAUUUAUCAUCUCUAUCAGAUCUCACUUUCGUAAGUGACCGUGAAUGGAUUGACAACCCCUAAGCGCGUUGGUUGCGUUGAGCUAUUGUUUUUGUGUAGGUACGAGGGACUCGCGUGUAGCCUCCUACUGGAUUGAUACCUUGGUUCUCAAAAACUGAGGGAAAUACUUACGCUACUUUGCUGCAUCAUCCUCUCCUCUUCGGGGAAAUCCAACGCAGUGCUCAAGAGGUAGCAGAUGGACCCUCCUGGGACCCAGGCUGGGGCUGCGUGCGAUCGGGCGAGGCAUCGAAAGCCAAUCAUUUCAGUAGGUAUGUACAUCCCACACAGUAAUCUGAGAAAAUCAUUUAUGUAGGUAUGUACAUCCCACACGGUAAUCCGAGAAAAUCAUUUCCGUAGGUAUGUACAUCCCACACGGUGAAUCUCAGAAUUCCGUUCGUAUGUAAAGCAGACACAGUCAAUCCAAGGAAUACAUUUCCGUUCUUAUGUACAACCCACACAGUCAAUCCAGGGAAAACAUUUCUGUUCGGAUGUACAUCCCACAUGGUUUUAUGUAUACGCUCGUGUGUGAAAGGUGUAACUAUCACACACGCUCUGCCUUGGUUAACUGUUUGCUUUCAUUAACUACAUCACACACGAUUUGAUGGAGAAAACUGUGUGACAUUGGGCUAUCUAUCGCAAGUGCUUUUACUGCUAGAACCGUUUGCAAAGGUCCAUGACUAUCCCUUCUAUUUUUAUUUUUGUGUGUAAUUUAUUAUUAUAAUUGAAAAUUUUGAAAUACGAAACAUGCAAUUCAAAUUCUCAGCACAAUGGUUCAACAACGAAUCCAGAAAUAAAAUUGACAGUACAAUAUGUUCAGUAAUUACAUGAUUAGGCAGCAAUUAACUAUGAUGAACCGCAGUAUUUAAAGGCGACAAAGGUGAAGAGACAAGUUUAAACCAUUUUGACUGCCGACGGUGUUGAAGAAGAGGAAUGCCCAUAAUGUGCCUUCCUGCAUGCCAUAGGCACGAACCACUUUUGUCCAACCCCUUGUGACGAUCGCCCACCCAUCCUUCACCGCCUUCAGGAAGACUUAUAGAGCAUUAUCAUGGUAGCAUGAAUUAUAUACGUUAACCUUAGUUGCCUCCACUCUGUUCAUGUAGUUUGUAAGGUAAUAAUCAGUAAAUAGCUUCGGAAACCACUGAAAGAGAAAAAUAUCAGAAACUAAGGUCUAAUAGAGUAACUUGUUGUGGGCAGGGGGAAAAGGCAACACAUUACUUACCAUCCUAAAGUUCACUGUUGUCUUUGACAAAGUGUAAAUAAAGAGCUUAAUUCCAAUCACUCGUUUCUUUCGCCUAACAAUCUUUCUUAGUUUCCUCACUUGACACUUGUUCACGAAUAUCACAUUGCCCCAUACGCAAAAGGGAUCGAAGCGUGGAUCAGUACCCCUCAUAUAUGUACCUACAAGCAACCAGUAAAUGCUAGAAGCUAAACUAAGAUUGCACAAAUGAUGUAAAAUAUAACUACCUAUGUUCCUAAGUACAGGUAUUUUUUUGAGAUUUCAAUACGAACUACAUACGGAUGUAUAUAGAAUUAUAGAUAUAGUUUAGAUUAGAAUCUAGAUUCACUCAUUUUACUCCUUAUGUAGUCUAUAUUGGAAUCUCUAAAAAUACUUACAAUUAGGAAUAGAUGGUGUAUAAGACAUGGGAUGCAGCUAACCUCGACGGCAAACAACAUCAUCGUCCAUUGUAGCCCUAUGUAUGUACAUGGAAAGCCAAUGUUAACUACAACAUGGUUAACAUCCACCAAAAAUAGCAAAUGGUAAUAAAACGACAGCAUCUAUAGUGAUAUCUUCAUUUUGAAAGAGUAGCACGGUAGCAAAGGGACGGAUUGAAAAUGGAUACAACUGUUAAUUGCAACAGGCUUAAUGGCAAUUGAAACCGGUACUGAUAAAAAUGCAAUUGGCAAAGUUAAACAUCACAGGGCAGGUGCUGCCAGAGCAGAUAAUGGCCCAGUUCUCUAUAAAAAAGGUAGGGAAAAUAGCUCAAACGUGUUAGGCAUGUUUACUACAACAUGCUUAAUACAUCGAUAGUACAAAACAUAGCCAUUAAUUGCAACUGGUAUUGGUAAGAUUGAACUGGUGGGUACAUACUUGGUAAGUCCUGAGAGGUAGUUGCUGGGGCACUUCAUCUUGGCCAUAGCCCGCCCAAAGUCAGCGGUGGCGGAGGCGAGCUGUUCCUCCGGGUCGAACCGUGGAUCAGUGCCACUGACAUGUGUACCUACAUGCAACCAGUAAAUGGUAGAAGUUAAACUGCAAUUGCACAAAUGAUGUGAACUAUUGUAAGACAUGGGAUGCAGCUAUCCUUGACGGCAAACAACAACAUCGACCGUUAUGACCCUGCGUAAGUACAUGGACAAGCAUGUUAAGUACAACAGGGUUAGCAUCCACAAAAAAGCAAAUGGGGCAACAUCUCUAGUAUAUCUUCAUUGCGGAGAGUAGCAUGGUAGCAAAUGGACAGAUUAAAAAAUGGAUACAACUGUUAAUUGCAACAGGCUUAACAACAUCAUAAGUCAUGUUUUGUAAGUUUGUAGCCAUUGAAAUGCAACUGUCUAAAAAUGGAUUCAACUUUUAAUUGCAACAGGCUUAAUAGACAUUGAAAUGGGUACUGAUAAAAAUGCAAUUGGCAUAGUUAAACAUCACAAGGCAGGUGCUGCCAGAGCAGAGAAUGGCCCAGAUGUCUAUAAAAAGGUAGUGAAAUAGCAAAACAUGUUAGGCAUGUUUACUAGAACAUGCUUAAUACAUUGACUGUACAGAACAUAGCCAUUAAUUGCAACUGGUAUUGCUAAGAUUGAACUGGUGAGUACAUACUUGGUAAGUCCUGAGAGGUAGUUGCUGGGCCACUUCAUAUUGGCCAGAGCUCGCCCAAAGUCAGCGACAGCGGAGGUGAUAUGUUCCUCCGGGUCGAACCGUGGAUCAGUGCCACUGACAUGUGUACCUACAUGCAACCAGUAAAUGGUAGAAGUUAAACUGCAAUUGCACAAAUUAUGUGAAAUACUGUAGGACAUGGGAUGUAGCUCACCUCGACGGCAAACAAAAGCAUUAGCCGUUAUGACCCUGCGUAAGUACAUGGACAUGCAUGUUAAGUGCAACAGGGUUAGCAUCCACUAAAAAUAGCAAAUUGGCAGCAUCUCUAGUGAUAUCCUGAGUCAUGUAUUGUAAGUUUGUUGCUGGUAUUAGUGAAAUUGAGCUGGACACGGUAAUAUUUGAACAUCACACAAUGUGUAGUACUGAAAUAAACAAGGCACGAACAUGCUUAAUACAUCAACCGUACAAAUCAUAGUCGUUACAAGUGGUAUCGGUAAGAUUUAGCUGGUCAAAUCUUACCUGUUAAGUCCUAGAGGGUAGUCGCUGGGGGACUUCAUCUUGGCCAGAGCCUGCACCAUGUCGGUGGCGGCAGCGAAGGCGAGGUGUUCCUCCGGGUCAACACGCGCAGCGGCCAUCGCGCCAUGGACCGCCAUUAGCUCCUGGCGGCAGGGGGGAUUUGGAGGCAUGAGGAUGUUUCACAGGCGCCAUUUAAGCAAUCAGGCGGGGACGUGAUAGAGAUUGGUGGGUCACCUGACUGGAUCCGAGCAGAACAUAGAUGUGGUUGAAGCCGUGGUUGCGGCGGCGGCGGUCUGAGAUGCCGGUAGGGGGAGGCGCGAGGGAGGGGGGAUACUGAGGGGAAGGGGAUGUGGUUGGAGGAAUAAAUUCUGAAAUCGCACGCCUAAUGAAAAUUUCGGUGCGAAAUUUGAAACUUUGGCGGGGGAAAUAUACAACGUAGACGAAGCGCGUAAAAUACUCGUGUGCGAGAAAAAAGAAAGUUGGCAGAUCCCGUCUCCAAAAAAAUGUACACAUGUACUUGAUUUUUUUGGUCAAUGGUAUGCCUGGUUUAUUAGAAAAUAUCGCACGGGUAACUGACUUAUGGGUCAUUAACGCAAAAAACGCAGAUGGGUACGGCAUAUUAACCGUGUGUUUUGUGAUCUUCUAAUGAUUAACGCAAAAAAACGCACACGGGCACACAUGCUAAUCAACGCCCAAAGACCACAAAGGAUGCUUUUACCGACAUUGUACGUUAAUACUACAAACUUAAAGUACUAUUGGUAAUUUUCUCUAAUACUACAAACUUAAACUACUUCUCACAUGCGGCCAUCAGGGCAUGCUGGCCAGACGCCGGCGUUCUCCAUCCCGGCCUUGUAGGCGGCAGCCCACCAUGCUUCGAUCUCAGCCAAGCUCUCCUCACCAUGGCGUGCAGCCUCUUUUUUCUUACGGCAGCGAGACUCUCUUUUCUUGACUGCUUUCUGCCUUUUCCGCUCCUUCUGUGCGGCUUUGGCUUCCUCUAGAUCCACCACCCAUUCGGCCAUGGCAGCGUCAAAGUCCGCCCAUGUAACUGUAUGGCCACCGAUGACGAUGAACUCGGCACGGCGAGAUGCCAUCACUUCCUUACCAUGUGUGCGGUCGCGGGCGGCGAGGAACGCGGCACAGGGGGGAUGCCAUCGCUUCCUUACCAGUUACUGUGCGCUGCGGUGCCAUGGACGUCUCCUGGUGAGAGCUCUGGGAUGGAGGGGCCGGGCAGCCGUACAGUGCGGUGGUAUUCAAGAGCUCAAAAACAAACAACAACAGAAAUUUGGGUUCCCUUACAAUUUUGCUCGUUCAUUAUAGCACACGGUUCAUCUUCGUCGCUUCCAGAAACAGUGUGCACUGAGCCUAUUGUGUGCUGCAUUAUGAUUGGACGGAACCCUAGCCACGCGGAUCGCGCGUGUGCAUCGUUGCAUGCGCCGCGAUCGAGCGGCAAUCCACGUCCCUCACAUCACACCCGUGCACCUGUAGCUGCAUUGGAUUUAUAUGCGCUAAAUGCCUAGAAAAUGCACAUAAUAUCCUAAAUAUGGUAAAUGAGCCCGGAAAAAUGCCAAAUUUGAACACGGUGAUUUGCUGGGUGUAUGUUCGCGUAGAAAAAAACUCCAGGGCAAAGAACGAAGAAAUUUUGGAUUCCCCUUCAAUCUUGAGGAUUUCCCUUUCGAAAGCAUGGAACUUCCUCGGUGAUGGUUCGAUUUAUGAAGGGCGUGCAUGACAACAUAAGCCAAACAUUCUCAAAUUUUUACCAAGGCAUGGUGUGGUCAUACCAUGGCACCAUGCCAGGCAUCAUGUUUUUUAAGCAUUUAUUUCAUUUUUUCUAUAGUUGAAAACCCAACAAACAGACAUUUGUGGUUGACUAUUUGUAACGCCCCGAGACCGAUGCACCAGGUGUCUUCCAGUUAUUCAUGUUGAGUGCCUUGUCAUAUCUUUACUUCUUGCACCAUGCUCAUCUCAUUUGGGUAUAUUGCUUUGUCAUGCCCAUCAUCAUCUUAUUGCAUUGCCUCUUGUCAUUUUGCAUGCUAAUCAUAUACCUUGUGGUAAUCUUCAUAUUGUUGCCAUGUGCAUUUCUUUCAUCCUUAUGUGGUGUGUUGUUGUUAUGAUGUGUGUGAGCAUCAUUCCUUGUCAUCUCUCUCAAGCCAUACCCAUGCAUCAUCACCUCUCACUUCCUUCUUCUUUCAUGUUUUUGCAAGUGACUUUAUUCCUCCUUCAUUAAUGUUCGUCCUUUCCCUAUAAAUCUUGCCUCUUUCCUACACCCUCUCUGUCAGAUUUCAUCCCAUUCAAAGUUGUUUUGGUCAGGUUCAAAAAUGAUUGAAGUUUGAGCAUAAUCCAAACUCUAAUUAUUUUUCUGAUUUCUAAAAAUGAAAGAGCAAUUUAUUAAAACCCUACAUAAAUCCAGGGUUCCAGAUAUAUAUUCAUAUAUCUCAUAUUCCUAACCAAAACCCGUGGACUUUCCCCUUUGUUGAUUGUUUAUUUAUAUAAAGAAAAAAAUAAAAUAAAGGAAAAGGCCCCUUACUUGUUCAGCUACUCACUGGGACUCCCAACUCCUACGCAGGCCACAAACCUGCAGCUCGGCCGACCUUUAGGCCCAACCGCCCCACCUACACCUAACCCUAGCCUCGACCGACCUAUCCCUCUCUCUCCCCUGCUCGUUCCCACCGCCGCCAGAAGCCAUCUCCCUCGACUCCUCCUCUAGCGCCGCCAGAGACAUGCACGCAGGCGCAGUCCUCUGCUUCGACCCGACCUCAUCCUUUCCCUUGUUCCCUUGUGUCGGCUCCCCCUCAUAUCGAUCUUUCCCUGUCCUCUCGCUCAAGCUAACCACCCCGCGGCCCCGCAAGCUCGCCUGCCCGCACGGCCAUGGCUUCGCCGCCCUCGACCCGGCUCACCCUUGACGCCCCCUUCGCUGGAGCCCUUCCUCCGCCUCUGCUUUGGCCUCCCGUGAUAGCCACGCCGCGCCCUCAAGCGCCUCACCUCCCACAGCCGGUCGAGGACCUCCUCGUCGCCUCCUCAUCUACCCGGCGCCACUGACUCGUCAGCUCCGUCGCCAGGGGAGGAGACCCUCAACCUGUCCCCUUCGGCCCUGACUCCGGCGAGUGCCGCCCUGUCGACUCUCCUCCGCGCGACGCCUCCCCUCUGCUGCCUUGUUCCUUUGCCUGCGACUGCCCUUUUCUUUCCCGCCUUGCCUCACGCGACCCACAUGGGCGCCGGCCAUGGAGGCCACCGUGCCGGCCUGCAGCUUUGCGCGUGCUGCCUUGCCUUCCUGCUACUUCGUCCGACUUCGGACGACCUCCAUCGAGCUCGCCCGGCCACCUUCAACCUCGGCGUGGCCCUGCCUCCACUAGCAGCCUCCUGGAGCCGGCCAUUUCCAUGGGUUCGGGGAGCCCCAAGUCUUGUCCGUGGCCUCGUUGGCUGUUGAUGUUACGCUGUUGGCUUUCUCCAUCGUCUCCCCGGGCUCGUCAAAUCCUGUACCAGGAGCCCAAGCCGGAAGACUCCAUGGAUGUGCAUCUCACUUGUGCCAUUUUGGAUCGUCAAGAACGUUUCGAGAUUCGCCAAGUACCAUUACGCCCGGAGACCACGGAUCCGUCAAGUUCCACUACCGUCGCCAUGGAUCCGACAAGUUCGCGAGUACGACCACUUACCACGACGACCUUGUACCACUACCGUCGAUGAAGACAUGUGCACCGCAAGCGUCAAGUUCAACUACCGUCGACGGCGAAGGGUUUGGAGUCAUCAGGCACCUCUCUGAACGAACGGGAACGACUAUCGUAGCCGAGAUCACGAGAACCUCUACCGACGACCUCGAAACGUGUACGAUGACCGUUGUCGAAGACACGUACCACUACUGCUUCCUGAACGUGUACCACGACUUCCAUGACUUCCGUGAACCGCUACUUCCACGACGGUCAUGAACGACUACUUCCCUCCAUGAACUCGAUACGCUUCGAAAACGUACGCUUCGAAGGUAUAGCCCCGAGACGACCGUCCGAGAAUGAUUGCUUGUGUUGUAUGAGAUGCACCGGUUGUCUGCACUGUGUCGGUAGUGUCUCUCGCUUCCAUGCUGUCGACAGUUGGGACACCCGGUAACCAGGAGGACCCCACCCUUUAUAUAUUUCAUAUUCCUAACCAAAACCCCUGGACUUUCCCCUUUGUUGAUUGUUUAUUUAUAUAAACCAAGAAAUAAAAGAAAGGAAAAGGCCCCUUACUUGCUCAGCUACUCACUAGGCCUCCCAACUCCUACGCAGGCCGCAAACCUGCAGCUGGGCCGGCCUUUAGGCCCAGCCGCCCCACCUACACCUAACCCUAGCCUCAACCGACCUCUCCCUCUCGAUCCCCUGCUCGUUCCUACCGCCACCAGAAGCCUUCUCCCUCGACUCCUCCUCUAGCGCCGCCAGAGACAUGCAUGCAGGUGUAGUCCUCUGCUUCUACCCAACCUCAUCCUUUCCCUUGUUCCCUUGCGCCGCCUCCCCCUCAUAUCGAUCUCUCCCUCUCCUCUCGCUCUAGCCAACCACCCCGCGGCCCCAUGAGCUCGCCUGCCCGCACGGCCAUGGCUUCGCCGCCCUCGACCCAACUCGCCCUCGACGUCCCCUUCACCAGAGUCCUUCCUCCGCCUCUUCUCCAGCCUCCCACGAUAGCCAUGCCCCGCCCUCAAGCGCCUCACCUCCCGCAGCCGGUCCAGGACCUCCUCGUCUAACCGGCGCCACUGACUCGUCAGCUCCAUCGCCAGGGGAGGAGCCCCUCGACCUGUCCCCUUCGGCCCCGACUCCGGCGAGCGCCACCCCAUCGACUCUCCUUCGCGCGACAGCUCCCCUCUGCUACCUCGUUCCUCUGCCUGCAAUUGUCCUUUGCUCUCCCGCCUUGCCUCACGUGACCCACAUGGGCGCCGGCCAUGGAGGCCACCGUGCUGGCCUGGAGCUUCACGCAUGCUGCCUUGCCUUGCUGCUGCUUUGUCCGACCGCGGACAACCUCCGUCGAGCUCGCCGGCCACCUUUGACCUCGGCGUGGCCUUGCCUCCACUAGCAGCCUCCUGGUGCUGGCCGUUUCCAUGGGUUCGGGGAGCCCCAAGUGUUGUCCGUGGCCUCGUUGGCUGUUGAUGUUAUGCUGUUGGCUUUCUCCAUCGUCUCCCUGGGCUAUUCAAAUCCUGUACCACGAGCCCAAGCCGAAAGACUCCAUGGAUGUGCAUCUCACUUGUGCCAUUUUGGAUCAUAAAGAACGUUUCGAGAUUCGCCAAGUACCAUUACGCUUGGAGACCACGGACCCGUGAAGUUCCACUACCGCCGCCAUGGAUCCGACAAGUUCGCGAGUAUGAUCACUUCCCACGAUGACCUUGUACCACUACCGUCGACGAAGACAUGUGCACCGCAAGCGUCAAGUUCAACUACCGUCGACCGCAAAGGGUUUGGAGUCAUCAAGCACCUCUCCGAAUGAACGGGAAUGACUAUCAUCGCCGAGAUCAUGAGAACCUCUACCGACGACCUCGGAACGUGUACGACGACCAUUGUCGAAGACCCGUACCUCUACCGCUUCCCGAACAUGUACCACGACUUCCACGACUUCUGUGAACCGCUACUUCCACGAUGGCCGUGAACGACUACUUCCCUCGACGAACUUGAUACACUAAAACGCAUGCUUCGAAGGUAUAACCCCGAGACGACCAUCUGAGAACGAUUGCUUGUGUUGUAUGCGAUGCACCCGUUGUCUGCACCGUGUCCGUAGUGUCUCUCGCUUCCAUGUUGUCUACACUUGGGACAGCCGGUAACCGAGAGGACCCCACCUUCUAUCGCAUGUCACACUCCCGUCACUUUUCCUUUUGCAUCGGUAUCUCCAUGAGCUAUCGGAACCGGAAUGAUGCCGUGGCACCAUUUCCGUUGUCAUUGUCGUGGCACCCCUUUAUUUCCACCAUGGUGACAAAUGUUUCAUAAUGCUCUUAUCAACAUUUUCAUAAAAUUGCAUAAACUUGCAUAUGCCAUCCGCAUCAUGAUAAUAACAUUAAAAAAUUUUAAAUUGUUGUUUGCAUUAAAAUGCUAAUGCAUAUGGGGAUUUACCGGUAUUGUUGUUUGUUAUUUCCGGCCUCAUUUAAACUUGCCUAAUGUUUAGUUUACUUAUGCUCCACCUCUUGCCAUGAUUAAACAACAUUUAAUUUUGUUGAGUAGUUUAAACGGGAGAGAACUAAAUAAUUAAAUGUGGUGUUUCGUCAAUAUGCAAGUCGUUGCAUAUUGAGCUCCACUUAACUUGUAGUUUUGCUUGUGCACUUUGCCAUGCCAUGCCUCAUUAAACCGUACAUGCAUCAUACUUGGUUGUGCAUCAUGCCAUGUUUAUGUGAUGGUUGUUUACCAUGUUGUUUGCUCCUUUCCAGUGUUGCUUCUUCUUGUUAGUUCCGGUAACGUCGCGUUUGUGAGGAUCCGUUCGACUAUGUCCGUUUGUCUUCUUCAUGGACUUGUUCUUCUUCCUCGCGGGAUCUCAGGCAAGAUGACCAUACCCUCAAAAUCACUUCUAUCUUUGCUUGCUAGUUGUUCGCUAUAUUGCUAUGCCGCGCUACCUACCACUUGCUAUAUCAUGCCUCCCAUAUUGCCAUGUUAAGCCUCUAACCCACUUUUCCUAGCAAACCGUUGUUUGGCUAUGUUACCGCUUUUGCUAAGCCCCUCUUAUAGUGUUGCUAGUUGCAGGUGAAGAUGAAGUUUGUUCCUUGUUGGAACAUGGAUAUUGUUGGGAUAUCAUUAUUAUAUCGUAUUUACUUUAAUGCAUCUAUAUACUUGGUAAAGGGUGGAAGGCUCGGCCUUAUGCCUGGUGUUUUGUUCCACUCUUGCUGCCCUAGUUUCCGUCAUACCAGUGUUAUAUUCCUUCAUUUUGCGUCCCUUACGCGGUUGGGUGUUAUGGGAACCCCCUGACAGUUCGCUUUGAAUAAAACUCCUCCAGCAAGGCCCAACCUUGGUUUUACAUUUGCCUAACAACCUAUCACCUUCCCUUGGGUUCUGCAGACCCGAGGGCCAUCUUUAUUUUACCCCCCCAUCCCCCGGGCCAGUGCUUCUCUAAGUGUUGGUCCGAACUAGAGCCCCUUGCAGCGCCACCUCGGGGAAACUUGAGGGCUACUUUUAGUUGUACAGAUUGAUCAUUUGGUGUUGCCCUGAGAACGAGAUAUGUGCAGCUCCUAUCGGGAUUGUCGGCACAUUGGGCGACUUUGCUGGUCUUGUUUUACCAUUGUCAAAACGUUUUGUAACCGAGAUUCUGAGAUUGAUCGGGUCUUCUCGGGAGAAGGAAUAUGUCAGGACCCCGACUCGAUGUCACAUCGAUCUAGCCGGUAACACUUCAUAUCACUUUGCGGCCUCACGCACGGUAUUCCCACGGGUGUCGCCUUACCUUUGCCCGGGACCGUUUGCGCCUUUUGGCUCACGUAUAUGAUAGUGUCGCUAGCAUCCAUAUGAUAAAGAGCCCGGGCUGACAUGACUAGUCGUAAACCCAAAGUGGCACAGACUUACAGGGACAGGCAUCCAUGACCCAGCUUCGAACGUGUCGGUCAUCAGCAAGUGGGUCCGGGCUGUAGCACUGGGCUAGCAGGACUCCGGUAAACCGGGCUGUAGCGGGCUAACAGGACUCCGGUACUCAAAGCGUGACAUUUCCCCGAAGGGACAGACACAGGAACGAAGAAGGACACAUGCCGGCCAGCCUAAGUGUUCCAGAGCAGUAGCAUGCUACCAUGGCUCAGCGGUAACACUAGGAGACAUUUCCCGGUAAGAGAGGCUACUAAAGAUAAACAACUAGGUAGUCAGAUCCCACACAUACCAAGCAUUUCAAUCAUACACACAAUAUGCUCGAUAUGUGCAAAUAUAACGAAGCAUCACAACAUGACUCUACGACACAAGUACUUUUAUUUAAGGCUCAGCGAGCCAUACAUAACAUACACACAAAGGUACGGGUCUCACGACCCAACAUACAAGUCAUACAGUCAUACAAGCCAACAGCGGAAGAAACUUGUCUGAGUACAGACAACUAGUAAAAUAAAAGAGGCUCGGAAGCCUAACUACACUAUGUGGUCCAUCACAAGCUCAGGGUCACCACCUGGGUCUUUAGCCUACUCGUUGAUGUCAACGUCUACAUAGAACCCAUCAGAAGGGGUUGCAGCGUCUUCUGUAAAAAUGUAGAUUAUAGCAACAUGAGUACAAAGGUACUCAGCAAGACUUACAUCAGAUCCUACAUACAUGCAUAGUAUCAAGAAGGGUUGGUGGAGUUAUUGCAGCAAGCCAGCUUUGACUCCUGGCUAGACUAUCCUACGAUACUCCAAUUUGAAAUGUUUUGCGCACACGAGUCCACUACUCACCACUUCAAUACACUACCGAGGAUCCACCUCCGUCUUCCUACGGAAGACCCAUCCUCGGCACUCACACUUAUCUUGAGGCUUUUAAUAGUUUCCAUUUACUUGUCUAUGAACUGUAUAGGCAACCAAGUAGUCCUUUACCGCGGACGCGGCUAUUCGAAUAGAUCAUGUUAACCCUGCAGGGGUGUACUUCUUCAUACACGCUCUCACCACUUAUCGUCGUUUACACGACAUGUACUCGGCAACCUUCAAGCGGAAGCCCAACGUGGGUGUCGGCCACGACCUACCUAAUCACCUAAGCCUCCAGUCCAGGUUUAUCGCCUAUUCAGGUUCCAUCCGCAGGGAGUCCGGCCGAGGUUUCCCAUACGGCCCCGAACGAUGUGAACAGGGUUCCCGAGAUACCUAACGGGUAUUCGGUACACCGUGCCACGUACCUACCGCAUCAUAGCCCACCCCUACGGUCAGCGCUGUCCACGGCCUCCAGUAGGCUACAAACACCAGAAACUACUUGCAACUCCUGGACGGAGAACUAGGGUGAAUAAGAAGUCGAGAGGGUCCAUUGGUUUCGGGCCCAAUGCAUGGUAGUAGCUGAUUCUUAAAUCACACAUACAGAUCUCAGUGCUUAAGGUCGGCUUCAAUGAAACAACCCACCAUGUACUCCUACAUGGCCUCUCAUCGAUACCUUUACCAAAUCGUGUUCACCACACUACUCUCAUUACUGACAUAAUCAUUUCACUCUAGCCCAUCACCCAGAUGAACCAGACCUGACUCAACUCUAAGCAUAGCAGGCAUAGCAAGGUAGGAACAACACAUACAUAUGGCUCAAUCAACUCCUACACAUGCUAGUGGGUUUCAUCUAGUUACUGUGGCAAUGACAGGUCAUGCAGAGGAAAUGGGUUCAACUACCGUAGCACACAGCAGUUUGAAUCGCGUUGUCUUAAUGCAGUAAAAGAGAGCAGGAGCGAGAACAUGGGAUUGUAUCGAUAUGAUCAAAUGGUUGGUUGCUUGCCUGAUGGUUCGUUGCACGGAUACGGUUCUUCGUUAGGGUAAUCACGGUACUCCUCGGGAACAGAUCCUGUCGCAAAGGACAUCGAUACACAAACAUCACCAAACAAUAUGCAACAAUAUGAUGCAUGCAUGAAACAUGGCAAUAUGAGUGUGUUGGGCUAAUGCAACUAAAACCAGAAGGGUUUGAACAAAUUUGAAUCAAAGAUUCAAAUUUCAAUUUCAAAUAUGGCCUUUUAAAGGGCCUUUCCUUGUUCUGAUUAAAACAUCAACUUAACUUGUUUGAUCAUGCAUGAAAAUGGUACAGAUGGAUAGAUUGGAUUUUUCUGAUCAUUUUUCAUAUAUUAUUUGUCCAAUUUGGAGUUACAGAAUAAAAGUUAUGAAUUUUUGAAGUUUAAAUAAUAUUCUGGAAUUUCCUGAUUUAAUUUAAAUCCAGAAAUAUCAUUUACUGCGUCAGCCUGACAUCAUAGUGACAUCAGCAGGUCAACAGGGCUGGCUCGGGUCAAACCUGACGUGUGGGGUCCACACGUCAGUGUCACAGGGGCUAAUCCCGCGUUGACCCCGGGCUGGUUAGCUUUGACUAAGCCCUGGGGCCCACUUGUCAGCGUCAGUAGGUGGUGGAUUAGUGGUUAAUUAGCUGGGCCACGUCAGCUCGCCGGAGUUCUGGCCGGCGGCGACCAACAGUGCGGCGGCGAUAGUGGUUUUGGUCGUUUCGGCCACCAAAUGGAACGUGGCGACCACCGGAGUGAAGCUGAGGACGACCCGCGGCUCUUGGCGGAGUCCGUUGGGGUCGGGGUGGCCGGAGUCGACGGCGGCGAGCUCAGCUGCGGCCGCCGGGGUUCGGUCGUGCACGGGAGUGGUGCUGGAGCUCGAAGUUGAGCAAAGUGAGGCGCUAGGGAGGCUCUACUGGGUUCUGUGAACGCGUUGGACUCGCCGGGGUGACCAAGUGGUCACCGGAGCUGCGUCGACGGCGAGCUCGGCGACGGCGGAGGUUCGGCCGAGGUGGGGAUGCAGCUACGGUGAGGGAACGAGGGAAAGAAGAGGGGGGAACGGUGGCGUAGCUCACCGCGGUUGCAGUGGGCGUCGAAGCGGGCUCGGGGACGCGCUGGAGACGGCGAAUUCGUCGGCGACGGUGGUCGGAGUCCGAAGAGGGGAACGGCGACGUGGCGGCGAUGCAGGGCUUCCGGGGACUCGUGGAGCGGUGGGGAGGAAGAGGGAGUCGAGGCGGAGCUUCUGAGCUACUCGGGGGAGCGAGGGGUGGCCGGAGUCAGUGGCUACGGCGAACGGCGGCGACGGUGGUGUUCGGCCGAGAGCGAGAGAGAGCGAGGGAGAAGCGGGGGAGAGUGAGAGGGAGCAGGGGGGAUCGGGACGGGCUGCGGGCGUCGUCCACGCGGCCAGGGGGGCGUCGGCAAGCAGGAGGUGGCCGCGCGGCCGCGCGCGCGCGAGCACGCAGCAGCUUCGGGGCGUGGGGAGGAAGACGACGGGGAGCUACAGUGCUGGGCUGGCUAGCUGGGCCGGCCAGCUGGCUGGGCCGCACAGGUAAGUUUCUCCUCUCUUUUCUGUUUUCUGUUUUAAUUAAUAAUUCUGCAACUUUGUUGAAUUAAAUAAAAUACCUAGGCAACUCCAAAAAUCACCAAACUACUCCUGGUCCAUAGUUGGAAUAUUUCCAACAUGAAACAUUUUAGUUUGGAGAUAUUUGAGCAUUAAAAUAUUUUAUAUUAUUUUAAAUGCCCAAAUUCAAAUAGUUAUGAUUUAACUCAAGAACCCUAGGAUGGCCUAGAAAAGUGUGCACCAUUUUUGGCAGAGGUUCUGAACCAAGGCAAAAAUGAUGGGCAUUUUAGAAGGGCAUUUCAGGUUCAUUGAAAAUUAUUUUAGUAAACCCUAGUUGGUUAUCAGAGGGGACUGGGGGUUCUGUCAUCCCCAUUUCAAGUUUCUGAUGCAAAAGUAAACAUGAUGCAACACUCUAAUGCAUGACUAGCUAGGGUGUGACAACUCACCCCCACUCAAAAGAAUCUCGUCCCGAGAUUUGGGUUCCUCCGAGAAGAAGGCGGGAUACUCGAGUCGAAGACGAUCCUCCCUUUCCCAAGUUGCUUCAUCUUCAGAAUGGUGCGACCAUUGAACCUUGAGAAACUUGAUGUUAUGACGUCGCGUGGUACGUUCGGCUUGAUCGAGGAUACGAAUGGGGUACUCUCGAUAUGUAAGAUUAUCUUGGAGAUCAAGCGUUUCGUGGUCCACUUCACGGAUAGGAUCCGAGAAGCAACGUCUGAGUUGAGAAACGUGGAAGACAUCGUGAACUCUGGAGAGGUGCGGAGGUAGUUCCAAUUGGUAGGCAACUUCUCCUCGUUUGGCAAGAAUGCGAAAAGGUCCAAUGUAACGAGGAGCCAAUUUGCCUUUGAUACCGAAGCGAUGGGUUCCCUUCAGAGGGGUGACCCGAAGAUAAGCCUUCUCGUCAACCUCGAAAGUCAUAGCCUUAUGUUUUCGGUCAUAUUGACUCUUUUGACGAGAUUGGGCGGUUUUCAACUUUUCACGAACGAUACGAACUUGUUCUUCUGCUUCCUGAAUCAUAUCCGGGCCAAAGAAUUGUCUUUCCCCGGUCUCUGACCAGUUAAGGGGUGUUCGACAUCGUCGUCCAUAGAGGACUUCAAAAGGGGCUUUACCCAAGCUAGAUUGAUAGCUGUUGUUGUAAGCGAAUUCGGCAAAUGGAAGGCACUUCUCCCAGUCCAUUCCGAAUGAGAUAACAGAGGCUCGAAGCAUGUCUUCUAGAAUUUGGUUGACGCGUUCCACUUGACCACUUGACUGAGGGUGGAAAGCGGUGCUAAAGGAGAGACGAGUUCCCAUAGCAUUUUGGAAACUUUCCCAAAAUCGAGAGGUGAAAAGACUUCCUCGAUCCGAAUUGAUUUCCAAAGGAACACCAUGGAGGGACACUAUUCGGGAGAUGUAUAAGUCUGCCAGCUGACUAGCGGUUAUACUCUCACGAACAGGUAGGAAAUGAGCUACUUUGGAAAGACGAUCGACCACGACGAAGAUAGCAUUAUUCCCUCUCUUGGUCCUGGGAAAACCGGUAAUGAAAUCCAUACCAAUUUUAUCCCAUUUCCAUUCAGGAAUAGCUAAGGGUUGAAGGGUGCCAGCAGGCCGUUGAUGCUCUGCUUUUACACGACGACAGACGUCGCAAUUGGCAAUAUACUGAGCAAUUUCUCUCUUCAUCCUAGUCCACCAGAACCUCUGGCGUAGGUCCUGAUACAUUUUAGUACUACCGGGAUGAAUGGUGAGAGGAGAUUCAUGGGCUUCCUUAAGGAUUAUAUGCCUUAGGUUGCGCACUUUGGGAACUACUAAUCGAUCCCCGAAGUACACGACUCCUUGAUCAUUAACGGAGAAACAAUUCGCAAUUCCUUUCUGAAUAUUCCUCUUGAUGCGGGAGAUUCCCGGAUCUACCUUCUGUGCUUUGAUGAUUUGAUCCGUAAGGGUAGGUUUUGCCACCAAGGUGGAGAGAAAACCUUGAGGUACAAUGUGAAGGUUAAGCUUCCGAAAUUCCUCAUGGAGAAGCGGUUGACUUUGUUGUAACAUCAGGUUGUUACAAUAAGAUUUACGACUUAGCGCAUCAGCCAUGACGUUGGCUUUCCCUGGGGUAUAGGUUAUCCCUAAGUCGAAGUCUGUGAUCAAUUCAACCCAACGUCUUUGCCUGAGAUUCAAAUCCGGUUGGGUGAAAAUGUACUUCAGGCUUUGGUGAUCAGUGAAUAUUUCGCAACGAUUACCGAGGAGGUAAUGUCGCCAGGUCUUAAGGGCAUAGACUACGGCUGCAAGUUCUAGAUCAUGAGUAGGAUAAUUCUCCUCAUGUGGGUGCAAUUGCCGUGAAGCGUAAGCAAUUACGUGUCGAUCUUGCAUAAGGAUGCAACCUAGUCCUUGUCACGAGGCGUCGCAGUAGAUAACAAAGUCUUUGGAGAAGUCUGGUGGUACCAGCACGGGAGCAGAAGUCAGGCGUCUUUUCAGUUCCUGAAAGCUGUGCUCACAUUGUGAGGUCCAUUCGAACUUCUUAUCUUUCUUGAGGAGUUCGGUUAGGGGUUUAGCAACUUUGGAGAAGUUCUCGACAAAGCGACGGCAAUAGCUCGCUAAGCCUAGAAAACUCCGAACUUGCUUGACCGAUUCGGGUGGAGUCCAGUCAAGGACAGCUUGAACUCGCUCAGGGUUAACAGCAAUACCUUUACCAGAUAUUACAUGACCCAGAUAGGUCACUUCUGGCAACCAGAAUUCACAUUUAGAAAAUUUGGCAUAAAGGCGAUGCUCUCGAAGUUUCUGCAACACUAGCCUUAGAUGUUCGGCAUGUUCUUCCUCGUUCUUGGAGUAUAUGAGUAUAUCAUCGAGAUAAACUACGACGAAUUUAUCCAAAUACUCCAUGAAGAUUGAGUUCAUUAACCGAGAAAAAGUGGCUGGAGCGUUGGUUAAACCGAAGGACAUGACGGUGUACUCGUAUUGGCCGUAACGAGUAACAAAGGCCGUUUUAGGAAUGUCCCCGUUUCUGAUUUUGAUUUGAUGGUAGCCCAACCUCAAAUCCAUCUUGGAGAAGACUGAGGAUCCAGCGAGCUGAUCAUACAGAUCGUUGAUCCUGGGAAGUGGAUAUUUGUUCUUGAUUGUGACCAGAUUGACAGGUCGGUAAUCUACAACCAUUCGGUCCGUACCAUCCUUUUUCUUAACGAAUAGGACGGGGCAAGCCCACGGAGAUGAACUAGGGCGGAUGAAACCCUUUUUCAAGGAUUCAUCGAGUUGCUUCUUAAGCUCGGCUAGUUCUAGGGGUGCCAUCUUAUAAGGCCUUCUAGCAAUCGGAACGGUUCCUGGAAUGAGGUCUAUUACGAACUCAACAUCCCUGUCAGGUGGAACCCCUGGCAAUUCCUCUGGAAAGACAUCCGGAAAAUCACGAACUACCGGAACGUCCUCAAGGUCUGGCAAAGGGCUGGCGUUAAGAGAAUAUAAUUGUCGCUUGGCUAUUCGAGUCAAAACAUUGACUAUCUUCCCCGAAGGAUGGGUGAGUUGAACGGUCCUAGAGAAGCAAUCAAUUUUGGCUUGAUGAGCUGACAUCCAGUCCAUACCCAAAAUGAUAUUAAUAUCUGAAGAUUUAAGGGCUAUCAAAGAUGCAAGAAAAACAAGUCUGUCGACUUGGAUUUCAUUUCCAUGGCUUACUCUAGAAGUUUGCCAUUUGGAUCCCAGAGUUUGAAUUACCAUGGAGGAUGGAAAGUCACAGAAUGCAACGUUAUGCAAACGAGCAUAAUUUUCAGAUAUAAAAGAAUGAGAGGCUCCUGUAUCGAAAAGAACAGAUGCCGGGUGGCAAUUAACAAGAAGCGUACCGAGAACGACGUUGGGAUCUUCUUGAGCUUCUUCGGCAGAGAUACAGUUGACAUGGCCACGUGAAGCGGUGACCGGUUUGGCAAGGAACACCUUCCCUGUCGGCUUGCCACGGCCAACAGCUUUAGCAGAUUGAUUGGGGUUGGUCUGGGGACACUCACGCAUAUAAUGACCAGAUUCCCCACACUUGAAACAAGUCACGGAACUGGUACGUGGAGGAGCAUUAUUGGAUGGACCCCCAUAGGGCUUGGCUGGUGCAGACUGUUGGAUAGGGCGAGGCGCCUGAAAAGAUGGCCUCGGUGUGAACCUGGGUGGCAGGGCGGUAUUGGGUACCCACACGCGGCGCUUCUGAGGACUAGCACCGGAUGAGGAACCCAUAUCACGUCCAUGCUUGCGUGUUGCGUCAUAGUCAGUCUGACCAGUUUCAGCACUGAUGGCUUUGUUGACAAGUUUCGAAAAAGAUGUACACUCAUGCAGACGGAGGUCGCGACGAAGCUCAGGACUAAGGCCCUUACGGAACCUUGCUUGCUUCUUGGCGUCAGUAGAAACUUCCUCGGUUGCAUAUCGUGCAAGGUUACCAAACUCCCUGCUAUAGACAUCCACAGAAAGUCGGCCUUGGGUGAAAUUGCAAAAUUCUUCACGCUUACGGUCCAUGAGACCCUCCGGAAUGUGGUGUUCACGGAAAGCCUCACUGAAUUCAGCCCAAGUUGUGACAUGGCCCGCUGGGCGCAUGGCUCCAUAAUUCUCCCACCAUAGACUGGCGGGGCCUUCAAGGUGAUAUGCAGCAAAGGUGACUUUGUCAGCCUCCGCUACCAGCGCGGAACGCAGUUUAUGAGAGAUACUGCAAAGCCAGUCAUCAGCGUCGAGAGGCUCGACGGAGUGGUGGAACGUGGGUGGAUGCAAUUUGAUAAAAUCACUGAGUGACACCACGUUAGCCCUCUGAUGGUGUGCUGUGUUCUGUUCAAUACGCUCCAACAAACGGUUUGUCUCCCGCUUGUUUCUCUCAGCUUCCAUCAUCACCUCGGCUAGUGAAGGAGGAUGAGGCAGAUGUUCAUUUCUGGCUUCACUGCCUUCGGCCUGCUCUUGGGAAGCAGGGUUGGCGCGCGUGUUGACCAUCCUAGGUAAACAAGGCAAUGAUUUAGUCAGAAUGAUAAAAUUCCGACAUAGGAUACAUAAUGCAAGGAAUAACUCGGAAUGCAAGAUGAUCAUCCGUAUGACAUGGUAGAUACAGAAACUGCUUCUUUAUUCCAUCGUCAUACACACCAUACAAGGUUUAGUACAAGACCAAACAAAGUACUAUUACGGUGAAAAAAAGGAUUACAUCUCAUCGGAGGCAUCUCAAGCUACUAUACAUUAUUUUUCUACACCUCCGGAAGGAGUACAAACUAGUCAUAUCCCACGAGUCACGCAGGACGAUAGACGACACAGCUAGUGCGAACUGGUGAUACUACUACUAACUCAGACCGAUCCGUAAUAGUCCUCGUAGAAGUCACCUCCAUAGCCCGGAAGUUCAACAUGAUCAUCCGGAAACAGACGGUCUCGCGGAGCUUGUGGACCAUAGGGGCUAGGAUGAGGUCUUGGACCAGCAAACGGUGGCCUGCGGGGACCGCGAGGUGGGGUGAUGCCUCCUACAUCACGCCAAACCAUCACGUCUGGCAGAGCAGAUCUCACAGGAUAGAGAUCGCGCAUAUCUGAAUAUCCAGCUUGCACCGCCGGUGCGAACCGAGUCAAAGUGGCCCAGUGGUCAGCACGGGUAUUGAAGAGCUCUAACCUUAAGGCCCGAUUUUCACGGUCCUUAUCCUCGAGCAUCUCAGCAGUGGUGCGAGUCCGUGAAUCCUCCUGAGUGGAGUCAGCAUAUAUAGCCUGAAAAUAUCCUUGUGCUCCCGGAAGUGAUCCUGGCAUAUACCGGAAAUCAGAGUCCCGAAAUAACCUAGAUCUGACUCGCAUAAUGGUCAUCAUAGAGUAGGCGGCAUCCUGCACAGCCAUCUCGAUAGAAACCCCGAGUCCAUAGGAGCAGUGAAGAGGCUCAGUGGAUCCAGGAUAAGAUGGAAAUAUCCUGACAGUGCAGAGAUACUGGCUUUGAUUAAAGUCUCGGAAUUGUUCUUCGACCGUGUACUCAGGAUACCAGCGGUAUCCAGCCUCAGUCAUUACCCUGACCAACUUAGCAGUAUGGCCGGGUACAUCUAGGCACCGAGUCAGGCGAACCACUUGAUUGAGGUCGCGAGUGGCCAUCUGAAAGCACAAUUAUAAUGCAAAGGCAUUAGAAUUUCUAGCAAAAUUUCGGCAGCAUAACAGCUGUAAAUGCUCAAAAAGGAUAUUGAGACAUUUGACAAAGGAUUUCGUACACACUCAACAUCAUCAUAUCAAGUCUUGAAACCAUUCUUACAACAUAAUGUGGUGGUAGAACUGAACUAGGCUUGUAACCAUCAAACUUAUAAGGUACUACUGAUUAGUAACUCGUGAUCCUGAUAGAGAGAGCAGAUCCUAAUUCCUUAACCCCCGGUGGAAGAAUGGACUGACUCAGAUCAGAAAGUCAUAGGAUAUAAGGAGUAAAAAGAGCCUUACGUUCCAACCCACAAACAAUUCCCCUACAUAUAACUAAAGAAUUUCUAGACUCAACAUCAACCAGUUUGGCUUGGAGAACCUACAGGCAGUCCGGCUCUGAUGCCAACGCUGUCAGGACCCCGACUCGAUGUCACAUCGAUCUAGCCGGUAACACUUCAUAUCACUUUGCGGCCUCACGCACGGUAUUCCCACGGGUGUCGCCUUACCUUUGCCCGGGACCGUUUGCGCCUUUUGGCUCACGUAUAUGAUAGUGUCGCUAGCAUCCAUAUGAUAAAGAGCCCGGGCUGACAUGACUAGUCGUAAACCCAAAGUGGCACAGACUUACAGGGACAGGCAUCCAUGACCCAGCUUCGAACGUGUCGGUCAUCAGCAAGUGGGUCCGGGCUGUAGCACUGGGCUAGCAGGACUCCGGUAAACCGGGCUGUAGCGGGCUAACAGGACUCCGGUACUCAAAGCGUGACAUUUCCCCGAAGGGACAGACACAGGAACGAAGAAGGACACAUGCCGGCCAGCCUAAGUGUUCCAGAGCAGUAGCAAGCUACCAUGGCUCAGCGGUAACACUAGGAGACAUUUCCCGGUAAGAGAGGCUACUAAAGAUAAACAACUAGAUAGUCAGAUCCCACACAUACCAAGCAUUUCAAUCACACACACAUUAUGCUCGAUAUGUGCAAAUACAACGAAGCAUCACAACAUGACUCUACGACACAAGUACUUUAUUUAAGGCUCAGGGAGCCAUACAUAAUAUACACACAAAGUUACGGGUCUCACGACCCAACAUACAAGUUAUACAAUCAUACAAGCCAACAGCGGAAGUAACUUGUCUGAGUACAGACAACUAGUAAAAUAAAAGAGGCUUGGAAAGCCUGGCUAUACUAUGUGGUCCUCCACAAGCUCAAGGUCACCACCUGGGUCUUUAGCCUACUCGUUGAUGUCAACGUCUACAUAGAACCCAUCAGAAGGGGUUGCAGCGUCUUCUGUAAAAUGUAGAUUAUAGCAACAUGAGUACAAAGGUACUCAGCAAGACUUACAUCAGAUCCUACAUACAUGCAUAGUAUCAAGAAAGGUUGGUGGAGUUAUUGCAGCAAGCCAGCUUUGACUCUUGGCUAGACUAUCCUACGAUACUCCAUUUGAAAUAGUUUUGCGCACACGAGUCCACUAUUCACCACUUCAAUACACUACCGAGGAUCCACCUCCGUCUUCCUACGGAAGAGCCAUCCUCGGCACUCACACUUAUCCUGAGGCUUUUAAUAGUUUCCAUUUACUUGUCUAUGAACUGUAUAGGCAACCAAGUAGUCCUUUACCGCGGACGCGGCUAUUCGAAUAGAUCAUGUUAACCCUGCAGGGGUGUACUUCUUCAUACACGCUCUCACCACUUAUCGUCGUUUACACGACAUGUACUCGGCAACCUUCAAGCGGAAGCCCAACGUGGGUGUCGGCCACGACCUACCUAAUCACCUAAGCUUCCAGUCCAGGUUUAUCGCCUAUUCAGGUUCCAUCCGCAGGGAGUCCGGCCGAGGUUUCCCAUACGGCCCCGAACGAUGUGAACAGGGUUCCCGAGAUACCUAACGGGUAUUUGGUACACCCGGCCACGUACCUACCGCAUCACAGCCCACCCCUACGGUCAGCGCUGUCCACGGCCUCCAGUAGGCUACAAACACCAGAAACUACUUGCAACUCCUGGACGGAGAACUAGGGUGAAUAAGAAGUCGAGAGGGUCCAUUGGUUUCGGGACCAAUGCAUGGUAGUAGCUGAUUCUUAAAUCACACAUACAGAUCUCAGUGCUUAAGGUCGGCUUCAAUGAAACAACCCACCAUGUACUCCUACAUGGCCUCUCAUCGAUACCUUUACCAAAUCGUGUUCACCACACCACUCCCAUUACUGACAUAAUCAUUUCACUCUAGCCCAUCACCCAGAUGAACCAGACCUGACGCAACUCUAAGCAUAGCAGGCAUAGCAAGGUAGGAACAACACAUACAUAUGGCUCAAUCAACUCCUACACAUGCUAGUGGGUUUCAUCUAGUUACUGUGGCAAUGACAGGUCAUGCAGAGGAAAUGGGUUCAACUACCGUAGCACACAGCAGUUUGAAUCGCGUUGUCUUAAUGCAGUAAAAGAGAGCAGGAGCGAGAACAUGGGAUUGUAUCGAUAUGAUCAAAUGGUUGGUUGCUUGCCUGAUGGUUCGUUGCACGGAUACGGUUCUUCGUUAGGGUAAUCACGGUACUCCUCGGGAACAGAUCCUGUCGCAAAGGACAUCGAUACACAAACAUCACCAAACAAUAUGCAACAAUAUGAUGCAUGCAUGAAACAUGGCAAUAUGAGUGUGUUGGGCUAAUGCAACUAAAACCAGAAGGGUUUGAACAAAUUUGAAUCAAAGAUUCAAAUUUCAAUUUCAAAUAUGGCCUUUUAAAGGGCCUUUCCUUGUUCUGAUUAAAACAUCAACUUAACUUGUUUGAUCAUGCAUGAAAAUGGUACAGAUGGAUAGAUUGGAUUUUUCUGAUCAUUUUUCAUAUAUUAUUUGUCCAAUUUGGAGUUACAGAAUAAAAGUUAUGAAUUUUUGAAGUUUAAAUAAUAUUCUGGAAUUUCCUGAUUUAAUUUAAAUCCAGAAAUAUCAUUUACUGCGUCAGCCUGACAUCAUAGUGACAUCAGCAGGUCAACAGGGCUGGCUCGGGUCAAACCUGACGUGUGGGGUCCACACGUCAGUGUCACAGGGGCUAAUCCCGCGUUGACCCCGGGCUGGUUAGCUUUGACUAAGCCCUGGGGCCCACUUGUCAGCGUCAGUAGGUGGUGGAUUAGUGGUUAAUUAGCUGGGCCACGUCAGCUCGCCGGAGUUCUGGCCGGCGGCGACCAACAGUGCGGCGGCGAUAGUGGUUUUGGUCGUUUCGGCCACCAAAUGGAACGUGGCGACCACCGGAGUGAAGCUGAGGACGACCCGCGGCUCUUGGCGGAGUCCGUUGGGGUCGGGGUGGCCGGAGUCGACGGCGGCGAGCUCAGCUGUGGCCGCCGGGGUUCGGUCGUGCACGGGAGUGGUGCUGGAGCUCGAAGUUGAGCAAAGUGAGGCGCUAGGGAGGCUCUACUGGGUUCUGUGAACGCGUUGGACUCGCCGGGGUGACCAAGUGGUCACCGGAGCUGCGUCGACGGCGAGCUCGGCGACGGCGGAGGUUCGGCCGAGGUGGGGAUGCAGCUACGGUGAGGGAACGAGGGAAAGAAGAGGGGGGAACGGUGGCGUAGCUCACCGCGGUUGCAGUGGGCGUCGAAGCGGGCUCGGGGACGCGCUGGAGACGGCGAAUUCGUCGGCGACGGUGGUCGGAGUCCGAAGAGGGGAACGGCGACGUGGCGGCGAUGCAGGGCUUCCGGGGACUCGUGGAGCGGUGGGGAGGAAGAGGGAGUCGAGGCGGAGCUUCUGAGCUACUCGGGGGAGCGAGGGGUGGCCGGAGUCAGUGGCUACGGCGAACGGCGGCGACGGUGGUGUUCGGCCGAGAGCGAGAGAGAGCGAGGGAGAAGCGGGGGAGAGUGAGAGGGAGCAGGGGGGAUCGGGACGGGCUGCGGGCGUCGUCCACGCGGCCAGGGGGGCGUCGGCAAGCAGGAGGUGGCCGCGCGGCCGCGCGCGCGCGAGCACGCAGCAGCUUCGGGGCGUGGGGAGGAAGACGACGGGGAGCUACAGUGCUGGGCUGGCUAGCUGGGCCGGCCAGCUGGCUGGGCCGCACAGGUAAGUUUCUCCUCUCUUUUCUGUUUUCUGUUUUAAUUAAUAAUUCUGCAACUUUGUUGAAUUAAAUAAAAUACCUAGGCAACUCCAAAAAUCACCAAACUACUCCUGGUCCAUAGUUGGAAUAUUUCCAACAUGAAACAUUUUAGUUUGGAGAUAUUUGAGCAUUAAAAUAUUUUAUAUUAUUUUAAAUGCCCAAAUUCAAAUAGUUAUGAUUUAACUCAAGAACCCUAGGAUGGCCUAGAAAAGUGUGCACCAUUUUUGGCAGAGGUUCUGAACCAAGGCAAAAAUGAUGGGCAUUUUAGAAGGGCAUUUCAGGUUCAUUGAAAAUUAUUUUAGUAAACCCUAGUUGGUUAUCAGAGGGGACUGGGGGUUCUGUCAUCCCCAUUUCAAGUUUCUGAUGCAAAAGUAAACAUGAUGCAACACUCUAAUGCAUGACUAGCUAGGGUGUGACAGAAUAUCCUUCGUUGACCGUGAGAGCUUGUGAUGGGCUAAGUUGGGACACCCCUGCAGGGUAUAAACUUUUGAGAGCCAUGCCCGCGGUUAUGGGCAGAUGGGAAUUUGUUAAUAUCCCAUUGUAGAGAACUUGACACUUAACUUAAUUAAAAUGAAUCAACCGCGUGUGUAGCCGUGAUGGUCUCUUUUCGGCAGAGUCCGCGAAGAGAACACGGUCUCGUGUUAUGCUUGAACGUAUGUAGUUUCAGGAUCACUUCUAGCUUCUUGACUGUGUGUUGCUUCUCUUCUCGCUCUUAUUUGCGCAUGUUAGCCACCAUAUAUGGUAGUGCUUGCUGCAGCUCCACCUCACUACCCUUUCCUACCCAUAAGCUUAAAUAGUCUUGAUCACGCGGGUGUGAGAUUGCUGAGUCCUCGUGACUCACAUAUACUUCCGAACAGUUGCAGGUGCCGAUGAUACCAUUGCAGAUGACACAAUUGAGCUCAAGUGGGAGCUCGAUGAAGAUCUUGGUCGUUGUUUCAUUUCGAUUUCGGAUGUUCAGUAGUGGAGCCCAGUUGGGACGAUCGGGGAUCUAGCAUUUGGGGUUGUCUUCUUUUAUUUUGGUUCCGUAGUCGGACCUUGAUUGUAUUCUGGAUGAUGUAUGUAUAACUUGUAUUUGUGUGAAGUGGCGAUUGUUAGCCAACUCUUUAUCCCAUUCUUAUUUAGUACAUGGGAUUGUGUGAAGAUUACCCCUCUUGCGACAAACCUACCAUGCGGCUAUGCCUCUAAGUCAUGCCCCAACACGUGGGAGAUAUAGCCGCAUUGUGGGUGUUACAAGUUGGUAAUCAGAGCCAUCCCCGACUUAGGAGCCCCCUGCUUGAUCGAAUCGCUGAUGUUGUUGAGUCUAGAACAAAAUGUUUUGAAUCUUAGGAUUAUAUAUAUCGGAGAGUAGGAUUCUUUUGACAACUCAGUCCCUUCGUCGCUCUGUUGAGGCCUCCUGACGUAGAGUUUUGACUCUUCUCUCCUCAAAUUUCACGAUUUUUUAGGAUCACGCGGGUAUCUUGGAAUCGUUCCGAUAGUCUUGUGAUAAUAACAUUGUUCUUGGUGCCUCCUGACAUUUAUGGGUUGUGGCCGUGUCCCGGGGAGUUGAGCUUCGAGGUGUUGUCGUCACAAUUUUAUCGUUGCAGUUCUGGAAUACCUGAGUUCGCCGACAUCGGAAAUCUCUUUUAUGCAGUUGUUGGUGAGAUAACCUCGACGCCGCCCAGUACUGGGGCGAGAGUUCAAGAGUAUUACCAUAACUCGUAUAACGGAUGCUUUUCGAAGGUUGAGGUAAAUGAUUUCCGAAGGUUUCUUGGUUAUGUGUUGAAGGAUGGAUACAGCUGGAUGUAGGAUUUGUUACUUUUGGGUGAGAUAUUAUGCUUCCCCUGUAUCCCCAACACCUGAUUGCAUAACCAGAAAGUUUUGGGAGUUUAUAAGUGGGAAUCCAAGUAGCUCCUAGAAUAAUCUUUCAACAGACACAUGAUAAGAUAUGGGAUCUAUCAUAUGUUUGUUUCCGGCUUAUUUUGCAAGCCAAUCCUUGCUUUGUUUUUGUUGUGAUAUUCGAGUUGCUUCAGUGUCAAGUGUUGAUUCCAUACCUUUCCUAAGCGAUAUUCUCACAUUUCUAUGUGAAUAUUAAUUCUUCAUGAUAAUCGAGAUUGUCAUGUCAAUACUUUUCAACCGGUGUGUUUCUCUUCAAGUGGAUCCGAUCAUUUUCAACAUUUGCAAGAUCAAUGCUCAGUUAUUCACAACGGUGUUUGUUUCAUCCGUCCUAAGUUGUCUUUGUUUUCCCGCCCUCCCACCCUUUUUCUUCAAGGACUCGGAUUUCUUAUUAAAGUAUCCUUUUAUUGUUGCGAAGCCUCUCCAUUCUUUUAAGUCAAUGUUGAAAGGAUCGAUAUGGUUGACUAGAGGGGGGGGUGAAUAGGCAACUAGCAAUUUUUAGCUUUGCUUUAACAAUUUAAACUUUGCAUUAAAGUAGGUUUUUUAGAUAUGCAACUAAGUGAGCAACCUAUAUGAUGCAACAAAGAUAGGAACACAAGCAAGCAAGAGAUAUAUCACAGAUAAGCUUGCACAAGUAAAGGCACGAGAUAACCAAGAGUGGAGCCGGUGGAGACGAGGAUGUGUUACCGAAGUUCCUUCCCUUUGAGGGGAAGUACGUCUCCGUUGGAGCGGUGUGGAGGCACAAUGCUCCCCAAGAAGCCACUAGGGCCACCGUAUUCUCCUCACGCCCUCACACAAUGCGAGAUGCCGUGAUUCCACUAUUGGUGCCCUUGGAGGCAGCGACCGAACCUUUACAAACAAGGUUGGGGCAAUAUCCACAACUCAAUUGGAGGCUCCCAACGACACCAUGAAGCUUCACCACAAUGGACUAUGGCUCCGCGGUGACCUAAACCGUCUAGGGUGCUCAAACACCCAAGAGUAACAAGAUCCGCAAGGGAUUAGUGAGGGAAUCAAAUUUCUCUUGGUGGAAGUGUAGAUGGGGGCCUUCUCAACCACACCCGAGCAAAUCAACAAGUUUGAUUGGCUAGGGAGUGAGAUCGGGCGAAAAUGGAGCUUGGAGCAACAAUGGAGCUUAGGGUUGGAAGAGGUGGUCAACUAGAGGAAGAAGACACCCCUUCUAUAGCUUAGGACAAAAAUCCAACUGUUAUCCACCUACCAGCCUGCGACCAGCGGUACUACCGCGCCAGACCAGCAGUACUACCGUAGGGCCACGCGUUACUUCUGCUUGCUGACAAGCGGUACUACCGCAAGGCCCCGCGGUACUACCGUGCGGACCCGUGGUACUACCGCAGCAGCAGCAGCUAGGGCAGACCUGUAGCACAAGAGCUGAGGGUGGUACUGCCGCGGGCGCGGUACUACUGCUCCCCCUUGUGGUACUACCGCAAGGCAGGAAAUCCCUAGCCUGGGAAGAGCGCGGAUAAAGAAACAUCCGUUCCUACUUCUGCUGGUAAAUGGAAGAAGCAAAAAUCCGACACAGUACUACCAUAGAGGAGCGGUACUACCACCUGGCAGCUGAUCCAGGCCGCGCACGGUACUACCGCACAAGGGAUGCGGUACUACUGCAGCAGUGCGGAUGUAAAAAAUUACAUCCGCCCCUACUACCGCGAAGGAGCGGUACUUGGCCUGGGGGCCACGGUACUGCGGCUCCAGAGGAGCGAUACUACCGUGGGCACCUGCGGUACUACCGCGCCGAAGUGGGGUACUACCGCUCAACAAGGAGCCGUACUACCGCAAGCACACCAACAACAGUCAGGACAAGGGAAAAGAGGAUCAAUGGACGAUGCUCCAAAGUGCAGGGGAAAGGAGGGGACAAGGAAGAAAACGUGUACGUGAUGAUUCCACCCAAACCUUUCUGAUGCGGACCCCCUCUUGAUAGUACGGCUUUCCUACGACUCAAAUCCACCAAAAAGAAAUGUAGAAAAGAUGCCUUCUUCAACAGUCUUUGAGGGGCACCAAACCGUCUUAUGCCUAGCGAUGAAACGUCUGGGAAACUCAAGGCACACGAUUAGUCCACAAAAGCAUUGUCAUCAAUCACCAAAACACCUUAGGGAUAAAUAUGCCAUUACAAAUGUUCUUAUCCGGUGAUUCUUAGGAAGAUACUAACAGAGCUUCAAGUUCAUCAUUCUUCGUUCUCUUUUCUUCUCCGUUGGAUUCAAUUCAAGCUUUCGGUGUUGAUCAUAUUCCAUUCCUUGUUUCAAAUGUGUUCUCAUGCCGGUGCACCUCUUAAUCAUCCACUCUUGCUAUUCUAUUGUUCCGGAGUGCUGAAGAUGCCUCAGAAGAAUCGUUUCCAUUCUUAAUCCAUUCAAGUUAUUUCAUGGUUGUUAUCUCAUUCAAGCCAUUUAAUUCAACCGGUGCAAUCUCUCUUUUCAAGCAAUCGCUUCAACGGUGUAUCUUUUGAGUGGGCCCUAACCCACAGGUCUUUUCCCAGGAUCUUACCUGACUCUUCUAAUUUUCCAGAGUUAUUUUCAAAAUCAUUUCAAAGUUUGACGUAAGAAUGAAUUUUCAUCAGUCAAAUGCCUUUCUCCAAGAUCUUUCAAAGUCUUUUCAUCGUUGGUUCAACCUUUCUAAUUUUCAUCCCGGAGUAUCUCAACAAUUCAUGGUGGUAUUUCUCAUCGUCAUUCUCACGUUUCUGAAGUUCGAAGAAGAGUUCCUCUUAAACUCUUACCCUUUCUUCCAAAGAUGGGAAGUUCAAGCUUGAUGCCAUCCUUUCAUAAUUGUUUUCGAUUGCGAGAAUCCUUUUCACCCUUCUGGAGCAUUUCAGGAGUUGUUUUCGUUUUUCUUGAUCAUCCAAAGGCCAUCAUUUCAGAAGAUUUAUUCAUUCUCAGCUUUCAGCUCUCAUUCUCCAAAUCUUACUGGUGCAUCUUUCAAGUGUUCUCUAAUCAGUUCAUGAUAUCUUUGUUCUCUUGUAUCUAAAUUCCAUCAAGUAUUUUCAUUCGUUUCUAAUUCUUCCCGAUGAAUUCCUCCUUUGCUUCGCUCUUUUCCAAUUCUUACGGUGGUUUGUUCAAAGAUUCUUCUUCCUUCGUUAUCAUAUCAAUUCAUUCAUUGUUUCAAUCCUUCCGGUGGUUCGUUGAAGACCUUCUCAAGUUUGCGCUAUAUCUAUCUUAAUCCUUUCUACGAGAAUAAGUAGUAUGCCAAAUCCGUUGCUUGAUAUCAAUUUAAGUUGAUGAAGGAUACGCAUAACAUAAUUCUUAUUCUUAUUAUUGUUUCUUCCAAGUGGUCUAGUUUCUUCUUUACAGAGUUGUUCAUCAUGUCACAUUUCUCGGUUCGAGAUACUUCAUCUUUUUUUAUUCCGGAGUUCCAAGCUCUCUCAAUUAUAUCAUCGCGAAACUCCAUCUAAAUCAUCGCAAGGCUCCACCUUCUGUUUUCAACUUCUUUUUCCUUCAAUCAUCCUUUUAUUACCGGAGUUCUUCAUGGAGGCUCUACAUGGUGGUUCGUCAGGGUUCAUUUCAUUCUUCAAUUGUUCUUCAAGAUUUUUCUCAAAGUUGUAAUCCGCCAAGCUAUACUCUAUAAUAAACAUGGUGUUCAACACAUGUUUAGUUUUGAGGAGUUCAAGUAUUCUUCGUCUUGCAUUUCAAAGUGGAAUUCGUUCUCUCUUGUCUUUUGAGGUGGUGUUAUGUCACUCUUGACAAUUUCCCUUUGUGUUUCAUGAUUCACAAGUUGUCCGGAAUGACAUAUUUUAAACCCAUCCUUUUCAUUUCGUUCAUGAGAUCCUUUGCAAGCCAUCAAUCUCUUCAUUUGACUUAUCUUGGGUUAUAUUUCACCUAAAGCUUUCCCUAAGGAUUGUGCUAUUUAUGGUGCUUAUAAAUGACCCAAGUUCUUCAUUUAUCCUUCCGGUGAAAUAAGCUUCUCGUCUCCUUGUUGAUAUCAAUCCAAUCUAUUGUUUUCAUUAGUCGCAGAAUUUCAUCUCAGUUUUGAGAUGUUGUCCAUAAGCCCACGACAAGCUUAUCCUUUCGUUGUUGAUAAUUUUGAGUUGUGAAGACCAUGUUCUUUCCUUUGAUUAUCCAUUCAACCGGAGUGUUAUGUCAUCCCUUCAAAUUUUUUUCAUCUUAUCAAGUUGUCUUCUCUUUUUCUACCAGAGUGAUGUCCAAAUUAUAUCAUUCUUAUGCCUUCUCUAUCUUGUUUUAACCGGAGUGUUGUGUCAUCUGCUCAAGUUCUUUUCGUCUUAUCAAGUCUUGCAUCUUGUUUCAAUCAGAGUGCUUGCAUCUACUCCCCGUCCAUAGCAACCAUUUUCUUAUGUCUUUCAACCUACAAGGUUCUAGUAAUGUUCCUUGUUCCUUUUUUCUAACGGAGUGUUUUCAACUUUGUUCAUCUUCGCUGUUUUCUUCUUUAAAUUUGUUCAACCUCGCAAGGUUCUUUGGUUUCACUCGUUUGUCAAAGAAGCAACUUUGGUUUACCUCUUCAUCUUCUAUUUUCCCUCCGGUGCCAUCCUAGAUCUCGGGAAGAGAUCCUCUUGUGGUGGUGGAGUGUUGUAACGCCCCGAGACCGAUGCACCAGGUGUCUUCCAGUUAUUCAUGUGGAGUGCCUUGUCAUAUCUUUGCUUCUUGCACCAUGCUCAUCUCAUUUGGGUAUAUUGCUUUGUCAUGCCCAUCAUCGUCUUAUUGCAUUGCCUCUUGUCAUUUUGCAUGCUAAUCAUAUACCUUGUGGUAAUCUUCAUAUUGUUGCCAUGUGCAUUUCAUUCAUCCUUAUGUGGUGUGUUGUUGUUAUGAUGUGUGUGAGCAUCAUUCCUUGUCAUCUCUCUCUCAAGCCAUACCCAUGCAUCAUCACCUCUCACUUCCUUCUUCUUUCAUGUUUUUGCAAGUGACUUUAUUCCUCCUCCAUUAAUGUUCGUCCUUUCCCUAUAAAUCAUGCCUCUUUCCUACACCCUCUCUGUCAGAUUUCAUCCCAUUCAAAGUUGUUUUGGUCAGGUUCAAAAAUGAUUGAAGUUUGAGAAUAAUCCAAACUCUAAUUAUUUUUCUGAUUUCUAAAAAUGCCAGAGCAAUUUAUUCAAACCCUACAUAAAUCCAGGGUUCCAGAUAUAUAUUUAUAUAUCUCAUUUUCCUAACCAAAACCCAUGGACUUUCCCCUUUGUUGAUUGUUUAUUUAUAUAAACAAAAAAAUAAAAUAAAGGAAAAGGCCCCUUACUUGUUCAGCUACUCACUGGGCCUCCCAACUCCUACGCAGGCCACAAACCUGCAGCUGGGCCGGCCUUUAGGCCCAACUGCCCCACCUACACCUAACACUAGCCUCGACCGACCUAUCCCUCUCGCUCCCCUGCUCGUUCCCACCGCCGCCAGAAGCCAUCUCCCUCGACUCCUCUAGCGCCGCCAGAGACAUGCACGCAGGCGCAGUCCUCUGCUUCGACCCAACCUCAUCCUUUCCCUCGUUCCCUUGUGCCGCCUCCCCCUCAUAUCGAUCUCUCCCUGUCCUCUCGCUCAAGCUAACCACCCCGCGGCCCCGCGAUCUCGCCUGCCCGCACGGCCAUGGCUUAGCCGCCCUCGACCCGGCUCGCCCUCGACGUCCCCUUCGCUGGAGCCCUUCCUCCGCCUCUGCUUUGGCCACCCACAACAGCCAUGCCGCGCCCUCAAGCGCCUCACCUCCCACAGCCGGUCCAGGACCUCCUCGUCGCCUCCUCGUCUACCCGGCGCCACUGACUCGUCAGCUCUGUCGCCAGGGGAGGAGACCCUCGCCAUGUCCCCUUCGGCCCCGACUCCGGCGAGCGCCGCCCUGUCGACUCUCCUCUGCGCGACACCUCCCCUCUGCUGCCUCGUUCCUUUUCCUGCGAUUGCCGUUUUCUUUCCCGCCUUGCCUCACGCGACCCACAUGGGCGCCGCCAUGGAGGCCACCGUGCCGACCUGCAGCUUCGUGCGUGCUGCCUUGCCUUCCUGCUACUUCGUCCGACUUCGGACGACCUCCAUCGAGCUCGCCCGGCCACCUUCGACCUCGGCGUGACCCUGCCUCCACUAGCAGCCUCCUGGAGCCGGCCAUUUCCAUGGGUUCGGGGAGCCCCAAGUCUUGUCCAUGGCCUCGUUGGCUGUUGAUGUUACGCUGUUGGCUUUCUCCAUCGUCUCCCUGGGCUCGUCAAAUCCUGUACCAGGAGCCCAAGCCGGAAGACUCCGUGGAUGUGCAUCUCACUUGUGCCAUUUUGGGUCGUCAAGAACGUUUCGAGAUUCGCCAAGUACCAUUAUGCCCGGAGACCACGGAUCCGUGAAGUUCCACUACCGUCGCCAUGGAUCCGACAAGUUUGUGAGUACGACCACUUACCAUGACGACCUUGUACCACUACCGUCGAUGAAGACAUGUGCACCGCAAGCGUCAAGUUCAACUAUUGUUGACGGUGAAGGGUUUGGAGUCAUCAGGCACCUCUUUGAACGAACAGGAACGACUAUCGUAGCCGAGAUCGCGAGAACCUCUACCGACGACCUCGGAACGUGUACGACGACCGUCGUCGAAGACCCGUACCUCUACCGCUUCCUAAACAUGUACCACGACUUCCAUGACUUUCGUGAACCGCUACUGCCACUACGGUCGUGAACGACUACUUCUGUCGACGAACUCGAUACGCUUCGAAAACGCACGCUUCGAAGGUAUAGCCCCGAGACAACCGUCCGAGAAUGAUUGCUUGUGUUGUAUGAGAUGCACCGGUUGUCUGCACUGUGUCGGUAGUGUCUCUCGCUUCCAUGCUGUCGACACUUGGGACACCCAGUAACCGGGAGGACCCCACCUUCUAUCGCAUGUUACGCUCCCGUCACUUUUCCUUUUGCACCGGUAUCUCCGUGAGCUAUCGGAACCGGAAUGUUGCCGUGGCACCAUUUCCGUCAUUGUCAUGGCACCCCAUUAUUUCCACCACGGUGACAAAUGUUUCAUAAUUCUCUUAUCAACAUUUUCAUAAAAUUGAUUAAACUUGCAUAUGCCAUUCGCAUCAUGAUAAUAACAUUUAAAAUGUUUAAAAUUGUUGUUUGCAUUAAAUUGCUAAUGCAUAUAGGGAUUUACUGGAAUUGUUGUUUGUUGUUUCCGGCCUCAUUUAAACUUGCCUAAAUGUUUAGUUUACUUAGGCUCCACCUCUUACCAUGUUUAAACAACAUUUAAUUUUGUUGAGUAGUUUAAACGGGAGAGAACUAAAUAAUUAAAUGUGGUGUUGUCGGUGUCAAAACCGGCGGAUCUCGGGUAGGGGGUCUCGAAUUGUGCGUCUAAGGCGGAUGGUAACAGGAGGCAGGGGACACGAUGUUUUACCCAGUUCGGGCCCUCUUGAUGGAGGUAAAACCCUACGUCCUGCUUGAUUUAUUCUUGAUAAUAUGUGUAGUACAAGAGUUGAUCUACCACGAGAUCAGAGAGGCUAAACCCUAGAAGCUAGCCUAUGGUAUGAUUAUAUGUUGUCCUACGGACUAAAACCCUCUGGUUUAUAUAGACACCGGAGGGGGCUAGGGUUACACAAGGUCGGUUAUAAAGGAGGAGAUAUCCAUAUCCGUAUUGCCUAGCUUGCCUUCCAUGCCAAGUAGAGUCCCAUCCGGACACGAGACGAAGUCUUCAAUCUUGUAUCUUCAUAGUCCAACAGUCCGGACAAAGGAUAUAGUCCGGCUGCCCGGAGACCCCCUAAUCCAGGACUCCCUCAGUAGCCCCUGAACCAGGCUUCAAUGACGAUGAGUCCGGCGCGCAGUUAUUGUCUUCGGCAUUGCAAGGCGGGUUCCUCCUCCGAAUACACCACAGAAGAAUUUGAAUACAAGGAUAGUGUCCAACCCUGCAAAAUAAGUUCCACAUACCACCGUAGAGAGAAUAAUAUUACCACAAAUCUAAUCUGCUGACGCGUUUUGGCAACAUGACAUCAUUCCAUGGCCCGGUGAUUAUUCGAACCUUUUUUCUUUAACCAGCCCCGCACAUAAUGCGAGGCGGUUUCUUGACACGUCUUGUCAAAGCAGAGAUCGUGUCCCCCUCAUUAUGGGAUUCUCAUCAAUACGGGCGUGGGUAACCCAAUCGCGCCACCAAUUAUGGCGCUUGGGGGAUAAGCGAGUUUUACCAGGCUAGUGGGGACGCAUAGUUUCGUCCGCCCUUAUAAAGGGAUAAGGUUUAACCUUCUUCUACCCACACCUUCUUCCUCCUUGCUCAUCCAUUCGCGUGCACUCGAGCUCCAACGCCCAAGUCCACAUCCUUCUCCUCAACCUUCUUCAAACAUGUCCGGAGCGGGAGGCAAGUGGAUGGCUUCCUCCGUUACGGAGGGACACAUCAAAAAGCUGCGCGGGGCCGGAUACUUAGCCGCGGAUAUCGCGCAUCGGCUGCCCGCUGCGGGGCAGAUCGUCCCUACCCCGGAACCUCACGAGAGGGUAGUUUUCCUCCACCACUUCCUCCGCGGACUGGGGUUUCCCCUCCAUCCAUUCGUCCACGGUCUUAUGUUCUACUACGGGCUGGACUUCCAUGAUCUGGCCCCGAAUUUCAUCCGCAACAUUUCAGCAUUCAUCGUCGUGUGUGAGGCUAUCCUCCGCAUCCGUCCCCACUUCGGCCUGUGGCUGAAAACCUUCAAUAUCAGCCGAAGGUGGUGGGCGGCCAGCAAGCGGAAUGCGGCGGAGCCAUGGUGGGCAAGAUGACUAACGUUAUAUGGCUCGAGGGCUCCUUCGUGGAGACCAUAAAGGGGUGGCAAUCGGCGUGGUUCUACAUCACCGAGCCGCGCGACACCAACUGGGUGGCGGUCCCUGAGUUUCGAUCCGGAAUCCCCAUGCGGCUCACUUCCUGGAAGGAGAAGGGCAUGUCCUGGGGUUCAUCGGUGGAGCUGGACGGACUCUAGAAAUGUAUCCGGAACAUGGCAAGCAAGAAACUUAAGCUUGUCAACAUAGUCCAAGUCAUGCUCUUCCGCCGGAUCCUCCCGUGUCAACAAUGGGAUUUCAACUUAUGGGAGUUUGACACGGCCCGGCACCAGACUCUAAGCGAGCUCUUCGACACGAUGCACAAAGACGUCUGGAGGGUGAUGUUCAAGGGCACCGAGGUCCCUCCCUCUCUCAUCGAGGAACGCGGUCUAAGCGCGAAGCGCCCUACGAAUCCGGUAAGUUCUGUACAUCUGGUAGGAUAUUUACUUCCCAUUGCUUAACCACGUGCAGGGUCUAAGCUCCCAUGCCUUUGACAGGACUGGGUGGAGGCAUCGGAGCAGAUCGACUGUCCGGCCCCUCCGCCCAAAGAUACUGCGAAUGCUCUCCUGACGGAGAUGCUGACUCCGGCUCCAUAUAAGGUGCCGAAGAAGACUAAGAAGAAGGCCAAGGGAACCCGAAAGAGUCCCCGGCGCCAGGUGGUAUCGGACUCAUCGUCCGAUGACUCCGCGACGCACUCCUCCCAUGAAGACGAGGAGGAAGAUGAAGAUGCUCCCCCUUCAGCUGGGGGAGACAAGAAAAGGAAGGCCGCCCCAACCGGGGUGGGGGGGGUGGGCGAAGGGUCCAAGAAGGGAAGGACUCUCCUUCCGGACUGCUCCACCACCGCCGCCGAUGGCGAAGACGAGUGGCUGCUCAGGGUCAAUCCCCUGGCGAAGUCGUAAGUAUUCGGAUACUAGAGUAACUCAUAGCAUACCUCUGUUGCACUGCUUCUCCUAAUGUCGAAUAUUAUUAUGCAGACCGCCCCAAGCCCGUAUCGACGUAUCCUCGUCGGACUGCUCCUUGGACUCGUCGGAUAUGGAUAGUGAUCCACUCCCGACCGCCACCUCCCCUUGCCCUACGGACAAUGCCGAGGUAUUGUCUCAAGAGGCACCAGGUCGAGGGGAGACAGUCCCGGAGGCACCCCAAGGCGACCUUCCGGACUCCGGGAGCAAAGGGAGUAAGGCUCCCGAGGGCUCCGAGUUCGGCCUUCAGCCGAACACUGCGCCAGAACCUCCAGUGGUUCCGGACUCGGGCAGGUGGCCUCCUUCCAACAGGGGCAAGACGCCCGUGCCGGUGACCUCUGUCCAUCCAGAGGCACCGGACAACCUUCUGGGAGCGCUUUGCGGUGCUUCCAUCGAUGAAGAGCCCCGCACUAUUAUGAGUGCGGUGAUCAAGAAGGUUCAGUCUGCUAAGAGCGGACUGACUGAAGCCUAUGCCAGCCUUCUAACAGGCUUUGAGGUAAGUAUUUAAAAUAUAGGAAAAAUAUUACCGCAUAGACAGUAGCCCCAGAUGCUCUGUUUGGUGUUCACAAAGAAAAGCCGAAUAGAGGAUCAAAUAACAUCUGCAGGAGUCUAAUAUAAGUAUGUCUAUAUGCGUAUGCAGGCUUCGCUGCUGACCUCUGCCGCACUGACUGCGGAGGUCGCCGCACUGAAGCAGGACCUCGAGGGGUCCGAGAAAGAGCUCGGCCUUGCUAAGAGGCAGCUCGAGGAGAACAAAGGUAAGUAAUACCUAGUCUAUAUAUAUAUAUAUAUAUAUAUAUAGAGAGAGAGAGAGAGAGUGACACUAUUCUAAUCCCAGCAUCAAAAUAACUAUUUGGAUCACGGCUGGCCCUAUAUAGGCCCGACGGGGUGUUUCCGAACUCCCGAAAAAUAAAAGAACCGGCCCACACAGUUGUCCUCCACCUCCCGUUCCCCACAUCUCCCACGGACGCAGAUCCACCCCGCGCGCCCCCACACCCGGACCGCUGGCGAACCACCGCCCCCGGCACAUCGCGCCUCCCGGCCGCCUCCUCCCGCAACCGCCGCAGCGGUUGCCUCCAUUCUCAACCGCCGCUCGGGCACCUUGUUCGGGAUCCCGCCGCCACCCUGUGCACCGAUGAGCUACAGGACCCCGCUGCCACACCGCGCGUCGUCGGCCUCCCGAAACUCGCCGCCACCUCGUGCGUCGCCGGCCUCCUGAAACCCGCCGCCACCCAGUGCGUCGCCCUAUGUCGCCACCACAUCCCCGUGAUGCGCCAUGCAUAGCUUCGUGCACUGCUUCCCUUUCCUCCCCCACAACUUGGCUGCAGCUUCCCCACCCUCGGCGUGCGGAGUCGUCCUCUCGCCUCUAUCAACCAAAUUCCACUAUCACCAUGGUGUGAUACCCUGUGUUGCCAUUAUCGCGUGGUCGCUUCAUCAAACUGACGUCCACCAUGCCGACCUGUUUUGACACGUCGACUGACGUGGGGGCUUCAUUGUCACGAUGCCGAACUACUCUGUUUCCUCAGCUGGACCGGGGGCUUCCCCUCGGCACUUUGGCACCGUCAUGCUAUCACUUUGUCAAGCCGAGCUCUUCGCUCGGGUACGUCAAGACUAGUUUGGGGGUUGGGACCUUGAGCCGCUACAAGCUCGGCCCACGUCACACCAAGCACAUUAACCAGCUAAGUCGCUUUCAUGCUCAAAAAAAUUUAAGUUUUAAAUAUUUUUUUCGGUUCGACCAAGCAUUAUACUUUUUGGACAAAAAGUCGUUUGCGAAAAACUUUCUUUGUCAAAACCUUGUUUGUUACAAACAAAUUCAAUUAAAAUACCCCGUUUAUUUGGGGGAUUCUUUUAUGAAGCCUCUCCUCUUGCAUAUGAUUAUACUUGUAUGGCUUCGUUCCUUAUUCGUGUAUUACGCCACAAUAUGCACCAUGUUGACUUAUGUGUUCCGCAAGCUGGGUUGCCUUGCUCCUGUGUUUACCCCUACGUUCCCAAUUGUUCGGCUGGGGAGUAAAGGGAGCACCUCUGCGAUUGUCACGAUCGGGUCAUCCGAGCUCGGACCUCAGACUGGGUGAAGCCGAAAGCUAGUGCUCUUAUUGUUUUCAACCAUGGUCGGCACACAACGGAACUCAUGAAUACAAAAAAUCUAUUGCACAAGUCUCAUAGUAACAAUGAGCAACCGAAGAAAGGUACCGAUGGAGGUACUAUUUUCUUCGAAGAUGCUUCUUACACUUCAUCAGUAAUAUAGCAUAAGUUCCCUGAGCGCGCUUUGUCUGUUAUAGCCUUAUGGCCUGAUUGCCUGGUUAUCGGAAACACCGUCGAUAUUCUCGACAGGUGGAGUACAUAACACUUUUCGGCCCUUGUCCAAAGAGGGAGAAGCCGACGGUCGGUUAAGACGCAUUUAAAGUUUGGAUGAACACAUAUAUGAUAUAAGUACUUCGGUACAUACAAUCAUUAUACAUAAAAUUCUUUUACCCAAAUCACUUGGGGGCUCUUAAAUUAGUAUGAGUAGUUUUGUAAUAGAUGUUUUCUUUUUAGUCGUUGCAAAAUCUUUUUCUACCACUCCUUUAUCGACUCAAGUGUAUGAUCAAUAGCCGGGUAGCCUGGUUUCUCUCUAAAGCCGCUCGUGUUUAGUUCGCUAAACUGGCCUGAGAAACACUCCGCCUUCGGGAUAGGGAGGUUGAAGCCGAGGGCUGACCCACUUGAAGUCUAGAGAUCAAAUGUGUCAUGUCAAAGCAUGACGGAAGUACAAUUUUAAGACCAAUUUCUUAUUGGCACCAAAACAGCUUGAUUCAAUCUAGACGCAAAGUUUUUUACGCAUGUUUUUAGCCUUUGGGCUUAUAACAUCUUUUCACCUAUUUUAUGUUUUCCUUUCAGGAAGCAGGACAUUCUCUUGGUUGAGGUUUUCGGCAUGAAACUCUUUUCUAAAACUACAGUUCGACAUCUUUUCUGCCGAACCCCACCUCGGUAUUGUCAAAACAUACAUGACAGUUGAACUAGUUCCCGAGGAGCUACGAUCCUAGGGUCGGCCAUGUUGCCCAACCCAAUUCUCGGGGGGGGGGGGCUACUGCAUUGGCAAUCCAAUGCAGAAAAUUUAAGUGCAAUAUAGUUUUCGAGGAGAUUAUGAUCCUCAGGUUGGUCGGCCGCACCCAACCCGAGUCUCGAGGACUUUGCACACUACUUUUUGUGUCCCGAAGUAUUCUGCCGAGCUAAGAGUUGAUCCUCAGGCCGAUUUUGCGAAUCAACCUGAGUCUCAGGGGCUACUGGGAUCAGCGGUCUUAUGUCAUCCUUCAGGUGCAUCUCGGGUUUUAGACCGAUACACACCUUGAGGGCUACUGGCUAUAUAUCUCGGGAGAGUAUAAAUUGCACCAAUCAAAAAUAUUAACAAAAAAUCGGCCCGCAGUCGGGGUGGUGCACCACCUCGGAAGCAGUCCGGCAUAAAGCUCGGGCGCCAGUGGCUGGCUCCAUAAAGGGCAUUUCCGGCAUUAAGCUCGGCUAAACUCCUUCAACUUUUUUUGAACCAAGGUGAUCUAUGGCACAUCGGACACAGUCCAGCGUUGGAGCUUGGACACAGUCCGACAUUGGAGCUUGGACACAGUCCGACGUUGGAGCUCAGAUAAAGCCCGGCGUUGGAGCUUGGACAUAGUCCAGCGUUGGAGCUUGGGUGCAUUCCGACGUUGGUGCUCGGGUGCAAAAGAUACCUCGAAUGUAGUUCGGCGUUGGAGCUCAGAGGCUGCCGCCCGGGAACAACUUCAAACCCAAGGUGUGGCAUAAAAAUAAAAAGGCAUUGAUAAAGGCCGCAAACUUAAAGGGGCUCCUUGGAUACCCGACGUGUAAACUCUUCGGAUGCACUUCGGCGAUGCUCAAGAUCGAAGAUGAUAAGAUUUGUUGAACUAGUUUUCAAGACCAAUGACCGAAGAUGAAGAACAGUUUGGAAGAAUCGAGGUGCGUCCCCAACUUGAAGACCAGUUCAGGGGGCUACUGACGGUGUCCUGGACUAGGGGGGGUACUCACCACGUCGUCUCCCGACCAGUGGGUCGGGCCGAGGACCCCCAUGGCGGUUCACUAUUGGGCCAGUUCGGACAGCCCAUGUCGUAUACAAGGGAGAUCCCACAAAGACUUGGCGCUCAAGACGAGGACUCUCCUAAACCCUAGGCAUCUGGUGUGUUAUAUAAACCGAGGCUAGGCUAGUCAAUAGACAUCUCAUAUUCAUUACUACAAUCUCGUGGUAGAUACUUGUAUUAUGUACUAUCCCCAUAUGAAUACAAUCAAAAGAAGGAUGUAGGGUUUUACCUCCAUCAAGAGGGCCCGAACCUGGGUAAAACCCCAUGUCCGUGUUACCAUUGCUCCAAGACGCCUAGCUUAGGACCCCUACUACGAGAUAUGCCGGAUAUAGAAUCGACAUAGCCCAUGCUCACUUUUUGCUCAUCAUGACUGGAAAAUACAAAUACACAUGUCCAGAACAGUAUGACCGAAUCAUCUCCGUUGAGCUCCCUAACAAGCACAAGUACCCAGAGUUAUACAAAAUGGUAAUCAAACAUAUGAUGCAUGAUCCUUGCGGUGCAUUGAAUAAAUUUUUUCCAUGCACAAAGAAUCGUCCGUCAUGCAAGAACAAUUAUCCAAGGCCAUUUAAUGAAACUACAAUCCAAGGAAAGGACUCCUGCCCACUGUAUAGGAGACGCAAUGAUGGUCGAACUGAAACGGUACGAAAAUGCCAACUGGAUAAUAGGUGGGUGGUUCCUUACAACCCAUAUCUUUUGCGGAUGUUCAACUACCACAUAAAUGUUGAGAUAUGCUCGAGCAUUAAAGCCGUUAAGUACUUGUUCAAAUACAUCUAUAAGGGACAUGACCGAGCAUCUGUAUCUGUAACUGACAAAGUGGACGAAGUUGAAAUUGACGAGAUUAAACAGUAUAGAGAUGCGCGGUGGGUGACACCUCCGGAAGCACUAUGGAGAAUAUAUGGCUACGAAUUAAGCAAAAUACACCCACCAGUCUUGCAACUGCAGCUACAUCUUCCAAAUUUGCACAUGGUUUCAUACCAUGGCAUGGAAAAAAUAAAGAAUAUUAUCGACCGUGAUGGCACAUAAAGAUCAAUGUUGACCGCGUACUUUGAAGCAAACAACUUACAUGAGAAAGCACAAGGCAUACUAUACAGAGACUUUCUGGAAUAUUAUACUUGGAAAAUACAAGGGAAGUUUUGGCAGGAGAGGAAACGAGGCACUGUCUUCCAGGUUGGCAGGAUGGUCUCGGCACACCCGGCUGAAGGAGAACAAUAUUAUCUUCGAGUACUCCUAAACCACAUUCCAGGCGCCACCAGCUAUGAAGACCUACGAAUAGUCAACAGACAAGUAAUGCCAACCUUCCGUGAAGCUGCAGAAAAACGGGGGCUCAUCGAGGCAGACAACACACUAGAUGACUGCAUGACAGAAGCAGAGUUGUUUCGAAUGCCAUCAUCACUACAAAGGAUAUUCGCGACAAUCUUGGUUUUCUGCGAACCCAGUGACGUACGUGGCCUAUGGAACAAACACCUUGAUGCAAUGUCAGAAGACUACAGCAGAAACUGCAAAUGCAAGCACACAAUCGAACAGAUGGUGCUGAGAAAUAUCAGGGAUAUGUUGCACUCAAUGGGAAAAGACAUAGAAUCAUUUCCUCUUCCAGAGAUCGACAAACGACAUGAGACGACCAACGACAUACCUAGGGAGAUCGUUGAGGAGACCUCCAUCGAGGUUGACCCUGAGGACGUAUCGUUGCAUAAAAACCUAAACAUCGAGCAGAGGAAGGCCUACGAUGAAAUCCUAGCCACAGUUGACCGCCAAAGAGGAGGUAUAUUCUUUGUCGAUGGGACGGGAGGCACAGGAAAAACUUUUCUUUAUAGGGUGCUCUUGGCCACAAUACGCGGACAAGGCAAGAUUGUCGUGGCAACGACCACUUCCGGUGUUGCUGCUUCCAUAAUGCCUGGAGGGAGGACCGCACACUCGAGGUUCAAGAUUCCACUAAAAAUAGAUGAUGGAGCUAUUUGUAGCUUCACAAAACAGAGUGGGACAGCAAAGCUACUCCAAGCAGCAUCACUAAUAAUCUGGGAUGAAGCAUCUAUGACAAAGAGACAGGCAGUGGAGGCGCUAGACAAAAGCAUGCGGGACAUAAUGGAUAGACUAGAUCUUCCAUUUGGUGGAAAAACGAUCGUAUUUGGGGGAGAUUUUAGACAAGUGCUACCUAUUGUCUGAAAGGGAACAAGAGCCCAUAUAGUAGAUGCAUCACUACGCAGGUCGGAGCUCUGGAAUUACAUGCGUCAAUUGAAGCUUGUGCACAACAUGAGGGCUCAAACGACCCAUGGUUCGUAGAAUACCCACUACGCAUUGGAAACGGAACCGAGAAGACAAAUGAUGAUGGUGAAAUACUUCUACCUACAAGUAUAUGUGUGCCAAAUAAGACGGAUGAUACCGGCCUGGAUAGACUUAUUGAUAGUAUCUACCAAACGGGAAAUGCUUACCUAAAAGAUCGAAAGUACAUCACGUCAAGAGCAAUUUUAUCCGCAAGGAAUGACUGCGUAGACAAGAUCAACCUAAAUAUGAUUGAUCGCUUCCAGGGGAGGAGAUGGUGUACCACAGCUUCGAUUCUGUAGAAGACGACCCACAUAACUACUAUCCACCAUAAUUCCUAAACACCCUAACCCCAAAUGGACUGCCUCCACAUAUGCUGAAGCUAAAAAAAUUUGUCCAAUCAUACUACUCAGGAACAUCGACCCUGCUAAUGGGCUCUGCAACGGCACCAGACUGGUCGUACAUGGAUUUCAGAAAAAUGCAAUUGAUGCAGAGAUUGUGGUAGGCAGCACUCUGGAAUGCGAGUUUUCUUGCCUCGGAUACCAUUAUGCCCAUCUGACGAUGACAUGUUCCCGUUCAGUUUCAAGAGAAAACAGUUUCCAGUCAGACUCAGUUUUGCAAUGACAAUAAACAAAUCACAAGGCCAGACAAUACCAACUGUCGUCGUCUAUGUGCCUAAGCUUGUUUUCUCACAUGGUCAAUUAUAUGUCACGCUUUCUAGAGCAACCGCGACAUCAGACAUAAAGGUACUAACAGGUACACAUGAUGUGAACAAGGGGACAAAUAAAAAAAAUAAAGGGGACACAUACCCAAAGGAGAAGAAGAAAAGGAAGAAUAGGAUCAGUACAAGCAGUACAUACACAAAGAAUAUUGUCUACACAGAAGUCUUGACCAAAUAAGUAAUGCAAUUUUUCAAUUUUGUGUUUAUAAAUUCAGUUUCAACUUAGUACAUUCAUUCACGACCAACUUAAUAAUUAGUAUUACACAUUGAAUCUCUAAUUUUCUAACCUUAAAAUUACUUCUUGCAUUCUUCAGGACAAUCAAGCUAUCAACUUCGGAGUUAGAAUUCAGAACUACUUGAUUGUCUUGAAGGAGGAUGUCUUCAUGUUCUGAACCACUAACUUAUUCAUUGAUAUUUAUUUAUAUAAUAUGUCCAAUAAAUUAUUAAUUUUUAUUCAAAUAUUUGAUCACUUUGAUGAUCUCUAUUAUGGUUAUGCAAUCUAUAUAUGUAAAUUUACCAACGAUGGGUAGCUAAGGUGAAAUUGAGACUUACCAGUCAAUACAGAGACAUAUUUCUCGCCUUGGAGCUGAUGUUGUUGCACUGAUUUUUCUAAACAUCGCUUUAUCUAAGUCCAAGAAACCUGAAAAAUAUCUGACACAUUGUAAGAAAAUACAUAUCAAUUUCACAUUGUAAGAAAAUAUCUGACAAUUUCAUAAUGGAUUGAAACCCUGCAUAGUGUAGCGUUGCAUAUUUUUGAGGAAAUUGUGAUGCUCUGUUUCAUCAGGAUUAAGAUGCUUGAACAUGUAAGUAGUGUACUAGCGGCCAAUAGAUAUAUUUCUCAUGCUGACUACGUGCUAUCAAUUGUGCCAUACACAUUAUUUAGUAACUAAACAAAAAGUGUCAAAAGCUAGCCACCAAAGCAAAUCUGAAUCUGCUACUAUGCUACUACUGCCACAACUAACCAAGGUUGGAGCAUAGGGAAUAAGCUGCUCCUCCACCAACCGCAUAUAGGGGGUGACGGGGUGGGACUGAAGGAGAUUGGGAGAUCCGGAGAGGAAGUAAAGAGAGAAGAAGGGAAAUGGCACGCAUUACCUUUACAAUAUUGGAGGCAACGUCACGGAAGCAGGCAGAGGCGGAGGGCAGCCAGGCGGGGCGGAGAAUGAAGAGGCAAGCGGCGGCUGUCGGGACGCUCGCCGGGAUGGCAACAAGGUGGCGGUGCACUUGCGAGGUCGGCCAGGAGGACGAUCAGUGCAAACAUCUAGAAGGAGGAAGCCGGUGCUAUUCUCCAUCGAGAAACGAAGGCUGCAGUACCACACCCCAGCGACGGCGAGCCCCAUCGGUGGACGGCGGCGGCGGGAUAGCCCUAGACGAGUCUGCUGCGUGUGUUAUUUUAGGGGUAUGCUGCAUGUGGUGCUGUGGAAGUGGGGAGGUGCAAGAGGAAGUGCUCAUGGGCUGGAAUGGCCAGAUGGAUUCAGUUUGGCCUUUUCAUUUUCUCCACUCACUAUUGAAACAUCCCGGGCAGACCAAAGUGGGCCUACCAAAUGUACAUAUGGCAUCGAGCCAUUGUUUUCUUCGUUUUCCAAAAAGAAGUAAUUCCCCGGACACGGAUAUUUGACUCUGGGAGCAUAUUCUCUGUAAUGAACAGGAAAAUCAAAAUAAAAUUUAAAAAUCCUAAAUUUUUACUACAUGUUCAUAUUAGCAUGCUUGACAAUUUUCAUGCCAUAUGGGAUAAUAGUGCUUCGUCGGUGAAAAAAAUAAAAUUAAGUGUAACAUUUGGCGUUUGACUUUUUUCCCACAAGUCAACAUGCUUAAGUUUUCCCCUGUAAGUUUUGCAUGUACCAUUUGGGUGUGACAAUGAACCUAUCUAUUUUUUCAUAUUUUUUUAUAUUUGUAAAUUUUAUUUUUUGGCAUGCUAGAUCAUGUGCUAACUAGAGCCAGAAUGAAUUUUCGGAAUUCCCCACCUACUUAUCCUCAUGGGAUGAAAGUGCAGAGCCAAAAACAUACUAACAAACGAUGUUAGAGAGACUUUUACUGAAAAGUGAUAGUUGAGGACCCAUGUUCACUGAAGUUGGUCAAAAUUGAAUAUAAUAAGUGUUGAAAAGGACUGAGUACUAUUAAAUUUAUCGCCCGUUGCAACGCACGGGCAUUUGUACUAGUUGGUUUCUACAUAUUCUACGAAGAUCUUUAUCGGUUAAACCGCAUAACAACAUACGUUGUUCCCUUUGUCAUCGGUAUGUUACUUGCCCGAUAUUCGAUUGUCGGUAUCAUAAUACCUAGUUCAGUCUCGUCACCGACAAGUCUUUUUACUCGUUCCGUAAUGCAUCAUCCCGUGACUAAUUCACUAGUCACAUUGCUUGCAAGGCUCAUGGUGAUGUGCAUUACCGAGAGGGCCCAGAGAUACCUCUUCGAUACACGAAGUGAAAAAUCCUAAUCUCGAUUUAUGCCAACUCAACAAACACCAUUGGAGACACUUGUAGAGCAUCUUUAUAAUCACCCAGUUAGGUUGUGAUGUUUGAUAGGACACUAAGUCUUCCUCCAGUAUUCGGGAGUUGCAUAAUCUCAUAGUCAUAGGAACAUGUAUAAGUUAUAGAGAAAGCAAUAGCAAUAAACUAAAUGAUCAAAGUGCUAAGCUAAUGGAUGGGUCAUGUCAAUCACAUCAUUCUCUAAUGAUGUGAUCCCGUUCAUCAAAUGACAACUGAUGUCUAUGGCUAGGAAACUUAACCAUCUUUGGUUAACGGGCUAGUCAAGUAGAGGCAUACUAGUGACACUCUGUUUGUCUAUGUAUUUACACAUGUACUAAGUUUCCGGUUAAUUCUAGCAUGAAUAAUAAACAUUUAUCAUGACAUAAGGAAAUAUAAAUAACAACUUUAUUAUUGCCUUUAGGGCAUAUUUCCUUUAGUCUCCCACUUGCACUAGAGUCAAUAAUCUAGAUUACAUUGUAAUGAUUCUAACACCCAUGGAGUCUUGGUGCUGAUCAUGUUUUGCUCAUGAGAGAGGCUUAGUCAGUGGGUCUGCAACAUUCAGAUCCGUAUGUAUCUUGCAAAUUUCUAUGUCUCCCUCCUUGACUUGAUCGCGGCUGGAAUUGAAGCGUCUCUUGAUGUGCUUGGUUCUCUUGUGAAAUCUGGAUUCCUUUGCCAAGGCAAUUGCACCAGUAUUGUCACAAAAGAUUUUCAUUAGACCCGAUGCACUAGGUAUAACACCUACAUCGGAUAUGAACUCCUUCAUUUGCUGCUUCCGAAGCAGCUAUGUACUCCGCUCCACACGUAGACCCCGCCACGACGCUCUGCUUGGAACUGCACCAACUGACAGCUCAACCAUUCAAUACAAAUAUGUAUCCGGUUUGUGACAUCUUUGUCACAUCCAUAAACAAGAAACAUAUCCUUAGUCCUUUUCAGGUAUUUCAGGAUAUUCUUGACCGUUGUCCAGUGAUCCACUAAUGGAUUACUUUAGUACCUCCCUGCUAAAGUAAUAGCAAGGCACACAUCAGUUCUGGUACACAGCAUUGCAUACAUGAUAGAACCUAUGGCCGAAGCAUAGGGAAUGACUUUAAUUUUCUCUCUAUCUUUUGCAAUGGUCGGGCAUUGAGUCUGACUCAACUUCACACCUUGUAACACAGGUAAGGACCCUUUCUUUGCUUGAUCCAUUUUGAACUUCUUCAAAACUUUAUCAAGGUAUGUGCUUUGUGAAAGUCCAAUUAAGCGUCUUGAUCUAUCUCUAUAGAUCUUGAUGCCCAAUAUAUAAGAAGCUUCACCGAGGUCUUUCAUUGAAAAAUUCUUAUUCAAGUAUCCUUUUAUGCUACUCAGAAAUUCAGUAUCAUUUCCAAUCAACAAUAUGUCAUUCACAUAUAAUAUCAGAAAUGCUACAGAGCUCCCACUCACUUUUUUGUAAAUACAGGCUUCUCCAAAAGUCUGUAUAAAACCGUUUGCUUUGAUCACACUAUCAAAGUGUAGAUUCCAACUCCGAGAUGCUUGCACCAGUCCAUAAAUGGAUCGUUGGAGCUUACACACUUUGUUAGCACCUUUUGGAUCGACAAAACCUUCUGGUUGCAUCAUAUACACCUCUUCUUUAAGAUAUCCAUUAAGGAAUGCAGUUUUGACAUCCAUUUGCCAAAUUUCAUAAUUAUAAAAUGCGGCAAUUGCUAACAUGGUUCUGACGGACUUAAGCAUCGCUACGGGUGAGAAGGUCUCAUCCUAGUCAACUCCUUGAACUUUUCGAAAAUCUUUUGCAACAAGUCGAGCUUUGUAGACAGAAAUAUUACCGUCAGCGUGAGUCUUCUUCUUAAAGAUCUAUUUAUUCUCUAUGGCUUGCCGAUCAUCAGGAAAGUCAACCGAAGUCCAUACUUUGUUCUCAUACAUGGAUCCCAUCUCAGAUUUCAUGGCCUCAAGUCAUUUCACGGAAUCUGGGCUCAUCAUCGCUUCCACAUAGUUUGAAGGUUUGUCAUGGUCAAGUAACAUGACCUCCAGAAUAGGAUUACCGUACCUCUCUGGUGCGGAUCUUACUCUGGUUGACCUACGAGGUUCGGUAGUAACUUGAUCAGAAGUUUCAUGAUCAUCAUCAUUAGCUUCCUCACUAAUUGGUGUAGGAAUCACUGGAACUGAUUUCUGUGACGAACUACUUUCCAAUAAGGGAGCAGGUACAAUUACCUCAUCAAGUUCUACCUUCCUCCCACUCACUUAUUUCGAAAAAACUCCUUCUCUAGAAAGGAUCCAUUCUUAGCAACGAUUUUUUUGCCUUCGAAUCUAUGAUAGAAGGUGUACCCAACAGUCUCCUUUGGGUAUCCUAUGAAGACACAUUUCUCCGAUUUGGGUUCGAGCUUAUCAGGUUGAAACUUUUUCACAUAAGCAUUGCAGCCCCAAACUUUAAGAAACGACAACUUGGGUUUCUUGCCAAACCAUAGUUCAUAUGGUGUCGUCUCAAUGGAUUUAGAUGGUGCUCUAUUUAACGUGAAUUCAGUCGUCUCUAAAGCAUAACCCCAAAACAAUAGCGGUAAAUCAGUAGGAGACAUCAUAGAUCGCACCAUAUCUAAUAAAGUGCGGUUACGAUGUUUGGACACACCAUUACGUUGUGGUGUUCCAGGUGGCGUGAGUUGCGAAACUAUUCCGCAUUGUUUCAAAUGAAGACCAAACUCAUAACUCAAAUAUUCACCUCCACGAUCACAUCGUAGAAACUUAAUUUUCUUGUUACAAUGAUUUUCCACUUCACUCUGAAAUUCUUUGAACUUUUCAAAUGUUUCAAACUUAUGUUUCAUCAAGUAGACAUACCCAUAUCUGCUCAAAUCAUCUGUGAAGGUCAGAAAAUAACGAUACCCUCCGCGAGCAUCAACACUCAUCGAACUGCAUACAUCAGUAUGUAUUAUUUCCAACAAGUCUAUUGCUCUCUCCAUUGUACCGGAGAAUGGAGUCCUAGUCAUCUUGCCCAUGAGGCAUGGUUCGCAAGCAUCAAGUGAUUCCAAAAGCCCAUCAGCAUGGAGUUUCUUCAUGCGCUUUACACCAAUAUGACCUAAACGACAGUGCCAUAUAUAAGUUGCACUAUCAUUAUUAAACUUAUAUCUUUUGGCUUCAAUACUAUGAAUAUGUGUAUCACUACUAUCAUGAUUUAGUAAAAAUAGACCACUCAUUAAGGGUGCAUGACCAUAAAAGAUAUUACUCAUAUAAAUAGAACAACCAUUAUUCUCUGAUUUAAAUGAACAUCCGUUUCGCAUUAAACAAGAUCCAGAUAUAAUGUUCAUGCUUAAUGAUGGCACCAAAUAACAAUUAUUUAGGUCUAAAACUAAUCCCGAAGAUAGAUGUAGAGGUAGCGUGCUGACGACGAUCACAUCGACUUUGGAAGCAUUUCCCACGCACAUCGUCACCUCGUCCUUAGCCAAUCUUCGCUUAAUCUAUAGCCCCUGUUUUGAGUUGCAAAUAUUAGCAACAGAACCAGUAUCAAAUACCUAGGUGCUACUGCGAGCAUUAGUAAGGUACACAUUAAUAACAUGUAUAUCGAAUAUACCUUUCACUUUGCCAUCCUUCUUAUCCGCCAAAUACUUGGGGCAGUUCCACUUCCAGUGACCAGUCCCUUUGCAGUAAAAGCACUCAGUCUCUGGCUUAGGUCCAGACUUGGGCUUCUUCACUUGAGCAGCAACUUGUUUGCCAUUCUUAUUGAAGUUCCCCUUCUUCCCUUUUCCCUUCUUCUUGAAACUGGUGGUAUUGUUGACCAUCAACACUUGAUGCUCCUUCUUGAUUUCUACCUCCACAGCCUUUAGCAUCGCGAAGAGCUCGGGAAUUGUCUUAUCCAUCCCUUGCAUAUUAUAGUUCAUCACAAAGCUUUUGUAGGUUGGUGGCAGUGAUUGAAGAACUCUGUCAAUGACACUAUCAACCAGAAGAUUAACUCCCAGCUGAGUCAAGUGAUUGUGAUACCCAGACAUUCCGAGUAUGUGUUCACUGACAGAACUAUUCUCCUCCAUUUUGCAGCUGUAGAACUUAUUGGAGACUUCAUAUCUCUCAAUCUGGGCAUUUGCUUGAAAUAUUUACUUCAACUCCUGGAACAUCUCAUAUGCUCCAUCAUGUUUAAGACGUCGUUGAAGUCCCGGUUCUAAGCCGUAAAGCAUGGCACACUGAACUAUCGAGUAGUCACCAGCUUUGCUCUGCCAGGUGUUCAUAACAUUUGGAGUUGCUCCUGCAGCGGGUUUGGCACCUAGCGGUACAUCCAUGACGUAAUUCUUCUGUGCAGAAAUGAGGAUAAUCCUCAAGUUAUGGUCCCAAUUCGUGUAGUUGCGACCAUCAUCUUUCAACUUAGCUUUCUCUAGAAACACAAUAAAAUUCAACGAAACAACAACACAUGCCAUUUACCUACAAUAACAUAGACAUGCAAAAUACUAUCAGGUACUAAGUUCAUGAUAAAUUAAAGUUCAAUUAAUCAUAUUACUUAAGAACUCCCACUUAGAUAGACAUCCCUCUAAUCAUCUAAGUGAUCACGUGAUCCAUAUCAACUAAACCAUGUCCGAUCAUCACAUGAGAUGGAGUAGUUUUCAAUGGUGGACAUCACUAUGUUGAUCAUAUCUACUGUCACAGGUGCGCGUCGGUGCUAAAGAAACGGGUUUUUACCCCUUUCUGCAACGACAUUUAGAACCGCCGCCAAGUGAGUGUAUGUGAUAGGGUGUCCUUCCCACACGACCCAGAAAUUGCCGGGGAUGGUGAUACGUCUCCAACGUAUCUAUAAUUUUUGAUUGCUCCAUGCUAUAUUAUCUACUGUUUUGGACUAUAUUGGGCUUUAUUUUCCACUUUUAUAUUAUUUUUGGGACUAACCUAUUAACCGGAGGCCCAGCCCAGAAUUGCCGUUUUUUCCUAUUUCAGUGUUGAGGAGAAACAAAAUAUCAAACGGAGUCCAAAUGGAAUGAAACCUUCGGAAACGUGAUUUUCUCAUCAGAUAAGAUCCAGGAGACUUGGACCCUCCAUCAAGAAAGCCACGAGGCGGUCACGAGGGUGGAGGGCGCGCCCCCUGCCUCGUGGGCCCCUCGAAGCUCCACCGACGUACUCCUUCCUCCUAUAUAUACCUACGUACCCCAAACGAUCGGGGACGGAGCCAAAAACCUAAUUCCACCGCCGCAACUUUCUGUAUCCACGAGAUCCCAUCUUGGGGGCUGUUCCGGAGCUCCGCCGGAGGGGGCAUCGAUCGCGGAGGACUUCUACAUCAUCAUCCAAGCCCCUCCGAUGAAGUGUGAGUAGUUUACUUCAGACCUGCGGGUCCAUAGUUAGUAGCUAGAUGGCUUCUUCUCUCUUUUUGGAUCUCAAUACAAUUUUCUCCCCCUCUCUUGUGGAAAUCUAUUCGAUGUAAUCUUCUUUUUGCGGUUUGUUUGUUGAGACCGAUGAAUUGUGGGUUUAUGAUCCAGUCUAUCUAUGAAUAAUAUUUGAAUCUUCUCUAAAUUCUUUUAUGUAUGAUUGGUUAUCUUUGCAAGUCUCUUUGAAUUAUCAGUUUGGUUUGGGCUACUAGAUUGGUUUUUCUUGCCAUGGGAGAAGUGCUUAGCUUUGGGUUCGAUCUUGCGGUGUCCUUUCCUAGUCACAAAAGGGGCAGCAAGGCACGUAUUGUAUCGUUUCCAUCGAGGAUAACAAGAUGGUUUUUUUUAUCAUAUUGCAUGAAACUAUCCCUCUACAUCAUGUCAUCUUGCUUAAGGCGUUACUUUGUUUUUAACUUAAUACUCUAGAUGCAUGCUGGAUAGCGGUCGAUGAGUGGAGUAAUAGUAGUAUAUGCAGACAUGUGUCGCUCUACUUGUCUCGGACGUGAUGCCUAUAUACAUGAUCAUACCUAGAUAUUCUCAUAACUAUGCUCAAUUCUGUCAAUUGCUCAACAGUAAUUUGUUCACCCACCGUAGAAUACUUAUGCUCUUGAGAGAAGCCACUAGUGAAACCUAUGGCCCCUGGGUCUCUUUCUCAUCAUAUCAAUCUCCAUCACUUUAUUAUUGCUUUGCUUUUACUUUGCUUUCACUUUUUACAUUGCAUCUCUAUACCAAAAAUACCAAAAAUAUUAUUUAUCAUCUCUAUCAGAUCACACUUUCGUAAGUGACCAUGAAGGGAUUGACAACCCCUAAGCGCGUUGAUUGCGUUGAGCUGUUGUUUUUGUGUAGGUAUGAGGGACUCGCGCGUAGCCUCCUACUGGAUUGAUACAUUGGUUCUCAAAAACUGAGGGAAAUACUUACGCUACUUUGCUGCAUCAUCCUCUCCUCUUCGGGGAAAUCCAACGUAGUGCUCAAGAGGUAGCAAGAAGAAUUUCUAGCGCCGUUGCCGGGGAUUCUGCGCAAAAGUCAACAUACCAAGUACCCAUCACAAUCCCUAUCUCCCGCAUUACAUUAUUUGCCAUUUGCCUCUCGUUUUCCUCUCGCCCACUUCACCCUUGCCAUUUUAUUCACCCUCUCUCUCUAUCCUCCCUCUCUAUUUGCCUCUUUUUGCCCGUUUGCUUUUUGUUUGCUUGUGUAUUAGUUUGCUAGCUUGUCGUUAUGUCAAUUCCUUUAUCUUCUGCCUCUAUGUCUGAAAUUGGGGAAAUUAUUGUCGAUAUGGACAGUAAUAAUAUCAUGAAAAAUUCUGAUGCUCCUGCUAAAGAACCUACCAUCUUUCAUACAAAAAAAUCCGUGUCGGUAGUGAUAAUAUUAUUGGAAAAGGAGUUAUUCAAGAUUUCUUUACUUGUGCCGGUGCUUUACCUUCUAUGGGUAGUUCUAUCCUUCACAGAACUAGUAUUCUUGCGGACGCUAUUGCCAUGCUUGUAGUUGAACUUGAAAGACAAUUCAUGCACAUGCAUCCUUCCAUACAAAGGAUUUUUCUGGAAUUUUCUAAUAUUGAGCAUUCUUCUGUUAAGCGUGCCGCUACUAUGUUUUUGGCUCAUGAGUUUAGAUUCAUAAUAAAAGAAGCCAAAGAAAUCUUUGCGCAUUAUAGGGUGGACGCUUGUCGUCCUCCCAUAGAGGCUAUCCUCUUUGAUCAAGAAGAAAUAAUGCGUUUUCAAUCUCUAGACUAUGUUGCUUUCAAUGAAAAUCUUAGAAAAAGGGUUCCUACCAAUGUUUUAGUUGAUAGAAUUUCUGAACUUAAUGAUGAUUUGGCUAUUCGAAAUAAUGAACUAGGAUAUUCUCUUGAAUAUAGGCUCACAAAGUUCUGGCAAAAGAAUGCUUAUAAUGAUGAAUUGGUUGUGCAUUAUGAAGGACCAAAGGAGGAACCUAUACCUCCCAAGGUUGAUCUUGGGGACUUUUGUCCCGUUAAAUUUAGGCCUUUUAUUAAUUUUGCUUGCCUCAAAGAAAACUUGCUGCCGAACGUAGAUAAUAUGAAAUGAGUUUUAAUAAUCUAUCUUACUAUUAUGGCAAUACCUAGAUCUAUUCUUGCUUGUUAUGCCUAGCUAGGGGCGUUAAACGAUAGCGCUUGUUGGGAGGCAACCCAAUUUUAUUUUUAUUCCUUGCUUUUUGCUCCUGUUUAGUAAUAAAUAAAUUAUUUAUCCUGUGUUUUGGUUGUGUUUUUUUGUUUAAUUAGUGUUUGUGCCAAGUAGAACCGUUGGGAAGACUUGGGGAAAGUCUUGUUGAACUUGCUGUAAAAAACAGAAACUUUAGAGCUCACGAGAACUGCUGUCAUUUUUAUUUGGAAAGUGCUACUUAGUUAAUUCUUGUUGAAUAUGAUUAAUAGAUAAAUUCCUCACGUCCAGAAAUUUAUUUUAGAAUUUUUGGGGUUCCAUAUCUUGCGCUAGCUACAGAUUACUACAGACUGUUCUGUUUUUGACAGAUUCUGUUUUUUGUGUGUUGUUUGCUUAUUUUGAUGAAUCUAUGGCUAGUAAAAUAGUUUAUAAUCCAUAGGGAAGUUGGAAUACAGUAGGUUUAACACCAAUAUAAAUAAAGAAUGAGUUCAUUACAGUACCUUGAAGUGGUCUUUUGUUUUCUUUCGCUAACGGAGCUCACGAGAUUUUCUACUUUAAGUUUUGUGUUGUGAAGUUUUCAAGUUUUGGGUAAAGAUUUGAUGGAUUAUGGAACAAGGAGUGGCAAGAGCCUAAGCUUGGGGAUGCCCAUGGCACCCCCAAGAUAAUCUAAGGACACCUAAAAGCCAAAGCUUGGGGAUGCCCCGGAAGGCAUCCCCUCUUCCGUCUACUUCUAUCAGUAACUUUACUUGGAGCUAUAUUUUUAUUCACCACAUGAUAUGUGUUUUGCUUGGAGCAUCUUUUAUGAUUUGAGUCUUUGUUUGUUAGUCUACCACAAUCAUCCUUGCUGUACACACCUUUUGAGAGAGCCAUACAUGACUUGGAAUUUGAUAGAAUACUCUAUGUGCUUCACUUAUAUCUUUUAGAGCACGAUGGUGGAUUUGUUUUAUAGAAACUAUUGAUCUCUCAUGCUUCACUUAGAUUAUUUCGAGAGUCUUAAUAGCAUGGUAAUUUGCUCAAAAUCCUCAUAUGCUUGGUAUGCAAGAUUAAUAAUAAAACUUUCUUAUGAGUGUGUUGAAUACUAAGAAAAGUUUGAUGCUUGAUGAUUGUUUUGAGAUAUGGAGGUAAUAAUAUCAAAGUCAUGCUAGUUGAGUAUUUGUGAAAUUGAGAAAUACUUGUGUUGCAGUUUGCAAAUCCCGUAGCAUGCACGUAUGGUAAACGUUAUGCAACAAAUUUGAAACAUGAGGUGUUAUUUGAUUGUCUUCCUUAUGAGUGGCGGUCGGGGACGAGCGAUGGUCUUUUCCUACCAAUCUAUCCCCCUAGGAGCAUGCACGUAGUGCCGAGGUUUUUGAUGACUUGUAGAUUUUUGCAAUAAGUAUGUGAGUUCUUUAUGACUAAUGUUGAGUCCAUGGAGUAUACGCACUCUCACCCUUCCAUCCUUGCUAGCCUCUUCGGUACCGUGCAUUGCCCUUUCUCACAUUGAGAGUUGGCGCAAACUUCGCCGGUGCAUCCAAACCCCGUGAUAUGAUACGCUCUUUCACACAUAAACCUCCUUAUAUCUUCCUCAAAACAGCCACCAUACCUACCUAUUAUGGCAUUUCCAUAGCCAUUCCAAGAUAUAUUGCCAUGCAACUUUCCAUCAUUCCGUUCAUCAUGACACAUUCAUCAUUGUCAUAUUGCUUAGCAUGAUCAUGUAGUUGACAUAGUAUUUGUGGCAAAGCCACCGUUCAUAAUUCUUUCAUACAUGUCACUCUUGGUUCAUUGCAUAUCCCGGUACACCGCCGGAGCCAUUCAUAUAGAGUCAUCUUUGUUCUAGUAUCGAGUUGUAAUCAUUGAGUUGUAAAUAAAUAGAAGUGUGAUGAUCAUCAUUAUUAGAGCAUUGUCCCAAGUGAGAAAAAAAAAGAAAGGCCAUAAAUAAAAGAAGGCCCAAAAAAAGAGAAAGGCCAUUAAAAAAAACAAAAGACCAAAAAAAUGAGAGAAAAAGAGAGAAGGGACAAUUUUACUAUCCUUUUACCACACUUGUGCUUCAAAGUAGCACCAUGAUCUUCAUAGUAGAGAGUCUCUCAUGUUAUCACUUUCAUAUACUAGUGGGAAUUUUUCAUUAUAGAACUUGGCUUGUAUAUUCCAACAAUGGGCCUCCUCAAGUGCCCUAGGUCUUCGUGAGCAAGCAAGUUGGAUGCACACCCACUAGUUUCUUUUGUUGAGCUUUCAUGCAUUUAUAGCUCUAGCGCAUCCGUUGCAUGGCAAUCCCUACUCCUUGCAUUAACAUCAAUCGGUGGGCAUCUCCAUAGCCCAUUGAUUAGCCUCGUUGAUGUGAGACUUUCUCCUUUUUUUGUCUUCUCCACAUAACCCCCCUCAUUAUAUUCUAUUCCACCCAUAGUGCUAUGUCCAUGGCUCGCGCUUAUAUAUUGCGUGAAGGUUUAUAGGUUUGAGAUUACUAAAGUAUGAAACAAUUGCUUGGCUUGUCAUCGGGGUUGUGCAUGAUGAGAGCAUUCUUGUGUGAUGAAAGUGAAACAUGACUAAACUAUAUGAUUUUGUAGGGAUGAACUUUCUUUGGCCAUGUUAUUUUGAGAAGACAUAAUUUCUUAGUUAGUAUGCUUGAAGUAUUAUCAUUUUUAUGUCAAUAUGAACUUUUGUCUUGAAUUUUUUGGAUCUGAAUAUUCAUACCACAAUUAAGAAGAAUUACAUUAAAAUUAUGCCAAGUAGCACUCCGCAUCAAAAAUUCUGUUUUCAUCAUUUACCUACUUGAGGACGAGCAGGAAUUAAGCUUGGGUGUCGGUGUCAAAACCGGCGGAUCUCGGGUAGGGGGUCCCGAACUGUGCGUCUAAGGCAGAUGGUAACAGGAGGCAGGGGACACAAUGUUUUACCCAGGUUCGGGCCCUCUUGAUGGAGGUAAAACCCUACGUCCUGCUUGAUUUAUAUUGAUGAUAUGGGUACUACAAGAGUAGAUCUACCACGAGAUCAAAGAGGCUAAACCCUAGAAGCUAGCCUAUGGUAUAAUUGUUGUUGUAUAUCAUCUAUCGACUAGCUUGGCCUCGGUUUAUAUAAUGCACGAGAGGCCUAGGAUAACAAGAGUCCUAGCCGAAUACGCCGGUGGGGAGGAGGCCUUGUCUUGAUCACCAAGUCUUGUAGAAUCUUCCAUGUAUGCGGCAACUGUCCGAACUGGCCCAUGAGUAUACGGCCAUGGGGGUCCUCAGCCCAAUCUAACAGAUCGGGAGAUGACGUGGUGAGUACCCCCUAUCCAGGACACCGUCAGUAGCCCCCUGAACCGGUCUUCAAGUUAGAGACGCUCCUCGAUUCUUCUGGACUGUUCUUCAUCUUCGGUUGUCGGUCUUGGAAACUGGUUCAACAAAUCUUCCCAUCUUCGAUCUUGAGGAUUGCCGAAAUGCAUUCGACGAGUUUACACAUCGGGUAUCCGAGGAGCCCCUUUAAGUGUCCGGCCUUUAUCAAUGCCUUGUUAUUUUUAGGCCACACCUCGGGUUUGAAGUUGUUCCCGGGAGGCAGUGUCCUCUUGCGUCCGAGCUCUAACGCCGGAUAGCAUUUGAGGUAUCUUUUGCAGCCGAGCACUAAUGCCGGACUGCUUCCGAGCUCUAACGCCGAAAUGUAUCCAAGCUCCAACGCCGGACUGUGUCCAAGCUCCAACGCCGGACUAUAUCCAAGAUGUCAUAGAUCAUCUUGGUCCAAAAAAGUUGAAGGAGUUUAGCCGAGCUUAAUGCUGGAAAUGCCCUCUAUGGAGCCAGCCACUAGCGCCCGAGCUUUAUGCCGGACUACUUCCGAGGUGGUGCACCACCCUGACUGUGGGUCGAUUUUUUGUCAAUAUUUUUGAUUGGUGCAAUUUAUUCUCUACCGAGAUAUAUAUCCAGUAACCCUCAAGGUUUGUAUCGGUCUAAAACCCGAGAUGCACCUGAAGGAUGACAUAAGACCGCUGAUCCCAGUAGCUGCUGAGACUCGGGUUGAUUUGCAAAAUUGGCCUAAGGAUCAAGUCCUAGCUCGGCAGAUUACUUCGGGAUACAAAAAGCGGUGUGCUCAGUCCUCGAGACUCAGGUUGGGUGCGGCCGACCAACCUGAGGAUCAUAAUCUCCUCGGAAAUUGUAUUGCACUUAAAAUUUUCUGCAUUGGACAGGCAAUGCAGUAGCCCCCGAGACACUGGUCGGGUGGCAACACCAGAUCAGGGGUUCGAUGUGCCCCUUUAAUAUUUGUAAAUAAUAAGCCCGAAGCCCAGUAGCCCCCGAGCCUUAAUGCGGGCACGGGUGGCCGAAUUAAGGAUCGAUAUCCAUAUCAAAAUCACAAAUUAUGUGUAAUGACUCUAUGUAUCCAAGUACUUUACGUCAUUUAAUGCUCGGAUCCGCAUUGUACAAAACUUUGUUGACCGACCAUCGGCUUCCACCUCCUCGGCCAAUAGCCGAGGAGUGUUUGUCUUACUUUAUAAAGCCUUUAUGAGGGCAAGAAAAACAAGGCAAUCUGGCCAUACGGUUUUAUAAACAAAGGUACGCAGAGAGAUAUGUUAUAUUACUGUUUUAACAUAAGAAAUGUCUUCCAAAGAAAAUAGUCCCGCUAUCUGUUCCUUUCUUUGGGUUGUCAUGCUAAGCAUGAUCAUGAGACCUUAGCUCUAAUGUAAGAGCAAAAUAUUGAGGAUUUUAGUUUGGGAGGCCAGUUAAUAGCCCCCGGUAGUGUUCGGCGACAGUCAAGGUCAAGCCAUAAACACUUCGGCCAUUGUUAUGAAUGGCCCGUCAUUUAACAUAGUCAUCGGAUCGCUGACCAGUUUACGCUUAUUGUGACAGUCAGUUUCAGUUUUCUCCACUAAGGUGCUUAAUCAUGUGAGCUGGAAGCACAAUCGCAGUGGUUCUCCCUUUGCACGCCUAGCCGAACAAAGAGGAAUGUAGGAAGCAAGUGCAGGAGCCGGGCAACCCAACUAUUGACCGAAGACACAAUUCGAAACCGAUGCAUAUAUAGCAAUAUCCGAGAAUGUUUUUGCUGGAUACCUAAAGGUGUCCGGCGUUGCACUGCAAGACUUGUGCUGAAAACACACAAAUAGUUUAAAAGUGCCAAAAGCUUGGAAAACCAAAAAAAGUCAGUAAAAACUUAAUGUUCGAACAAGAUUAAGUGUUCGGUGCCAAUCCGAAAAUUGGUCUUAGAAAAAAAAGAGUGCUUUUUCCGUGCUUUAACAUGUCACAUCCUAUCUCAAGACUUCAAGCGGGUCAGCCUACGGCUUCAACCUCCUAUCCCGAAGGCGGAGUACUUCUCAUUAGGCCAGUUUAGCAAACUAAACUCUAGCGGCUUUGAGAGAGAAAUUAGGCUCCCCGGCUAGUGACCACACACUCAUGUCGGAAAAAGGAGUGAUGGAAAAAGACUUUGCAAUGACCAAGAAGAAAACACAUUUAGUAUAAAAUAUCUCAUAUAAAUUUUAAGAGCCCCCAAGUGACUUGGGAAAAGAAUUUUAUGCAUAAUGAUUGUAUGUACCGAAGAACUUAUAUCAUAUCUUUGUUCAACCAAACUUUAAACGCGUCUUAACCGACCGUCGGCUUCUCGCUCUUCGGCCAAGGACCAAAAAGUGUUAUGUACUCCACUUGUCGAGAAUAUCGACAGUGUUUCCGAUAACCAGGCAACCGGGCCAUAAGACUGUAACAGACAAAGCGCGCUCAGGGAACUUAUGCUAUAUUACAAACGAAGUGUAAGAAGCAUCUUCGAAGAAAAUAGUGCCCCCACUGAUACCUUUCUUCGGUGCUCAUUAUUACUAUGAGACUUGUGCAAUAGAUUUUUUGUACUCAUGAGUUCAGUUGUGUGCCGACCAUGAUUGAAAACAAUAAGAGCGCUAGCUUUCGGCUUCACCCAGUCUGAGGUCAGAGCUCGGAGGACCCGGUCGUGACAAUCGCAGAGGUGCUCCCUUUACUCCCUAGCCGAACAAUCAGGAAUGUAGGGGUAAGAACAGGAGCCAGGCAACCCAGCUUGCAAAUCGCUUAAAUCAAUAUGGUGCAUAUUGUGGCAUAAUACACGAACAAGGAACGAAGCCAUACAAGUAUAAUCAUAUGCAAGAGGAAAAGGUUCAUAAAGGAAGCCCCAAAUAAACGGGGUAUUUGAAUUUGUGUGUCACAAACAAAGUUUGGACAAGAAAAUUUAUACAAGCAACUUUUUUCCAAAAAAGUAUAAUGCUUGGUCGAACCGAACACAAGUUAAAAAUUUAAAACUUGGAGCAUGAAGGCAACUUGGCUGGUUAAUGUGUUCGGUAUUGACGACGCGGUCUGAGCUUGAUGCAGGACAAGGUUCCAUCCCCCAAGCCGGUCCCGAGGUGGUGGAGCAAAGAGGUCGGCACUCCGAAGUGGUGACAUGGCACGGUCAAUGCAGGCCGGCAGAGUGAUGCCGAAGUCCCCGGCAUGGGGUAAUGAAGUGUUGACGAAGCCCCCCGUCCAGCCGAGGUGACGUGGUAUGUUAGUACGCCGAGUUGACGAUACUGCCCAACCCGGAUAAUUUCCCUGUGCACAAAAAAAUAGUGCAAACCGGAGAUAAUAGUAAUGAUAAUAAUAAAAAAUGUUGCAUAAUAAAUAAUUUAUGCAAAGUGGGUAAUAAAAGAAAUAUGGCCUGGCGCCAAAGUCAAUGUCGAUGCAGGGCGUCGGCGUGGUGCGGUAAAGGUGUGGCAAAGCCUGAAUUCACAGGUCGGUCCCAGUUCCGGAUGCGGCGUUUGCCGGACUAUGUACGGAAACUGACCAAACCACCACGCGACCGUCGUUAAUGCGACCAUCAUUUUAUAGACCUGUCUACAGAUGAUGGACAAACCAGAGUAAUAAUUCCUUGGGAAAAAUAAACCCAAACAAGCAAAAAAUACUAGGAUUAAUAGCACCUGGUUUAUUUGUUGUAGCAGUCCUAAAAAAGGUGAUUCCCAGAAUUGGGACUCGAUCCACACACCCAUUGCCUAAUGGGCGAUAAAGCGAAGGCAUGGCAAUGCUGGCAAAGGUCGGCUUGCCGAGGCAAAGCCCUCGGCCCAGCUAAUCGUGACGAAGCUGGUCGGCUGGUGACGCCAAAGUCACCGGAGUAGGUUGAUGAAGAGAUGAUGAAGCCCCCGAUCCAGCCGAGAUGUUGAAGCCUCGAUGUCAGCCGAUGAGUCGAAGUAGGUUGGCGUGAUGGACACCAGCUUGAAGAAGCAACAGUGCAGCCCUGCCGAUGCAGGACGUGACGUGGUCGAUGCCGGCUUGAUGAAGUGACCGUGCGGCGAUGCCGGUAUGCCCACUCCGUGUAAUCCAUGGGGCGGCGAUGUUGGUGAUGAUUUAUCCUUCGCGAUGCCGGACUCUUGCUCGGCUUGCCGAGAUGAUGAUCCGAAGAAGUUGAGCUCGGCUCAACAAAGUGAUGACGUGUCUAGCGCAGGUCGGCAGCCGUGGAGCAAUAUUGCCAAACUGGUUUGACACCAGCAUGAUGUUGAAGAUCAUGUUCAAAAGAUCUUAAAGUUGGUGGGAUAUGUUCGGGAACAAAACACAAUACCCCAUACAACACUUCCUUCAAAAGGGAUGUCCGAAAUCCCGUUCAUAAAAAAGACGAAUUCGGGUCGGAUUCGUUUUCGCGCAGAAAACAGAUCCGAAAAGUGAUGCACUAAUCGGAAGGUUCCCGGCGUUUGGACGGUCGGAUCGAGCUGAAAUUUUGAGAGGUGGUAGAUAUAGGAAUUCCGCAGCAGAUCAACAGUUGGAUUUUCCAAAGGAUGUCCGAGCUAGAUGCUGGACACCACGCCCUAAACUCGUCCAGAUUCCCGUCCAGAUUUGACAGGGCUCCGGUAUAUAGUGGAUUGCCAGAGAUUCCUCCAUCGGAACUUGAGGAAAUUUUCCAGGGUCGUUGUAGACUCAAUUCCACACAAUUCCACCGAAGCAAUCGUUAAAGAGACACUUGAGGAGGCGGUGGCGGUGGACACAAGUUUGCUGUCUAGAAAAACAGCACGGUCGCCCGAGGACAAUGUUGACGUUGAGCCCCCAGGCUCCCUGGAUGAUUCCUCCAUGAUCUUGAUAGACAUCAGAGUUGAUGUUUAUAAAGGCCCUCAUCCGAACAUGACGAUCGGAGGUAGGGCGCAGUCCUUGGUCGAACCAAGGUGACCAGUCAAGCUGGUGACGAAAAUGCCGAAGUCGCAGUUGAUCUGCAGGCGAGCCAUCAACCUUUUGCCGAACACACAACGGAACUCUCAAUGAAAGCACCAAUGUCGGUGUCAAAACCGGCAGAUCUCGGGUAGGGGGUCCCGAACUAUGCGUCUAAGGCAGAUGGUAACAGGAGGCAGGGGACACAAUGUUUUACCCAGGUUCGGGCCCUCUUGAUGGAAGUAAAACCCUACGUCCUGCUUGAUUGAUAUUGAUGAUAUGGGUACUACAAGAGUAGAUCUACCAUGAGAUCAGAGAGGCUAAACCCUAGAAGCUAGCCUAUGGUAUAAUUGUUGUUGUAUAUCAUCUAUCGACUAGCCUGACCUCGGUUUAGAUAAUGCACCAGAGGCCUAGGAUAACAAGAGUCCUAGCCGAAUACGCCGGUGGGGAGGAGUCCUUGUCUUGAUCACCAAGUCUUGUAGAAUCUUCCAUGUAUGCGGCAGCUGUCCGAACUAGCCCAUGAGUAUACGGCCAUGGGGGUCCUCGGCCCAAUCUAACAGAACGGGAGAUGAUGUGGUGAGUACCCCCUAGUCCAGGACACCGUCGUUGGGGAUGCUUGAUACGUCUCCAACGUAUCUAUAAUUUUUGAUUGCUCCAUGCUAUAUUAUCUACUAUUUUGGACUAUAUUGGGCUUUAUUUUCCACUUUUAUAUUAUUUUUGGGACUAACCUAUUAACUGGAGGCCCAGCCCAGAAUUGCUGUUUUUGCCUAUUUCAGUGUUUCAGAGAAACAGAAUAUCAAACAGACUCCAAACGGAAUGAGGUGGUCACGAGGGUGGAGGGCGCGCCCCUGCCUCGUGGCCCCCUUGAAGAUCCACCGACGUACUCCUUCCUCCUAUAUAUACCUACGUACCCCCAAACGAUCGGGGACGGAUCCAAAAACCUAAUUCCAUCGCUGCAACUUUCUGUAUCCACGAGAUCCCAUCUUGGGGCCUGUUCCGGAGCUCCGCCGGAGGGGGCAUCGAUCACGGAGGGCUUCUACAUAAUCAUCCAAGCCCCUCUGAUGAAGUGUGAUUAGUUUAGUUCAUACCUACUGGUCCAUAGUUAGUAGCUAGAUGGCUUCUCCUCUCUUUUUGGAUCUCAAUACAAUGUUCUCCCCCUCUCUUGUGGAGAUCUAUUCGAUGUAAUCUUCUUUUUGCGGUGUGUUUGUUGAGACCGAUGAAUUGUGGGUUUAUGAUCCAGUCUAUCUAUGAAUAAUAUUUGAAUCUUCUCUGAAUUAUUUUAUGUAUGAUUGGUUAUCUUUGCAAGUCUCUUCGAAUUAUCAGUUUGGUUUGGCCUACUAGAUUGGUUUUUCUUGUCAUGGGAGAAGUGCUUAGCUUUGGGUUUGAUCUUGCGGUGUCCUUUCCCAGUGACAGAAGGGGCAACAAGGCACGUAUUGUAUCGUUGCCAUCGAGGAUAACAAGAUGGGGUUUUUAUCAUAUUGCAUGAAACUAUCCCUCUACAUCAUGUCAUCUUGCUUAAGGCGUUACUCUGUUUUUAACUUAAUACUCUAGAUGCAUGCUGGAUAGCGGUCGAUGAGUGGAGUAAUUGUAGUAGAUGCAGGCAGGAGUCGGUCUACUUGUCUCGGACGUGAUGCCUAUAUACAUGAUCAUACCUAGAUAUUCUCAUAACUAUGCUCAAUUCUGUCAAUUGCUCAACAGUAAUUUGUUCACCCACCGUAGAAUACUUAUGCUCUUGAGAGAAGCUACUAGUGAAUCCUAUGGCCCCCGGGUCUCUUUAUCAUCGUAUCAAUCUCCAUCACUUUAUUAUUGCUUUGCUUUUACUUUGCUUUUACUUUUACUUUGCAUCUCUAUACCAAAAAUACCAAAAAUAUUAUUUAUCAUCUCUAUCAGAUCUCACUUUCGUAAGUGACCGUGAAGGGAUUGACUACCCCUAAGCGCGUUGGUUGCGUUGAGCUAUUGUUUUUUGGUAGGUACGAGGGACUCGCGUGUAGCCUCCUACUGGAUUGAUACCUUGGUUCUCAAAAACUGAGGGAAAUACUUACGCUACUUUGUUGCAUCAUCCUCUCCUCUUCGAGGAAAUUCAACACAGUGCUCAAGAGGUAGCAGAUGGACCCUCCUGGGACCCAGGCUGGGGCUGCGUGCGAUCGGGCGAGGCAUCCAAACCCAAUCAUUUCAGUAGGUAUGUACAUCCCACACGGUAAUCCGAGAAAAUCAUUUAUGUAGGUAUGUACAUCCCACACGGUAAUCCGAGAAAAUCAUUUCCGUAGGUAUGUACAUCCCACACGGUGAAUCUCAAAAAAACAUUUCUGUUCGUAUGUAAAGCAGACACAGUCAAUCCAAGGAAUACAUUUCCGUUCUUAUGUACAUCCCACACAGUCAAUCCAGGGAAAACGUUUCUGUUCGGUCGUACAUCCCACAUGGUUUUAUGUAUACGCUCGUGUGUGAAAGGUGUAACUAUCACACACGCUCUGCCUUGGUUAACUGUUUACUUUCAUUAACUACAUCACACACAAUUUGAUGUAGAAAACUGUGUGACAUUGGGCUAUCCAUCGCAAGUGCUUUUACUGCUAGAACCGUUUGCAAAGGUCCAUGACUGUCUGUUCUAUUUUUAUUUUUGCGUGUAAUUUAUUAUUCUAAUUGAAAAUUUUGAAAUACCAAACGUGCAAUUCAAAUUCUCAGCACAAUGGUUCAACAACGAAUCCAGAAAUAAAAUUGACAGUACAAUAUGUUCAGUAAUUACAGGAUUAGGCAGCAAUUAACUAUGAGGAACCGCAGUAUUUAAAGGCGGUAAAGGUGAAGAGACAAGUGUAAACCAUUUUGACUGCCGAUGGUGUUGAAGAAGAGGAAUGCCCAUAAUGUGCCUUCCUGCAUGCCAUAGGCACGAACCACUUUUGUCCAACCCCUUGUGAUGAUCGCCCGCCCAUCCUUCACCGCCUUCAGGAAGACUUCUAGAGCAUUAUCAUGGUAGCAUGAAUUAUAUACUUUAACCUUAGUUGCCUCCACUCCGUUCAUGUAGUUUGUAAGGUAAUCAUCAGUAAAUAGCUUCGGAAACCACUGAAAGAGAAAAAUAUCACAAACUAAGGUCUAAUAGAGUAACUUGUUGUGGGCAGGGGGAAAAGGCAACACAUUACUUACCAUCCUAAAGUUCACUGUUGUCUUUGAUAAAGUGUAAAUAAAGAGCUUAAUUCCAAUCACUCGUUUCUUUCGCCUAACAAUCUUUCUUAGUUUCCUCACUUGACGCUUGUUCAUGAAUAUCUCAUUGCCCCAUACGCAAAAGGGAUCGAAGCGUGGAUCAGUACCCCUCAUAUAUGUACCUACAAGCAACCAGUAAAUGCUAGAAGCUAAACUAAGAUUGCACAAAUGAUGUAAAAUAUAACUACCUAUGUUCCUAAGUACAGGUUUUUUUGAGAUUCCAAUACGAACUACAUACGGAUGUAUAUAGAAUUAUAGAUAUAGUUUAGAUUAGAAUCUAGAUUCACUCAUUUUACUCCUUAUGUAGUCUAUAUUGGAAUCUCUAAAAAUACUUACAAUUAGGAAUAGAUGGUGUAUAAGACAUGGGAUGCAGCUAACCUCGACGGCAAACAACAUCAUAGUCCGUUGUAGCCCUAUGUAAGUACAUGGAAAGCCAAUGUUAACUACAACAUGGUUAACAUCCACCAAAAAUAGCAAAUGGUAAUAAAACGACAGCAUCUAUAGUGAUAUCUUCAUUUUGGAAGAGUAGCACGGUAGCAAAGGGACGGAUUGAAAAUGGAUACAACUGUUAAUUGCAACAGGCUUAAUGGCCAUUGAAACCGGUACUGAUAAAAUGCAAUUGGCAAAGUUAAACAUCACAGGGCAGGUGCUGCCAGAGCAGAUAAUGGUCCAGUUCUCUAUAAAAAAGGUAGGGAAAAUAGCUCAAACGUGUUAGGCAUGUUUACUACAACAUUCUUAAUACAUCGAUAGUACAAAACAUAGCCAUUAAUUGCAACUGGUAUUGGUAAGAUUGAACUGGUGGGUACAUACUUGGUAAGUCCUGAGAGGUAGUUGCUGGGGCACUUCAUCUUGGCCAGAGCCCGCCCAAAGUCAGCGGUGGCGGAGGCGAGCUAUUCCUUCGGGUCGAACCGUGGAUCAGUGCCACUGACAUGUGUACCUACAUGCAACCAGUAAAUGGUAGAAGUUAAACUGCAAUUGCACAAAUGAUGUGAACUAUUGUAAGACAUGGGAUGCAGCUAACCUUGACGGCAAAUAACAACAUCGACCGUUAUGACCCUGCGUAAGUACAUGGACAAGCAUGUUAAGUACAACAGGGUUAGCAUCCACAAAAAAGCAAAUGGGACAACAUCUCUAGUAUAUCUUCAUUGCGGAGAGUAGCAUUGUAGCAAAUGGACAGAUUAAAAAAUGGAUACAACUGUUAAUUGCAACAGGCUUAACAACAUCAUAAGUCAUGUUUUGUAAGUUUGUAGCCAUUGAAAUGCAACUGUUUAAAAAUGGAUUCAACUGUUAAUUGCAACAGGCUUAAUAGACAUUGAAACGGGUACUGAUAAAAAUGCAAUUGGCAUAGUUAAACAUCACAAGGCAGGUGCUGCCAGAGCAGAGAAUGGCCCAGAUGUCUAUAAAAAGGUAGUGAAAAUAGCAAAAUGUGUUAGGCAUGUUUACUAGAACAUGCUUAAUACAUUGACUGUACAGAACAUAGCCAUUAAUUGCAACCGGUAUUGGUAAGAUUGAACUGGUGAGUACAUACUUGGUAUGUCCUGAGAGGUAGUUGCUGGGGCACUUCAUAUUGGCCAGAGCUCAACCAAAGUCAGCGACGGCGGAGGUGAGCUGUUCCUCCGGGUCGAAGCGUGGAUCAGUGCCACUGACAUGUGUACCUACAGGAAACCAGUAAAUGGGUAGAAGUUAAACUGCAAUUGCACAAAUUAUGUGAAAUACUGUAAGACAUGGGAUGUCGCUCACCUCGACGGCAAACAAAAGCAUCGGCCGUUAUGACCCUGCGUAAGUACAUGGACAUGCAUGUUAAGUGCAACAGGGUUAGCAUCCACUAAAAAUAGCAAAUGGGCAGCAUCUCUAGUGAUAUCCUGAGUCAUGUAUUGUAAGUUUGUUGCUGGUAUUGGUGAAAUUGAGCUGGACACGGUAAUAUUUGAACAUCACACAAUGUGUAGUACUGAAAUAAACAAGGCACGAACAUGCUUAAUACAUCAACCGUACAAAUCAUAGUCGUUACAAGUGGUAUCGGUAAGAUUUAGCUGGUCAGAUCUUACCUGUUAAGUCCUGGAGGGUAGUCGCUGGGGGACUUCAUCUUGGCCAGAGCCUGCACCAUGUCGGCGGCGGCGGCGAAGGCGAGGUGUUCUUCCGGGUCAACAUGCGCAGCGGCCAUCGCGCCAUGGACCGCCAUUAGCUCCUGGCGGCGGGGGGGAGGGUAUUUGGAGGCAUGAGGAUGUUUCGCAGGCGCCAUUUAAGAAAUCAGGCGGGGACGUGAUAGAGAUCGAUGGGUCACCUGACUGGAUCUUUGCAGAACAUAGAUGUGGUUGAAGCCGUGGUUGCGGCGGCGGCGGUCUGAGAUGCUGGUAGGGGGAGGCGCGAGGGAGGGGGGAUACUGAGGGGAAUGGGAUGUGGUUGGAGGAAUAAAUUCUGAAAUCGCACGCCUAAUGAAAAUUUCGGUGCGAAAUUUGAAACUUGGGCGAGGGAAAUACACAACAUAGACGAAGCGCGUAAAAUACUCGUGUGCGAGAAAAAAGAAAGUUGGCAGAUCCCGUCUCCAAAAAAAUGUACACAUGUACUUGAUUUUUUUGGUCAAUGGUACGCCUGGUUUAUUAGAAAAUAUCGCACAGGUAACUGACUUAUGGGUCAUUAACGCAAAAAACGCGGACGGGUACGACAUAUUAACUGUGUGUUUUGUGAUCUUCUAAUGAUUAACGCAAAAAAACGCACACGGGCACACAUGCUAAUCAACUCCCAAAGACCACAAAGGAUGCUUUUACCCACAUUGUACGUUAAUACUACAAACUUAAAGUACUAGUGGUAAUUUGCUCUAAUACUACAAACUUAAACUACUUCUCACAUGCGGCCAUCACGGCAUGCUGGCCAGACGCCGUCGUUCUCCUUCCCGGCCUUGUAGGCGGCAGCCCACCAUGCUUCAAUCUCAGCCAAGCUCUCCUCACCAUGGCGUGCGGCCUCUUUUUUCUUGCGGCAGCGAGACUCUCUUUUCUUGACUGCUUUCUGCCUUUUCCGCUCCUUCUGUGCGGCUUUGGCUGCCUCUAGAUCCACCACCCGUUCGGCCAUGGUAGCCUCAAAAUCCGCCCAUGUAACUGUAUGGCCACCAGCGACGAUGAACUCGGCACGGCGAGAUGCCAUCACUUCCUUACCAUGUGUGCGGUCGCGGGCGGCGAGGAACGCGGCACGGGGGGAUGCCAUCGCUUCCUUACCAGUUACUGUGCGCCGCGGUGCCAUGGACGACUCCUGGCGAGAGCUUUGGGAUGGAGGGGCCGGGCAGCCGUACCGUGCGGUGGUAUUCAAGAGCUCAACCACAAACGACAACAGAAAUUUGGGUUCCCUUACAAUUUUGCUCGUUCAUUAUAGCACACGGUUCAUCUUCGUCGCUUCCGAAAACAGUGUGCAUUGAGCCUAUUGUGUGUUGCGUUAUGAUUGGCUGGAACCCCAGCCACGCGGAUCGCGCGUGUGCAUCGUUGCAUGCACCGCGAUCGAGCGACAAUCUACGUCCCUCACAUCACACCCGUGCACCUGUAGCUGCAUUGGAUUUAUAUGCGCAAAAUGCCAAAUUUGAACACGGUGAUUUGCAGGGUGUAUGUUCGUUGUAGAAAAAAACUCCAGGGCAAAGAACGAAGAAAAUUUGGAUUCCCCUUCAAUCUUGAGGAUUUCCCUUUCGAAAGCAUGGAACUUCCUCGGUGAUGGUUCGAUUUAUGAAGGGCGUGCAUGACAACAUAAGCCAAACAUUCUCAAAUUUUUACCAAGGCAUGGUGUGGUCAUACCAUGGCACCAUGCCAGGCAUCAUGUUUUUUAAGCAUUUAUUUCAUUUUUUUUCUAUAGUUCAAAACCCAACAAACAGACAUUUGUGGUUGACUAUUUGUAACGUCCCGAGACUGAUGCACCAGGUGUCUUCCAGUUAUUCACGUUGAGUGCCUUGUCAUAUCUUUGCUUCUUGCACCAUGCUCAUCUCAUUUGGGUAUAUUGCUUUGUCAUGCCCAUCAUCGUCUUAUUGCAUUGUCUCUUGUCAUUUUGCAUGCUAAUCAUAUACCUUGUAGUAAUCUUCAUAUUGUUGCCAUGUGCAUUUCAUUCAUCCUUAUGUGGUGUGUUGUUGUUAUGAUGUGUGUGAGAAUCAUUCCUUUUCAUCUCUCUCUCAAGCCAUACCCAUGCAUCAUCACCUCUCACUUCCUUCUUCUUUCAUGUUUUUGCAAGUGACUUUAUUCCUCCUCCAUUAAUGUUCGUCCUUUCCCUAUAAAUCUUGCCUCUUUCCUACACCCUCUUUGCCAGAUUUCAUCCCAUUCAAAGUUGUUUUGGUCAGGUUCAAAAAUGAUUGAAGUUUGAGAAUAAUCCAAACUCUAAUUAUUUUUCUGAUUUCUAAAAAUGCCACAGCAAUUUAUUCAAACCCUACAUAAAUCCAGGGUUCCAGAUAUAUAUUUAUAUAUCUCAUAUUCCUAACCAAAACCCGUGGACUUUCCCCUUUGUUGAUUGUUUAUUUAUAUAAACAAAAAAAUAAAAUAAAGGAAAAGGCCCCUUACUUGUUCAGCUACUCACUGGGCCUCCCAACUCCUACGCAGGCCACAAACCUGCAGCUGGGCCGGCCUUUAGGCCCAACCGCCCCACCUACACCUAACCCUAGACUCGACCGACCUAUCCCUCUCGCUCCCCUGCUCGUUCCCACCGCCGCCAGAAGCCAUCUCCCUCGACUCCUCCUCUAGCGCCGCCAGAGACAUGCACGCAAGCGCAGUCCUCUGCUUCGACCCGACCUCAUCCUUUCCCUCGUUCCCUUGUGCCGCCUCCCCCUCAUAUCGAUCUCUCCCUGUCCUCUCGCUCAAGCUAACCACCUCGCGGCCCCGCGAGCUCGCCUGCCCACACGGCCAUGGCUUCGCCGCCCUCGACCCGGCUCGCCCUCGACGCCCCCUUCGCUGGAGCCCUUCCUCCGCCUCUGCUUUGGCCUCCCACGACAGCUACGCCGCGCCCUCAAGCGCCUCACCUCCCACAGCCGGUCCAGGACCUCCUCGUCGCCUCCUCGUCUACCCGGCGCCACUGACUCGUCAGCUCUGUCGCCAGGGGAGGAGACCCUCGACCUGUCCCCUUCGGCCCCGACUCCGGCGAGCGCCGCCCUGUUGACUCUCCUCCGCGCGACGCCUCCCCUCUGCUGCCUUAUUACUUUGCCUACGACUGCCCUUUUCUUUCCCGCCUUGCCUCACGCGACCCACAUGGGCGCCGGCCAUGGAGGCCACCGUGCCGGCCUGCAGCUUCGCGCGUGCUGCCUUGCCUUCCUGCUACUUCGUUCGACUUCGGACGACCUCCAUCGAGCUCGCCCGGCCACCUUCGACCUUGGGGUGGCCCUGCCUCCUCUAGUAGCCUCCUGGAGCCGGCCAUUUCCAUGGGUUCGGGGAGCCCCAAGUCUUGUCCGUGGCCUCGUUGGCUGUUGAUGUUACGUUGUUGGCUUUCUCCAUCGUCUCGCUGGGCUCGCCAAAUCCUGUACCAGGAGCCCAAGCCGGAAGACUCCGUGGAUGUGCAUCUCACUUGUGCCAUUUUGGAUCGUCAAGAACGUUUCGAGAUUCGCCAAGUACCAUUACGCCCGGAGACCACGGAUCCGUGAAGUUCCACUACCGUCGCCAUGGAUCCGACAAGUUCGCGAGUACGACCACUUACCACGACGACCUUGUACCACUAUCAUCGACGAAGACAUGUGCAUCGCAAGCGUCAAGUUCAACUACCGUCGAUGGCGAAGGGUUUGGAGUCAUCAGGCACCUCUCUGAACGAACGGGAACGACUAUCAUAGCCGAGAUCGCGAGAACCUCUACCGACGACUUCGGAACGUGUACGAUGACCAUUGUCGAAGACCCGUACCUCUACCGCUUCCUGAACAUGUACCACGACUUCCAUGACUUCCGUGAACCGCUACUUCCACAACGGUCGUGAACGACUACUUCCCUCGACGAACUCGAUACGCUUCGAAAAUGCACGCUUCGAAGGUAUAGCCCUGAGACGACCGUCCGAGAAUGAUUGCUUGUGUUGUAUGAGAUGCACCGGUUGUCUGCACUAUGUCGGUAGUUUCUCUCGCUUCCAUGCUGUCGACACUUGGGACACCCGGUAACCGGGAGGACCCCACCCUUUAUAUAUUUCAUAUUCCUAACCAAAACCCCUGGACUUUCCCCUUUGUUGAUUGUUUAUUUAUAUAAACAAAGAAAUAAAAGAAAGGAAAAGGCCCCUUACUUGCUCAGCUACUCACUGGGCCUCCCAACUCCUACGCAGGCUGCAAACCUGCAGCUGGGCUGGCCUUUAGGCCCAGCCGCCCCACCUACACCUAACCCUAGCCUCAACCGACCUCUCCCUCUCGGUCCCCUGCUCGUUCCGCCACCAGAAGCCUUCUCCCUCGACUCCUCUAGCGCCGCUAGAGACAUGCACGCAGGUGUAGUCCUCUGCUUCUACCCGACCUCAUCCUUUCCCUCGUUCCCUUGCGCCGCCUCCCCCUCAUAUCGAUCUCUCCCUCUCCUCUCGCUCAAGCCAACCACCCCGCGGCCCCGCGAGCUCGCCUGCCCGCACGGCCAUGGCUUCACCGCCCUCGACCCGGCUCGCCCUUGACGUCCCCUUCACCGGAGUCCUUCCUUCGCCUCUGCUCCGGCCUCCCACGACAGCCACGCCCCGCCCUCAAGCGCCCCACCUCCCGCGGCCGGUCCAGGACCUCCUUGUCUACCCGGCGCCACUGACUCGUUAGCUCCGUCGCCAGGGGAGGAGCCCCUCGACCUGUCCCCUUCUGCCCCGACUCCGGCGAGCGCCGCCCCAUCGACUCUCCUUUGCGUGACGCCUCCCCUCUGCUACCUCGUUCCUCUGCCUGUGAUUGUCCUUUGCUCUCCCGCCUUGCCUCACGUGACCCACAUGGGCGCCGGCCAUGGAGGCCACCGUGCUGGCCUGGAGCUUCGCGCGUGCUGCCUUGCCUUGCUGCUGCUUCGUCCGACCGCGGACGACGUCCGUCGAGCUCGCCGGCCACCUUCGACCUCAGCGUGGCCUUGCCUCCACUAGAAGCCUCCUGGUGCCGUCCGUUUCCGUGUGUUCGGGGAGCCCCAAGUCAUGUCCAUGGCCUCAUUGGUUGUUGAUGUUACGUUGUUGGCUUUCUCCAUCAUCUCCCUGGGCUAUUCAAAUCCUGUACCACGAGCCCAAGCCGGAAGACUCCGUGGAUGUGCAUCUCACUUGUGCCAUUUUGGAUCGUCAAGCACGUUUCGAGAUUCGCCAAGUACCAUUACGCCCGGAGACCACGGAUCCGUGAAGUUCCACUACCGUCGCCAUGGAUCCGACAAGUUCGCGAGUACGACCACUUACCACGACGACCUUGUACCACUAUCGUCGACGAAGACAUGUGCACCGCAAGCGUCAAGUUCAACUACCGUCGAUGGCGAAGGGUUUGGAGUCAUCAGGCACCUCUCUGAACGAACGGGAACGACUAUCGUAGCCGAGAUCGCGAGAACCUCUACCGACGACCUCGGAACGUGUACGAUGACCAUUGUCGAAGACCCGUACCUCUACCGCUUCCUGAACAUGUACCACGACUUCCAUGACUUCCGUGAACCGCUACUUCCACGACGGUCGUGAACGACUACUUCCCUCGACGAACUCGGUACGCUUCGAAAACGCACGCUUCGAAGGUAUAGCCCCGAGACGACCGUCCGAGAAUAAUUGCUUGUGUUGUAUGAGAUGCACCGGUUGUCUGCACUGUGUCGGUAGUUUCUCUCGCUUCCAUGCUGUCGACACUUGGGACACCCGGUAACCGGAAGGACCCCACCUUUUAUAUAUUUCAUAUUCCUAACCAAAACCCCUGGACUUUCCCCUUUGUUGAUUGUUUAUUUAUAUAAACAAAGAAAUAAAAGAAAGGAAAAGGCCCCUUACUUGCUCAGCUACUCACUGGGCCUCCCAACUCCUACGCAGGCUGCAAACCUGCAGCUGGGCUGGCCUUUAGGCCCAGCCGCCCCACCUACACCUAACCCUAGCCUCAACCGACCUCUCCCUCUCGGUCCCCUGCUCGUUCCCACCGCCACCAGAAGCCUUCUCCCUCGACUCCUCUUCUAGUGCCGCUAGAGACAUGCACGUAGGUGUAGUCCUCUGCUUCUACCCGACCUCAUCCUUUCCCUCGUUCCCUUGCGCCGCCUCCCCCUCAUAUCGAUCUCUCCCUCUCCUCUCGCUCAAGCCAACCAGCCCCGCGGCCCCGCGAGCUUGCCUGCCCGCACGGCCAUGGCUUCACCGCCCUCGACCCGGCUCACCCUUGACGUCCCCUUCACCGGAGUCCUUCCUCCGCCUUUGCUCCGGCCUCCCACGACAGCCACGCCCCGCCCUCAAGCGCCUCACCUCCCGCAGCCAGUCCAGGACCUCCUCGUCUACCUGGCGCCACCGACUCGUUAGCUCCGUCGCCAGGGGAGGAGCCCCUCGACCUGUCCCCUUCUGCCCCGACUCCGGCGAGCGCCGCCCCAUCGACUCUCCUUUGCGUGACGCCUCCCCUCUGCUACCUCGUUCCUCUGCCUGUGAUUGUCCUUUGCUCUCCCGCCUUGCCUCACAUGACCCACAUGGGCGCCGGCCAUGGAGGCCACCGUGCUGGCCUGGAGCUUCGUGCAUGCUGCCUUGCCUUGCUGCUGCUUCGUCCGACUGCGGACGACCUCCGUCGAGCUUGCCGGCCACCUUCGACCUCAGCGUGGCCUUGCCUCCACUAGCAGCCUCCUGGUGCCGGCCGUUACCAUGUGUUCGGGGAGCCCCAAGUCUUGUCCAUGGCCUCGUUGGUUGUUGAUGUUACGUUGUUGGCUUUCUCCAUCAUCUCCCUGGGCUAUUCAAAUCCUGUACCACGAGCCCAAGCCGGAAGACUCCGUGGAUGUGCAUCUCACUUGUGCCAUUCUGGAUCGUCAAGAACGUUUCGAGAUUCGCCAAGUACCAUUACGCCUAGAGACCACGGACCCGUGAAGUUCCACUACCGCCGCCAUGGAUCCGACAAGUUCGCGAGUACGACCACUUCCCACGACGACCUUGUACCACUACCGUCGACGAAGACAUGUGCACCGCAAGCGUCAAGUUCAACUACCGUUGACCGCAAAGGGUUUGGAGUCAUCAAGCACCUCUCCGAACGAACGGGAACGACUAUCGUCGCCGAGAUCGAGAGAACCUCUACCGACGACCUCGGAACAUGUACGACGACCGUUGUCGAAGACCCGUACCUCUACCGCUUCCCGAACAUGUACCAUGACUUCCACGAUUUCCGUGAACUGCUACUUCCACGAUGGCCAUGAACGACUACUUCCCUCGACGAACUUGAUACACUAAAACACACGCUUCGAGGGUAUAACCCCGAGACGACCGUCCCAGAAGGAUUGCUUGUGUUGUAUGAGAUGCACCCGUUGUCUGCACCAUGUCCGUAUUGUCUCUCGCUUCCAUGUUGUCUACACUUGGGACACCCGCUAACCGAGAGGACCCUACCUUCUAUCGCAUGUCACGCUCCCGUCACUUUUCCUUUUGCAUCGGUAUCUCCGUGAGCUAUCGGAACCGGAAUGUUGCCGUGGCACCAUUUCCGUUGUCAUUGUCAUGGCACCCCUUUAUUUCCACCACGGUGACAAAUGUUUCAUAAUGCUCUUAUCAACAUUUUCAUAAAAUUGCAUAAACUUGCAUAUGCCAUCCGCAUCAUGAUAAUAACAUUAAAUUUUUUUAAAUUGUUGUUUGCAUUAAAAUGCUAAUGCAUAUGGGGAUUUACCGGUAUUGUUGUUUGUUAUUUCCGGCCUCAUUUAAACUUGCCUAAUGUUUAGUUUACUUAUGCUCCACCUCUUGCCAUGUUUAAACAACAUUUAAUUUUGUUGAGCAGUUUAAACAGGAGAGAACUAAAUAAUUAAAUGUGGUGUUUCGUCAAUAUGCAAGUCGUUGCAUAUUGAGCUCCACUUAACUUGUACUUUUGCUUGUGCACUUUGCCAUGCCAUGCCUCAUUAAACCGUACAUGCAUCAUACUUGGUUGUGCAUCAUGCCAUGUUUAUGUGAUGGUUUUUUACCAUGUUGUUUGCUCCUUUCCAGUGUUGCUUCUUCUUGUUAGUUCCGGUAACGUGCGUUUGUGAGGAUCCGUUUGACUAUGUCCGUUUGUCUUCUUCAUGGACUUGUUCUUCUUCCUCGCGGGAUCUCAGGCAAGAUGACCAUACCCUCGAAAUCACUUCUAUCUUUGCUUGCUAGUUGUUCACUCUAUUGCUAUGCCGCGCUACCUACCACUUGCUAUAUCAUGCCUCCCAUAUUGCCAUGUUAAGCCUCUAACCCACUUUUCCUAGCAAAUCGUUGUUUGGCUAUGUUACUGCUUUUGCUAAGCCCCUCUUAUAGUGUUGCUAGUUGCAGGUGAAGAUGAAGUUUGUUCCUUGUUGGAACAUGGAUAUUGUUGGGAUAUUAUUAUUAUAUCGUAUUUACUUUAAUGCAUCUAUAUACUUGGUAAAGGGUGGAAGGCUCGGCCUUAUGCCUGGUGUUUUGUUCCACUCUUGCUGCCCUAGUUUCCGUCAUACCAGUGUUAUAUUCCUUCAUUUUGCGUCCCUUACGUGGUUGGGUGUUAUGGGAACCCCUUGACAGUUUGCUUUGAAUAAAACUCCUCCAGCAAGGCCCAACCUUGGUUUUACAUUUGCCUAACAACCUAUCACCUUCCCUUGGGUUCUGCAGACCCGAGGGCCAUCUUUAUUUUACCCCCACCCCCUGGGCCAGUGCUUCUCUAAGUGUUGGUCCGAACUAGAGCCCCUUGCAGCGCCACCUCGGGGAAACUUGAGGGCUGCUUUUAGUUGUACAGAUUGCUCAUUUGGUGUUGCCCUGAGAACGAGAUAUGUGCAGCUCCUAUCGGGAUUGUCGGCACAUUGGGCGACUUUGCUGGUCUUGUUUUACCAUUGUCAAAAUGUUUUGUAACCGAGAUUCCGAGAUUGAUCGGGUCUUCUCGGGAGAAGGAAUAUCCUUCGUUGACCGUGAGAGCUUGUGAUGGGCUAAGUUGGGACACCCCUGCAGGGUAUAAACUUUUGAGAGCCGUGCCCGCGGUUAUGGGCAGAUGGGAAUUUGUUAAUAUCCCGUUGUAGAGAACUUGACACUUAACUUAAUUAAAAUGAAUCAACCGCGUGUGUAGCCGUGAUGGUCUCUUUUCGGCGGAGUCCGGGAAGAGAACACGGUCUCGUGUUAUGCUUGAACGUAAGUAGUUUCAGAAUCACUUCUUGAUCACUUCUAGCUUCUCGACUGUGUGUUGCUUCUCUUCUCGCUCUUAUUUGCGUAUGUUAGCCACCAUAUAUGGUAGUGCUUGCUGCAGCUCCACCUCACUACCCUUUCCUACCCAUAAGCUUAAAUAGUCUUGAUCACGCGGGUGUGAGAUUGCUGAGUCCUCGUGACUCACAGAUACUUCCGAACAGUUCCAGGUGCCGAUGAUACCAUUGCAGAUGACACAACUGAGCUCAAGUGGGAGCUUGAUGAAGAUCUUGGUCGUUGUUUCGUUUCAAUUUCGGAUGUUCAGUAGUGGAGCCGAGUUGGGACGAUCGGGGAUCUAGCAUUUGGGGUUGUCUUCUUUUAUUUUGGUUCCGUAGUCGGACCUUGAUUGUAUUCUGGAUGAUGUAUGUAGAACUUGUAUUUGUGUGAAGUGGCGAUUGUAAGCCAACUCUUUAUCCCAUUCUUAUUUAGUACAUGGGAUUGUGUGAAGAUUACCCCUCUUGCGACAAACCUACCAUGCGGCUAUGCCUCUAAGUCAUGCCCCAACACGUGGGAGAUAUAGCCGCAUUGUGGGUGUUACAAGUUGGUAAUCAGAGCCAUCCCCGACUUAGGAGCCCCCUGCUUGAUCGAAUCGCUGAUGUUGUUGAGUCUAGAACAAAAUGUUUUGAGUCUUAGGAUUAUAUAUAUCGGAGAGUAGGAUUCUUUUGACAACUCAGUCCCUUCGUCGCUCUGUUGAGGCCUCCUAACAUAGAGUUUUGACUCUUCUCUCCUCAAAUUUCAUGAUUUUUUAGGAUCACGCGGGUAUCUUGGAAUCGUUCUAAUAGUCUUGUGAUAAUAACAUUGUUCUUGGUGCCUCCUGACAUUUAUGGGUUGUGGCAGUGUCCCGGGGAGUUGAGCUUCGAGGUGUUGUCGUCACAAUUUUAUCGUUGCAGUUCUAGAAUACCUGAGUUCGCCGACAUCAGAAAUCUCUUUUAUGAAGUUGUUGGUGAGAUAACCUCGACGCCACCCAGUACUGGGGCGGGAGUUCAAGAGUAUUACCAUAACUCGUAUAACGGAUGCUUUUCGAAGGUUGAGGUAAAUGAUUUCCGAAGGUUUCUUGGUUAUGUGUUGAAGGAUGGAUACAGCUAGAUGUAGGAUUUGUUACUUUUGGGUGAGAUAUUAUGCUUCUGUCACAUCCCUAGUCUGGUAUGACUUAGACUAGCUAGCCAUUUGUGCAUCAUAUUUAAAUUUCAUUUAAAUUUGAAAUGAGGAUUGGUGGAACCCUCAGAAUCAUUUUUGAAAAUGACCCAAAUAAAAAUUUCUCCAAAAAGGGUCCAAGAAAAUGCUCAUGAUGCCCUCUGAAAAUAUUGGACAGAGAUAAAAAUCAAAACAAUAUUUUUAGGAGCUCAUGGAUAUUUAUUUUGGCCAUUUGGAUUAAUUCGAUAAAUAUUUGCAUUGGAAAUAUAUUUCUAUAUAUAUGAAAUAUGGUCCAAAAAUUAUGCCAUUUAUAAAGGAGCUCUGGAAUAAUAUAUCUAGCUCCUGCAAAAAUUGGCAUAAGGUAAUAAAUUGAUUUAGUAUUUUAUUAAAUCAAACAAUGUCAGAAAAAUUAGAAAACAAAAAUAAAAAGAAGGAGGGGCUUACCUGGGGCUCCCCCCUGUGCAGCCCAGCCGCAGCAGGCCGGCCCAGCCAGCAGGCGGCCCAGCCCACCUGNNNNNNNNNNNNNNNNNNNNNNNNNNNNNNNNNNNNNNNNNNNNNNNNNCCCCGAUUCUUCCUCUCCUCUCCCUCGCUCUCUCUCUCCCGUGUCCGAACGCGUCGGUCGCCGCCGUUCGCCAUAGCCAUCGCCACCGGCCUCCCCUCGCCUCCCCGACACGCUUCCGAGCUCCGCCACAACCCCCUCCACCUCCUCGUCGAGCCACGAACCUCCGGACGCCCUGUGUAGCCGCCGUCGCCAUCGUCUUCCUCCUCGGACGCCGUCGACCGCCGACUCCGAUUCGCCGUCUCCAACGCGUCCCCGGCCACAACGAGCAGCCCUGGAGGUCCGCGGUGAGCUCCGCCGCUGUUCCCCUCUCUUCUCCCCCUCAUUUCCGCGCCGUAGCGCCGUUCCCCACCACGGCCGAAGCCUCUCGCCGCCGUCCAUGUCGCCGUCGCCGUCUCGGCCCGCCUCCGCCCAAACAAAGCCUUCCAUCGCGCUCCCAGUGCCACGAGGGUGCCGCCGAGCCCCUCAGGUGGCCUCCCCGUGCCCCGCAGCCCGUUCCCGCUCGAAGCCGAGCUCCGGCCGCCGCCGCGAGCUUUGCUCCGGCGAGCUCCGGCCUUCCCCGCUCCUCCCACCUGCCCUACCAGAUGCGCGAGAGCCCGGGCUACGCCCCGGUGCUCUCAGACGCCGUCCCCGUGGCCUGUGGUGCGGACUCCGCCGCGUCCAGAGGUCGCUGGCGGCGAGCCCCGUUGCCUGAGCCCUGCCAUGUGGGCCCGGCCCGUCAGGUGAUUAGCUUAGUGCUAAUCACCGCUUAAUUAACCCCCCUGACACUGACAGUGGGCCCCAGCGCCACUAACUUCUAAUUAGGAUUAAAUUAACCCCUGUUUAACCCCCCUGUCACUGACGUGUGGGCCCCACAUGUCAGGUUUGACCCGGACCAGCCCAGUUGACUGCUGACGUCAUGCUUACUCAAUGCUGACGUAAUAUAUGAAUUCUGGAUUUAAAUUUAAUCAGAAAAUUCCAGAAAUUGUUUUAAACUUCAAAAAUUCAUAUCAAUUCAACCGUAGCUCAGAUUAAAAUAAUUUAUAUAUGAAAAAUUAUCAGAAAAAUGCAAUCUUUCCAUCUGUACUAGUUUCAUGCAUGACAAACCAACUUAUACAUGCUGAAUAUGAGAAACACAUUAUGGCAUAUAUAAGAGACUUAAUUUAGUAAUGCAUUUGAACCUUUGGUUCAAAUGGACUUCAAACCAAAUGUUUACUAGUUGCAUUAGCUCAAACAGCAUCACAUCUACAUGCCAUGUUCAUGCAUCAUAUUGUUGCAUAUGAUUGUGUAUUGAUUGCCGGCACCGUUCCUUCUCGAUAGGUCCUGCUCCGGAGACGUUCUAGAGUACCUGUCUGUGAAGCAGUGCCUCCCUUGUUGAUUUACCAGGCAAGCAAACCCCCUUGUUCAUUUCGAUAAAACCCUACUCUCCCGCUCCUGCUCUUAGUUAUUGCAUUAGGACAACAACGGUUCAUCUGCUACUUUGUGCUGCGGUAGUUGAACCCAUUCCUCUGCAUGACCUGUCAUUGCCACAGUAAAUAGUUGAAACCCACUAGCAUGUGUAGGAGUUGAUUGAAGCCAUUGUUGUGUUCCUACCAUGCUAUGCCUGCUAUUGCUUAGAGUUGUGUCAGGUCUGGUUCAUUGGGAAUGAAUUGGAGUGUUACGAUAUGUUCUGAUACUGAGAGUGAAGUGUGUGAACACGAUUUGGUAAAGGUAGCGGUGAGAGGCCAUGUAGGAGUACAUGGUGGGUUGUCUCACUGGAACCAUCCUUAAGCACUGAGUUCUAUGUAUGUUGUCCAAUGACUCGAUACUACCACACAUUGGGUUCCGGUAACUCGACCCCUCUCGACUUAUUAACCAACUUGGUCUCUGUCCAGGAGUCGCAACUAGUUUCUGGUGUUUGUAGGUAGUGCUAUUUUUCUACCAAGUGGCACCCGGCAGGGUGGGCUUGGGACAGACUAGGCACACGUGGCCUGGUGUACCGAGUGGCACCCGGAUGGUGGGCUCGGGAACCCUGUACACAUCGUUUGGGGCCGUAAGCGACACCCCGGCCGGAUCUCCUUGCGGAUGGAACCCGAAUAGGCGAUAAACCUGGACUAGAGUCUUGUGUGGUUAGUCAGGUCGUGGCCGACACCCUCGCCAGGCUUCCGCUUGAAGGUUGCCGAGAUACAUGACGUGUACAUGGCAGUAAGUGGCGAGAGCGUGUGUGAAGAAGUACACCCCUGCAGGGUUAACAUGAUCUAUUCGAAUAGCCGGGUCCGCGGUUAUGGACUUCUUGGAUGCUUACAUGGUACAUAGACAACUUGAAGUGGAUACUCUAAAAUGCUCAAGACAUGUGUGAGUGCUAUGGAUGGCCUUCUCGUAGGGAGACGGGGAUGAAUCCAUAGUAGUGUAUUGUGUGGUGCUUAGUGGACUCGUGUACGUUGUUUCACCUCCAGAGUUUCUGGUAGUCGUAGAACAGGAUAGCCACAGAGUCAAAGCUGGCUUGCUGCAACUAAACCCCACAUUACCCUCUUGAUACAAAUGCAUGUAUGAUAGGAUCUGAUGUAAGUCUUGCUGAGUACCUUUGUACUCAUGUUGCUUUAAUUAUGUUUUUGCAGCGGAGACUUCGGUCUUACUAGUGUUCUCGUGGACUUCGACUAGUAGCUAGUACCUCAGCUACGAUCUUGAUCGGAUGUUGUAGAUAGUCAGGCUCUUCGGCCUUUUUCAUUUGUAGAUGUCUGUACCCAGACAUGUAAUGCUUCCGCUUGUUACCUGUAUGCUCUGUAUGAUGGGUUUUGUGACCCCUGUUUGCAAUAAAUGCUAUGAUGGCUCUUCUGAGCCUUUAUCUAUAUGAUUGUUGAGUUAUGCUGUGAUGCCAUGUUGUACAGCACAUACUUGCAUGUUAUGCGUACGUGUAAUGUGUAUUGCUAUGUGUGGGAUCUGACUAUCUAGUUGUUUAUUCUUAGUAGCCUCUCUUACCGGGAAAUGUCUCCUAGUGCUUCCACUGAGCCCUGGUAGCUUGCUACUGCUCUGGAACACUUAGGCAGGCCGGCAUGUGUCCUUCUUCAAUCCUGUGUCUGUCCCUUCGGGGAAAUGUCACGCGAUGAAUACUGGAGUCCUGCUAGCCCGCUACAGCCCGGUUCGCCGGAGUCCUGUUAGCCCAGUGCUACAGCCUGGAUUCACUCGCUGAUGACCGACACGUUCGAUGCUGGGUCAUGGAUGCCUGUCCCUGUAAGUUAGUGCCACUUUGGGUUUACGACUAGCCAUGUCAGCCCGGGCUCUUUAUCAUAUGGAUGCUAGCGACACCAUCAUAUACGUGUGCCAAAAGGCGCAAACGGUCCCGGGCAAAGGUAAGGCGACACCCGUGGGGAUACCGUGCGUGAGGCCGCAAAGUGAUAUGAGGUGUUACAUGCUAGAUCGAUGUGGCAUUGAGUCGGGGUCCUGACAGCGCUGGUAUCAGAGCCUGACUGCCUGUAGGUUUACCAAGCCAUACUGGUCGAAGUUGAGUCUAGAAAUUCUUUAGUUAUGUAAGGGAAUUGAUUGUGGGAAGGAACGUAAGGCUCUUUUUACUCCUUUACCUCAUGGACUUCUGAUCUGAGUCAUCCUAUCUUUCCGACGGGAUUAAGGAACUAGGCUUUCUCUUCCGUCUAUUAGGAUCACGUGUUACUACUCCGUAGUCCCAUAGGAUUGGUUGAUCAGAGUCAUAUCCCAGUUUUGAGUAUUUCCGGUGUAGUCUGCUUAGUAUGAUCUCAGAACCUUGAGUAAUGCUGAUGAGUAUGUUACCACCCCAUUUUUAGUAGGAUGUCUCAUUCUGAGCAUUUUACUGCCGUUAUGCUGCCGGAAUUUUUCCUAGGAGUUCGAGAGAUACUAAUUCCUUGUCCUACAUUCUAUAGCCUAUAGUUAAUGUUGACUCCGUCCCUGGUUUCGUUUCUCAGGAUGUCAUCAAGUUCUGUUGCUCGUAGCCAGAACCAUGGAUAUGGUAGGGAUGAGGAUCCUCCCGAACCACCUUCGUUGACAGAGUUCAUGUUAGAAAUGGAGAGGAACAAGCGUGAGUCUAACCGUUUGUUGGCACGCAUCGAGGAGAACACCGCACAUCAGUUCAAAGGGUCUGCUACCAUUCAUGAUUUCAUUCGCUUGCACCCACCUACCUUUCAUCAUUCCAUCGAGCCACUCGAUGCAGAUGACUGGCUCCGUAGCAUCACUCAUAAGCUGCGUUCCGCGAGCGUAGCUGAAGAUGACAAGGUCACUUAUGCUGCAUACCACCUGGAAGGUCCUGCUAGUCUUUGGUGGCAGAACUAUGAGGCUAUGCUUCCAGCUAGCCAGAUUCCUACUUGGAUGGAUUUCACUGAGGCUUUUCGUGAGCAUCACAUUCCCCAGGCACUCAUUGAUCGCAAGAGAGAAGAGUUCUGCAGUUUCACCCAGAGUAAGAUGGCUGUUGAUGCUUAUAGCAGAGAGUUCGAGAACCUUGCCCGCUAUGCCACCGAAGAAGUGUCCACGGACGCCAAGAAGCAAGCUAGGUUCCGGAAGGGUCUCAACCCCAAAUUGCGUCGUGAUCUCCACCUGCAUCAUUGUGAUACAUUCCAAGCCCUUGUGAACAAGGCCAUCAAUGCAGAGACAGCUCAACUCACUUACGAGGAGUCUCGUAAGCACACCCGUGAUUUGGGAUCUCCCUCUGGCUCUAGUUCCCAGAAACGCCGGAUCUGGGUUCCAAACUCCGCUCUUCCUUCCGGAUAUGCACCGAGGCCAUCCUAUGUGGUGCCUUCCCCAGCUCAGUCGUGUGUUCCACCCUUGCCUACUGGUAGACCGCUUGUCCGUGCGGGUCCCCGUCCAACCUCAGGGACUUGCUUCACAUGCGGGAAGCCAGGACACUAUGCACGUGAUUGCUCUCAAACUAGUUAUGCUCCACCCCAGCCCGAGAAGACUGUUGGCUGUAUUAAGCCAUCACACAAGAUGAUCAGUGUCAAGUCAGCCCCCACUGAACGUGGACGUGUGCAUCACGUCUCAGCUAAAGACGCUCAUGAUGAUCCAGAUGUCGUUCUUGGUACACUCCUUGUCAAUUGUCACCCAGCAUCAGUUCUAUUCGAUACUGGGGCAUCUCACUCCUUCAUUUCUGAAGGCUAUGCUCGUUUGCACGACAUGUCAUUUUGCGAUAUGCCAACUCCCCUUGAAAUCCAAACUCCAGGGUCUAGAUGGCAGACCACCAGAAUCAGCCAUGGUAACGAAAUCCUUGUUGAUAGACUUGUAUUCCUUGCAUCACUUGUAGCCCUCAAGUCCUCAGAUAUUAACAUCAUCUUGGGAAUGGAUUGGAUGACAGCUCAUCAUGCCAAGAUUGAUUGUUACACAAGAUCUGUUCAGCUUACACACCCAUCUGGCAAGAUAGUCACUGUCCCCACUAGAGUUGCAAAGCGUCAGCUCUAUUCUCUUAAUGCCAGCCCUCUUCCAGACCUUGAAGAUAUACCGGUAGUCCGUGACUUUCCGGAUGUCUUUCCAGAGGAACUGCCAGGUGUUCCACCUGACACAGAUGUAGAGUUUGUCAUAGAUCUUAUCCCCGGAACAGCUCCAAUCUCCCGGAGACCUUACAAGAUGGCACCCUUAGAACUAGCCGAGCUUAAGAAACAACUUGAUGAGUCCUUGCAAAAGGGUUUCAUCCGUCCUAGUUCUUCUCCUUGGGCUUGUCCCGUCCUCUUCGUCAAAAAGAAGGAUGGUACGGACCGGAUGGUUGUAGAUUAUCGUCCCGUUAAUUUGGUCACGAUAAAGAACAAGUAUCCGCUCCCCAGGAUCAACGACCUGUAUGAUCAGCUCGCUGGAUCCUCAGCCUUCUCCAAGAUGGAUUUAAGGUUAGGAUACCACCAAAUUAAGAUCAGAAAUGGGGACAUUCCUAAGACAGCUUUUGUCACUCGUUAUGGUCAGUAUGAGUACACCGUCAUGUCCUUUGGCCUAACCAACGCCCCAGCCACAUUCUCCCGCUUGAUGAACUCGAUCUUCAUGGAGUACUUGGAUAAGUUCGUCGUGGUUUACCUCGAUGAUAUUCUUAUUUACUCGAAGAACGAGGAAGAGCAUGCCGAACAUCUUAGACUUGUUUUAGAAAAACUCAGAGAGCACCGCCUUUAUGCCAAGUUCUCCAAGUGUGAAUUUUGGUUGCCAGAAGUGACCUACUUAGGCCACGUAAUCUCUGGUAAGGGCAUUGCUGUCAAUCCCGAGAGAGUUCAAGCCGUUCUCGAUUGGACCCCACCUGAGACCGUUAAACAAGUUAGGAGUUUCCUUGGUCUAGCCAGCUAUUGUCGCCGCUUUGUUGAAAACUUCUCCAAAGUAGCCAAACCCCUCACGGAACUUCUCAAGAAAGAUAAAAAGUUCGAGUGGUCCCCACAGUGUGAGUACAGUUUUCAGGAACUGAAAAGACGCCUGACUUCUGCUCCCAUACUUGUGCCACCGGAUUUCACUAAAGACUUUAUUAUCUACUGCGACGCCUCACGACAGGGACUAGGUUGCAUUCUUAUGCAGGAUCGUCAUGUGAUUGCCUAUGCAUCCCGACAGUUGCAUCCACAUGAGGAGAAUUAUCCUACACAUGAUCUAGAGCUUGCAGCCGUAGUCUAUGCACUCAAGACCUGGCGACAUUACCUCCUUGGUAAACGUUGCGAGAUUUACACCGACCACCAGAGUCUCAAGUAUAUCUUCACCCAACCAGAUUUGAACCUUAGGCAAAGACGUUGGUUGGAGUUGAUUACAGAUUAUGAUCUAGGAAUUACCUACACCCCAGGCAAAGCCAAUGUCAUGGCUGAUGCUCUAAGCCGUAAAUCCUAUUGCAACAAUCUCAUGUUGCAGCAAGGCCAACCACUUCUCCAUGAGGAAUUCUGUAAGCUUAAUAUUCACAUAGCUCCUCGCGGAUUUCUUUCUACCUUGGUGGCGAAACCUACCCUUGUGGAUCUUAUCAUAGAAGCCCAGAAGCAUGAUACGGGGAUUACCCGGAUCAAGAGAAACAUUAAGAAGGGAGUUGGUGGAUGUUUAUCUAUGGAUGAUCGUGGUGUUGUUUUCUUUGAGAAUCGCUUGGUGGUUCCCAAGAAGCAACAUCUUCGUCAGUUGAUUCUUAAGGAGGCACAUGAAUCUCCUCUCACGAUUCAUCCCGGUAGCACUAAGAUGUAUCAGGACCUACGCCAGAGGUUCUGGUGGACUAGGAUGAAGAGAGAAAUCGCAGAGUUCAUUGCUAAAUGUGACGUUUGUCGUCGCGUUAAGGCAGAGCAUCAGAGACCUGCUGGCACCCUUCAGCCUUUAGCUAUUCCUGAAUGGAAAUGGGAUAAAGUUGGUAUGGACUUCAUCACCGGCUUUCCCAGGACCAAGAGAGGGAAUAACGCUAUCUUCGUAGUCGUUGAUCGUCUUUCCAAAGUGGCUCACUUCCUUCCUGUUCGAGAAAAUAUCACUGCUAGUCAGCUCGCUGACUUAUAUAUUUCUCGAAUAGUAUCACUCCAUGGUGUUCCACUAGAGAUCAAUUCAGACCGUGGCAGUCUUUUCACUUCUCAUUUCUGGGAGAGUUUCCAAACUGCCAUGGGAACCCAUCUUUCCUUCAGUACCGCUUUCCACCCUCAGUCGAGUGGUCAGGUGGAACGGGUCAAUCAAAUUCUCGAAGACAUGCUCAGAGCUUGCGUUAUCUCAUUCGGUAUGGAUUGGGAAAAUGUCUUCCUUUCGCCGAGUUUGCUUAUAACAAUAGCUACCAAUCCAGCCUCAAGAAAGCUCCUUUUGAGGUUCUCUAUGGACGAAGAUGUCGAACACCUUUGAACUGGUCAGAAACCGGUGAAAGACAAUUCUUUGGACCGGACAUGAUCCAGGAGGCAGAAGAGCAAGUUCGCAUCAUUCGUGAGAAUUUGAAAACAGCCCAGUCUCGUCAAAAGAGCCAGUAUGAUCUUCAUCAUAAGGAUAUGACUUAUGAAAUUGGCGACCAAGCUUACCUUCGGGUUACUCCUCUGAAGGGUACCCAUCGUUUCGGUAUCAAGGGCAAGUUGGCUCCUCGUUACAUUGGUCCCUUUCGCAUUCUCGCUAAACGAGGAGAGGUUGCCUACCAGUUGGAACUACCCCCACAUCUUUCUCGAGUUCAUGAUGUCUUCCACGUCUCUCAACUCAGGCGUUGCUUCUCGGAUCCCAUCCGCGGAGUGGACCACGAAACGCUUGAUCUCCAAGAUAACCUCACAUACCGAGAGUACCCGGUUCGCAUUCUUGAUCAAGCAGAGCGUGUCACUCGACGUCAGAACAUCAAGUUUCUCAAAGUUCAGUGGUCUCAUCAUUCCGAGAGAGAAGCUACUUGGGAGCGAGAAGAUCGUCUUCGACUGGAGUACCCCGCUUUCUUUCCGUCAACCCUUGAAUCUCGGGACGAGAUNNNNNNNNNNNNNNNNNNNNNNNNNNNNNNNNNNNNNNNNNNNNNNNNNNNNNNNNNNNNNNNNNNNNNNNNNNNNNNNNNNNNNNNNNNNNNNNNNNNNNNNNNNNNNNNNNNNNNNNNNNNNNNNNNNNNNNNNNNNNNNNNNNNNNNNNNNNNNNNNNNNNNNNNNNNNNNNNNNNNNNNNNNNNNNNNNNNNNNNNNNNNNNNNNNNNNNNNNNNNNNNNNNNNNNNNNNNNNNNNNNNNNNNNNNNNNNNNNNNNNNNNNNNNNNNNNNNNNNNNNNNNNNNNNNNNNNNNNNNNNNNNNNNNNNNNNNNNNNNNNNNNNNNNNNNNNNNNNNNNNNNNNNNNNNNNNNNNNNNNNNNNNNNNNNNNNNNNNNNNNNNNNNNNNNNNNNNNNNNNNNNNNNNNNNNNNNNNNNNNNNNNNNNNNNNNNNNNNNNNNNNNNNNNNNNNNNNNNNNNNNNNNNNNNNNNNNNNNNNNNNNNNNNNNNNNNNNNNNNNNNNNNNNNNNNNNNNNNNNNNNNNNNNNNNNNNNNNNNNNNNNNNNNNNNNNNNNNNNNNNNNNNNNNNNNNNNNNNNNNNNNNNNNNNNNNNNNNNNNNNNNNNNNNNNNNNNNNNNNNNNNNNNNNNNNNNNNNNNNNNNNNNNNNNNNNNNNNNNNNNNNNNNNNNNNNNNNNNNNNNNNNNNNNNNNNNNNNNNNNNNNNNNNNNNNNNNNNNNNNNNNNNNNNNNNNNNNNNNNNNNNNNNNNNNNNNNNNNNNNNNNNNNNNNNNNNNNNNNNNNNNNNNNNNNNNNNNNNNNNNNNNNNNNNNNNNNNNNNNNNNNNNNNNNNNNNNNNNNNNNNNNNNNNNNNNNNNNNNNNNNNNNNNNNNNNNNNNNNNNNNNNNNNNNNNNNNNNNNNNNNNNNNNNNNNNNNNNNNNNNNNNNNNNNNNNNNNNNNNNNNNNNNNNNNNNNNNNNNNNNNNNNNNNNNNNNNNNNNNNNNNNNNNNNNNNNNNNNNNNNNNNNNNNNNNNNNNNNNNNNNNNNNNNNNNNNNNNNNNNNNNNNNNNNNNNNNNNNNNNNNNNNNNNNNNNNNNNNNNNNNNNNNNNNNNNNNNNNNNNNNNNNNNNNNNNNNNNNNNNNNNNNNNNNNNNNNNNNNNNNNNNNNNNNNNNNNNNNNNNNNNNNNNNNNNNNNNNNNNNNNNNNNNNNNNNNNNNNNNNNNNNNNNNNNNNNNNNNNNNNNNNNNNNNNNNNNNNNNNNNNNNNNNNNNNNNNNNNNNNNNNNNNNNNNNNNNNNNNNNNNNNNNNNNNNNNNNNNNNNNNNNNNNNNNNNNNNNNNNNNNNNNNNNNNNNNNNNNNNNNNNNNNNNNNNNNNNNNNNNNNNNNNNNNNNNNNNNNNNNNNNNNNNNNNNNNNNNNNNNNNNNNNNNNNNNNNNNNNNNNNNNNNNNNNNNNNNNNNNNNNNNNNNNNNNNNNNNNNNNNNNNNNNNNNNNNNNNNNNNNNNNNNNNNNNNNNNNNNNNNNNNNNNNNNNNNNNNNNNNNNNNNNNNNNNNNNNNNNNNNNNNNNNNNNNNNNNNNNNNNNNNNNNNNNNNNNNNNNNNNNNNNNNNNNNNNNNNNNNNNNNNNNNNNNNNNNNNNNNNNUACCCUCUCACUCUCCCCCGAUUCUUCCUCUCCUCUCCCUCGCUCUCUCUCUCCCGUGUCCGAACGCGUCGGUCGCCGCCGUUCGCCAUAGCCAUCGCCACCGGCCUCCCCUCGCCUCCCCGACACGCUUCCGAGCUCCGCCACAACCCCCUCCACCUCCUCGUCGAGCCACGAACCUCCGGAUGCCCUGUGUAGCCGCCGUCGCCAUCGUCUUCCUCCUCGGACGCCGUCGACCGCCGACUCUGAUACGCCGUCUCCAACGCGUCCCCGGCCACAACGAGCAGCCGUCCGCGGUGAGCUCCGCCGCCGUUCCCCUCUCUUCUCCCCCUCGUUUCCGCGCCGUAGCGCCGUUCCCCACCACGGCCGAAGCCUCUCACCGCCGUCCAUGUCGCCGUCGCCGUCUCGGCCCGCCUCCGCCCAAACAAAGCCUUCCAUCGCGCUCCCAGUGCCACGAGGGUGCCGCCGAGCCCCUCAGGUGGCCUCCCCGUGCCCCGCAGCCCAUUCCCGCUCGAAGCCGAGCUCCGGCCUUCCCCGCUCCUCCCACCUGCCCUACCAGAUGCGCGAGAGCCCGGGCUACGCCCCGGUGCUCUCAGACGCCGUCCCCGUGGCCUGUGGCGCGGACUCCGCCGCGUCCAGAGGUCGCCGGCGGCGAGCCCCGUCGCCUGAGCCCUGCCAUGUGGGCCCGGCCCGUCAGGUGAUUAGCUUAGUGCUAAUCACCGCUUAAUUAACCCCCCCCUGACACUGACAGUGGGCCCCAGCGCCACUAACUUCUAAUUAGGAUUAAAUUAACCCCUGUUUAACCCCCCCUGUCACUGACGUGUGGGCCCCACACGUCAGGUUUGACCCGGACCAGCCCAGUUGACUGCUGACGUCAUGCUUACUCAAUGCUGACGUAAUAUAUGAAUUCUGGAUUUAAAUUUAAUCAGAAAAUUCCAGAAAUUGUUUUAAACUUCAAAAAUUCAUAUCAAUUCAACCGUAGCUCAGAUUAAAAUAAUUUAUAUAUGAAAAAUUAUCAGAAAAAUGCAAUCUUUCCAUCUGUACUAGUUUCAUGCAUGACAAACCAACUUAUACAUGCUGAAUAUGAGAAACACAUUAUGGCAUAUAUAAGAGACUUAAUUUAGUAAUGCAUUUGAACCUUUGGUUCAAAUGGACUUCAAACCAAAUGUUUACUAGUUGCAUUAGCUCAAACAGCAUCACAUCUACAUGCCAUGUUCAUGCAUCAUAUUGUUGCAUAUGAUUGUGUAUUGAUUGCCGGCACCGUUCCUUCUCGAUAGGUCCUGCUCCGGAGACGUUCCAGAGUACCUGUCUGUGAAGCAGUGCCUCCCUUGUUGAUUUACCAGGCAAGCAAACCCCCUUGUUCAUUUCGAUAAAACCCUACUCUCUUGCUCCUGCUCUCAGUUAUUGCAUUAGGACAACAACGAUUCAUCUGCUACUUUGUGCUGCGGUAGUUGAACCCAUUCCUCUGCAUGACCUGUCAUUGCCACAGUAAAUAGUUGAAACCCACUAGCAUGUGUAGGAGUUGAUUGAAGCCAUUGUUGUGUUCCUACCAUGCUAUGCCUGCUAUUGCUUAGAGUUGUGUCAGGUCUGAUUCAUUGGGAAUGAAUUGGAGUGUCACGAUAUGUUCUGAUGCUGAGAGUGAAGUGUGUGAACACGAUUUGGUAAAGGUAGCGGUGAGAGGCCAUGUAGGAGUACAUGGUGGGUUGUCUCAUUGGAACCGUCCUUAAGCACUGAGUUCUAUGUAUGUUGUCCAAUGACUCGAUACUACCACACAUUGGGUUUCGGUAACUCGACCCCUCUCGACUUAUUAACCAACUUGGUCUCUGUCCAGGAGUCGCAACUAGUUUCUGGUGUUUGUAGGUAGUGCUAUUUUUCUACCAAGUGACACCCGGCAGGGUGGGCUUGGGACAGACUAGGCACACGUGGCACGGUGUACCGAGUGGCACCCGGUUGGUGGGCUCGGGAACCCUGCUCACAUCGUUUGGGGCCGUGAGCGACACCCCGGCCGGAUCUCCUUGCGGAUGGAACCCGAAUAGGCGAUAAACCUGGACUAGAGUCUUGUGUGGUUAGUCAGGUCGUGGCCGACACCCUCGCCAGGCUUCCGCUUGAAGGUUGCCGAGAUACAUGACGUGUACAUGGCGGUAAGUGGCGAGAGCGUGUGUGAAGAAGUACACCCCUGCAGGGUUAACAUGAUCUAUUCGAAUAGCCGGGUCCGCGGUUAUGGACUUCUUGGAUGCUUACAUGGUACAUAGACAACUUGAAGUGGAUACUCUAAAAUGCUCAAGACAUGUGUGAGUGCUAUGGAUGGCCUUCUCAUAGGGAGACGGGGAUGAAUCCAUAGUAGUGUAUUGUGUGGUGCUUAGUGGACUCGUGUACGUUGUUUCACCUCCAGAGUUUCUGGUAGUCGUAGAACAGGAUAGCCACAGAGUCAAAGCUGGCUUGCUGCAACUAAACCCCACAUUACCCUCUUGAUACAAAUGCAUGUAUGAUAGGAUCUGAUGUAAGUCUUGCUGAGUACCUUUGUACUCAUGUUGCUUUAAUUAUGUUUUUGCAGCGGAGACUUCGGUCUUACUAGUGUUCUCGUGGACUUCGACUAGUAGCUAGUACCUCAGCUACGAUCUUGAUCGGAUGUUGUAGAUAGUCAGGCUCUUCGGCCUUUUUCAUUUGUAGAUGUCUGUACCCAGACAUGUAAUGCUUCCGCUUGUUGCCUGUAUGCUCUGUAUGAUGGGUUUUGUGACCCCUGUUUGCAAUAAAUGCUAUGAUGGCUCUUCUGAGCCUUUAUCUAUAUGAUUGUUGAGUUAUGCUGUGAUGCCAUGUUGUACAGCACAUACUUGCAUGUUAUGCGUACGUGUAAUGUGUAUUGCUAUGUGUGGGAUCUGACUAUCUAGUUGUUUAUUCUUAGUAGCCUCUCUUACCGGGAAAUGUCUCCUAGUGCUUCCACUGAGCCCUGGUAGCUUGCUACUGCUCCGGAACACUUAGGCAGGCCGGCAUGUGUCCUUCUUCAAUCCUGUGUCUGUCCCUUCGGGGAAAUGUCACGCGAUGAAUACCGGAGUCCUGCUAGCCCGCUACAGCCCGGUUCGCCGGAGUCCUGUUAGCCCAGUGCUACAGCCUGGAUUCACUCGCUGAUGACCGACACGUUCGAUGCUGGGUCAUGGAUGCCUGUCCCUGUAAGUUAGUGCCACUUUGGGUUUACGACUAGCCAUGUCAGCCCGGGCUCUUUAUCAUAUGGAUGCUAGCGACACCAUCAUAUACAUGUGCCAAAAGGCGCAAACGGUCCCGGGCAAAGGUAAGGCGACACCCGUGGGGAUACCGUGCGUGAGGCCGCAAAGUGAUAUGAGGUGUUACAUGCUAGAUCGAUGUGGCAUUGAGUCGGGGUCCUGACAGCUUCCCCUGUAUCCCCAACACCUGAUUGCAUAACCAGAAAGUUUUGGGAGUUUAUAAGUGGGAAUUCAAGUAGCUCCUAGAAUAAUCUUUCCAACAGACACAUGAUAAGAUAUGGGAUCUAUCAUAUGUUUGUUUCCGGCUUAUUUUGCAAGCCAAUCCUUGCUUUGUUUUUGUUGUGAUAUUCAAUAUGCUUCAAUGUCAAGUGUUGAUUCCAUACCUUUCCUAAGCGAUGUUCUCACAUUUCUAUGUGAAUAUUAAUUCUUCAUGAUAAUCGAGAUUGUCAUGUCAAUACUUUUCAACCGGUGUGUUUCUCUUCAAGUGGAUCCGAUCAUUUUCAACAUUUGCAAGAUCAAUGCUCAGUUAUUCACAACGGUGUUUGUUUCAUCCGUCCUAAGUUGUCUUUGUUUUCCCGCCCUCCCACCCUUUUUCUUCAAGGACUCGGAUUUCUUAUUAAAGUAUCCUUUUAUUGUUGUGAAGCCUCUCCAUUCUUUUAAGUCAAUGUUGAAAGGAUCGAUAUGGUUGACUAGAGGGGGGGGGGGUGAAUAGGCAACUAGCAAUUUUUAGCUUUGCUUUAACAAUUUAAACUUUGCAUUAAAGUAGGUUUUCUAGAUAUGCAACUAAGUGAGCAACCUAUAUGAUGCAACAAAGAUAGGAACACAAGCAAGCAAGAGAUAUAUCACAGAUAAGCUUGCACAAGUAAAGGCACGAGAUAACCAAGAGUGGAGCCGGUGGAGACGAGGAUGUGUUACCGAAGUUCCUUCCCUUUGAGGGGAAGUACGUCUCCGUUGGAGCGGUGUGGAGGCACAAUGCUCCCCAAGAAGCCACUAGGGCCACCGUAUUCUCCUCACGCCCUCACACAAUGCGAGAUGCCGUGAUAACACUAUUGGUGCCCUUGGAGGCAGCGACCGAACCUUUACAAACAAGGUUGGGGCAAUCUCCACAACUCAAUUGGAGGCUCCCAACGACACCAUGAAGCUUCACCACAAUGGACUAUGGCUCCGCGGUGACCUAAACCGUCUAGGGUGCUCAAACACCCAAGAGUAACAAGAUCCGUAAGGGAUUAGUGAGGGAAUCAAAUUUCUCUUGGUGGAAGUGUAGAUGGGGGCCUUCUCAACCACACCCGAGCAAAUCAACAAGUUUGAUUGGCUAGGGAGUGAAAUCGGGCGAAAAUGGAGCUUGGAGCAACAAUGGAGAUUAGGGUUGGAAGAGGUGGUCAACUAGAGGAAGAAGACACCCCUUUUAUAGCUUAGGACAAAAAUCCAACCGUUAUCCACCUACCAGCCCGCGACCAGCGGUACUACCGCGCCAGACCAGCAGUACUACCGUAGGGCCACGCGGUACUUCCGCUUGCUGACAAGCGGUACUACCGCAAGGCCACGCGGUACUACUGUGCGGACCCGCGGUACUACCGCAGCAGCAGCUAGGGAAGACCUGUAGCACAAGAGCUGAGGGCGGUACUGCCGCGGGCGCGGUACUACCGCUCCCCCUUGCGGUACUACCGCAAGGCAGGAAACCCCUAGCUUGGGAAGAGCGCGGAUAAAGAAACAUCCAUUCCUACUUCUGGUGGUAAACGGAAGAAGCAAAAAUCCGACACAGUACUAGCGCAGAGGAGCGGUACUACCACCUGGCAGCUAAUCCAGGCCGCGCGCGGUACUACCGCGCAAGGGAUGCGGUACUACUGCAGUGGUGCGGAUGUAAAAAAUUACAUCCGCCCCUACUACAACGAAGGAGCGGUACUUGGCCUGGGGGCCAUGGUACUGCGGCUCCAGAGGAGCGGUACUACCAUGGGCACCUACGGUACUACCGCGCCGAAGUGUGGUACUACCGCUCAACAAGGAGCAGUACUACCGCAAGCACACCAACAGCAGUCAGGACAAGGGAAAAGAGGAUCAAUGGACGAUGCUCCAAAGUGCAGGGGAAAGGAGGGGACAAGGAAGAAAACGUGUACGUGAUGAUUCCAUCCAAACCUUUCUGACCCGGACCCCCUCUUGAUAGUACGGCUUUCCUAUGACUCAAAUCCACCAAAAAGAAACAUAGAAAAGACGCCGUCUUCAACAGUCUUCGAGGGGCACCAAACCGUCUUAUGCCUAGCGAUGAAACGUCUGGGAAACUCAAGGCACACGAUUAGUCCGCAAAAGCAUUGUCAUCAAUCAUCAAAACACCUUAGGGAUAAAUAUGCCCUUACAAAUGUUCUUAUCCGGUGAUUCUUAGGAAGAUACUAAUGGAGCUUCAAGUUCAUCAUUCUUAGUUCUCUUUUCUUCUCCAUUGGAUUCAAUUCAAGCUUUCGGUGUUGAUCAUAUUCCUUUCCGUGUUUCAAAUGUGUUCUCAUGCCGGUGCACCUCUUAAUCAUCCACUCUUGCUAUUCUAUUGUUCCGGAGUGCUGAAGAUGCCUUAGAAGAUUCGUUUCCAUUCUUAAUCCAUUCAAGUUAUUUCGUGGUUGUUACCUCAUUCAAGCCAUUUAAUUCAACCAGUGCAAUCUCUCUUUUCAAGCAAUCACUUCAAUGGUGUAUCUUUUGAGUGGGCCCUAACCCACAGGUCUUUACCCAGGAUCUUACCUGACUCUUCUAAUUUUCCAGAGUUAUUUUCAAAAUCAUUUCAAAGUUUGACGUAAGAAUGAAUUUUCAUCAGUCAAAUGCCUUUCUCGAAGAUCUUUCAAAGUCUUUUCAUCGUUGGUUCAACCUUUCUAAUUUUCAUCCCGGAGUAUCUCAACAAUUCAUGGUGGUAUUUCUCGUCGUCAUUCUCGCGUUUCUGAAGUCCGAAGAAGAGUUCCUCUUAAACUCUUACCCUUUCUUCCAAAGAUGGGAAGUUCAAGCUUGAUGCCAUCCUUUCAUAAUUGUUUUCGAUUGCGAGAAUCCUUUUCACCCUUCUGGAGCAUUUCAGGAGUUGUUUUCGUUUUUCUUGAUCAUCCAAAGGCCAUCAUUUCAGAAGAUUUAUUCAUUCUCAGCUUUCAGCUCUCAUUCUCCAAAUCUUACUGGUGCAUCUUUCAAGUGUUCAUUCGUUUCUAAUUCUUCCCGAUGAAUUCCGCCUUUGCUUCGCUCUUUUCCAAUUCUUACGGUGGUUUGUUCAAAGAUUCUUCUUCCUUCAUUAUCAUAUCAAUUCAUUCAUUGUUUCAAUCCUUCCGGUGGUUCGUUGAAGACCUUCUCAAGUUUGCGCUAUAUCUAUCUUAAUCCUUUCUACGAGAAUAAGUAGUAUGCCAAAUCCGUUGCUUGACAUCAAUUUAAGUUGAUGAAGGAUACACAUAACAUAAUUCUUAUUAUUGUUUCUUCCAAGUGGUCUAGUUUCUUCUUACAGAGUUGUUCACCAUGUCACAUUUCUCGGUUCGAGAUACUUCAUCUUUUUUUAUUCUGGAGUUCCAAGCUCUCUCAAUUAUAUUGUCGCGAAACUCCAUCUAAAUCAUCGCAAGGCUCCACCUUCUGUUUUCAACUUCCUUUUCCUUCAAUCAUCCUUUUAUUACCGGAGUUCUUCAUGGAGGCUCUACAUGGUGCUUCGUCAGGGUUCUUUUCAUUCUUCAAUUGUUCUUCAAGAUUUUUCUCAAAGUUGUAAUCCGCCAAGCUAUACUCUAUAAUAAACAUGGUGUUCAACACAUGUUUAGUUUUGAGGAGUUCAAGUAUUCUUCAUCUUGCAUUCCAAAGUGGAAUUCGUUCUCUCUUGUCUUUUGAGGUGGUGUUAUGUCACUCUUGACAAUUUCCCUUCGUGUUUCAUGAUUCACAAGUUGUCCGGAAUGACAUAUUUUAAACCCAUCCUUUUCAUUUCGUUCAUGAGAUCCUUUGCAACCCAUCAAUUUCUUCAUUGGACUUAUCUUGGGUUAUAUUUCACCUAAAGCUUUCCCUAAGGAUUGUGCUAUUUAUGGUGCUCAUAAAUGACCCAAGUUCUUCAUUUAUCCUUCCGGUGAAAUAAGCUUCUCGUCUCCUUGUUGAUAUCAAUCCAAUCUAUUGUUUUCGUUAGUCGCAGAAUUUCACCUCAGUUUUGAGAUGUUUUCCAUAAGCCCACGACAAGCUUAUCCUUUCGUUGUUGAUAAUUUUGAGUUGUGAAGACCAUGUUCUUUCCUUUGAUUAUCCAUUCAACUGGAGUGUUGUGUCAUCCCUUCAAUUUCUUUUCAUCUUAUCAAGUUGUCUUCUCUUUUUCUACCAGAGUGAUGUCCAAAUUAUAUCAGUCUUAUGCCUUCUCUAUCUUGUUUUAACCUGAGUGUUGUGUCAUCUGCUCAAGUUCUUUUCGUCUUAUCAAGUCUUUCAUCUUGUUUCAAUCAGAGUGCUUGCAUCUACUCCCUAUCCAUUGCAACCAUUUUCUUAUGUCUUUCAACCUACAAGGUUCUAGUAAUGUUCCUUGUUCCUUUUUUCUAACGGAGUGUUUUCAACUUUGUUCAUCUUCGUUGUUUUCUUCUUUAAAUUUGUUCAACCUCGCAAGGUUCUUUGGUUUCACUCGGUUGUCAAAGAAGCAACUUUGGUUUACCUCUUCAUCUUCCAUUUUCCCUCCGGUGCCAUCCUAGAUCUCGGGACGAGAUCCUCUUGUAGUGGUGGAGUGUUGUAACGCCCCGAGACCGAUGCACCAGGUGUCUUCCAGUUAUUCAAGUUGAGUGCCUUGUCAUAUCUUUGCUUCUUGCACCAUGCUCAUCACAUUUGGGUAUAUUGCUUUGUCAUGCCCAUCAUCGUCUUAUUGCAUUGCCUCUUGUCAUUUUGCAUGCUAAUCAUAUACCUUGUGGUAAUCUUCAUAUUGUUGCCAUGUGCAUUUCAUUCAUCCUUAUGUGGUGUGUUGUUGUUAUGAUGUGUGUGAGCAUCAUUCCUUGUCAUCUCUCUCUCAAGCCAUACCCAUGCAUCAUCACCUCUCACUUCCUUCUUCUUUCAUGUUUUUGCAAGUGACUUUAUUCCUCCUCCAUUAAUGUUCGUCCUUUCCCUAUAAAUCUUGCCUCUUUCAUACACCCUCUCUGUCAGAUUUCAUCCCAUUCAAAGUUGUUUUGGUCAGGUUCAAAAAUGAUUGAACUUUGAGAAUAAUCCAAACUCUAAUUAUUUUUCUGAUUUCUAAAAAUGCCAGAGCAAUUUAUUCAAACCCUACAUAAAUCCAGGGUUCCAGAUAUAUAUUUAUAUAUCUCAUAUUCCUAACCAAAACCCGUGGACUUUCCCCUUUGUUGAUUGUUUAUUUAUAUAAACAAAAAAAUAAAAUAAAGGAAAAGGCCCCUUACUUGUUCAGCUACUCACUGGGCCUCCCAACUCCUACGCAGGCCACAAACCUACAGCUGGGCCGGCCUUUAGGCCCAACCGCCCCACCUACACCUAACCCUAGCCUCAACCGACCUAUCCCUCUCGCUCCCCUGCUCGUUCCCACCGCCGCCAGAAGCCAUCUCCCUCGACUCCUCCUCUAGCGCCGCCAGAGACAUGCACGCAGGCGCAGUCCUUUGCUUCGACCCAACAUCAUCCUUUCCCUCGUUCUCUUAUGCCGCCUCCCCCUCAUAUCGAUCUCUCCCUGUCCUCUCGCUCAAGCUAACCACCCCGCGGCCCCGCGAGCUCGCCUGCCCGCACGGCCAUGGCUUCGCCGCCCUCGACCCGGCUCGCCCUCGACGCCCCCUUCGCUGGAGCCCUUCCUCCGCCUCUGCUUUGGCCUCCCACAACAGCCACGCCGCGCCCUCAAGUGCCUCACCUCCCACAGCCGGUCCAGGACCUCCUCGUCGCCUCCUCGUCUACCUGGCGCCACUGACUUGUAAGCUCCAUCGCCAGGGGAGGAGACCCUCGACCUAUCCCCUUCGGCCCCGACUCCGGCGAGCGCCGCCCUGUCGACUCUCCUCCGCGCGACGCCUCCCCUCUGCUGCCUCGUUCCUUUGCCUGCGACUGCCCUUUUCUUUCUCGCCUUGCCUCACGCGACCCACAUGGGCGCUGGCCAUGGAGGCCACCGUGCCGGCCUGCAGCUUCGUGCAUGCUGCCUUGCCUUCCUGCUACUUUGUCCGACUUCGGACGACCUCCAUCGAGCUCGCCCGGCCACCUUCGACCUCGGCGUGGCCCUGCCUCCAGUAGCAGCCUCCUGGAGCCGGCCAUUUCCAUGGGUUCGGGGAGCCCCAAGUCUUGUCCGUGGCCUCGUUGGCUGUUCAUGUUAUGCUGUUGGCUUUCUCCAUCGUCUCCCUGGGCUCAUCAAAUCCUGUACCAGGAGCCCAAGCCGGAAGACUCCGUGGAUGUGCAUCUCACUUGUGCCAUUUUGGAUCGUCAAGAAUGUUUCGAGAUUCGCCAAGUACCAUUACGCCAGGAGACCAUGGAUCCGUGAAGUUCCACUACCGUCGCCAUGGAUCCGACAAGUUCGCGAGUACGACCACUUACCACAACGACCUUGUACCACUACUGUCGACGAAGACAUGUGCACCGCAAGCGUCAAGUUCAACUACCGUCGACGGCGAAGGGUUUGGAGUCAUCAGGCACCUCUCUAAACGAACGGGAAUGACUAUCAUAGCCGAGAUCGCGAGAACCUCUACCGACGACCUCGGAACGUGUACGAUGACCGUUGUCGAAGACCCGUACCUCUACCACUUCCUGAACAUGUACCACGACUUCAAUGACUUCCGUGAACCGCUACUUCCACGAUGGCCGUGAACGACUACUUCCCUCGACGAACUCGAUACGCUUCGAAGGUAUAGCCCCGAGACGACCGUCCGAGAAUGAUUGCUUGUGUUGUAUGAGAUGCACCGGUUGUCUGCACUGUGUCGGUAGUGUCUCUCGCUUCCAUGCUGUCGACACUUGGGACACCCGGUAACCGGGAGGACCCCACCUUCUAUCUCAUGUUACGCUCCUAUCACUUUUCCUUUUGCACCGGUAUCUCCGUGAGCUAUCGGAACCGGAAUGUUGCCGUGGCACCAUUUCCGUUGUCAUUGUCAUGGCACCCCAUUAUUUCCACCACGGUGACAAAUGUUUCAUAAUUCCCUUAUCAACAUUUUCAUAAAAUUGAUUAAACUUGCAUAUGCCAUUCGCAUCAUGAUAAUAACAUUUAAAAUGUUUAAAAUUGUUGUUUGUAUUAAAUUGCUAAUGCAUAUGGGGAUUUACUGGAAUUGUUGUUUGUUAUUUCCGGCCUCAUUUAAACUUGCCUAAAUGUUUAGUUUACUUAUGCUCCACCUCUUACCAUGUUUAAACAACAUUUAAUUUGUUGAGUAGUUUAAACGGGAGAGAACUAAAUAAUUAAAUGUGGUGUUGUCGGUGUCAAAACCAGCGGAUCUCGGGUAGGGGGUCCCGAAUUGUGCGUCUAAGGCGGAUGGUAACAGGAGGCAGGGGACACGAUGUUUUACCCAGGUUCGGGCCCUCUUGAUGGAGGUAAAACCCUACGUCCUGCUUGAUUUAUUCUUGAUAAUAUGUGUAGUACAAGAGUUGAUUUACAACGAGAUCGGAGAGGCUAAACCCUAGAAGCUAGCCUAUGGUAUGAUUAUAUGUUGUCCUACGGACUAAAACCCUCCAGUUUAUAUAGACACCAGAGGGGGCUAGGGUUACACAAGGUCGGUUAUAAAGGAGGAGAUAUCCAUAUCCGUAUUGCCUAGCUUGCCUUCCACGCCAAGUAGAGUCCCAUCCAGACACGAGACGAAGUCUUCAAUCUUGUAUCUUCAUAGUCCAACAGUCCGGACAAAGGAUAUAGUCCGGCUGUCCGGAGACCCCCUAAUCCAGGACUCCCUCAGUAGCCCCUGAAUCAGGCUUCAAUGACGAUGAGUCCGGCGCGCAGUUAUUGUCUUCGGCAUUGCAAGGCGGGUUCCUCCUCCGAAUACACCACAGAAGAAUUUGAAUACAAGGAUAGUAUCCGACCCUGCAAAAUAAGUUCCACAUACCACCGUAGAGAGAAUAAUAUUACCACAAAUCUAAUCUGCUGACGCGUUUUGGCAACAUGACAUCAUUCCAUGGCCCGGUGAUUAUUCGAACCAUUUUUCUUUAACCAGCCCCGCACAUAACCCGAGGCGGUUUCUUGACACGUCUUGUCAAAGCAGAGAUCGUGUCCCCCUCAUUAUGGGAUUCUCAUUAAUACGGGCAUGGGUAACCCAACCGCGCCACCAAUUAUGGCGCUUGGGGGAUAAGCGAGUUUUACCAGGCUAGUGGGGACGCAUAGUUUCGUCCGCCCUUAUAAAGGGAUAAGGUUUAACCUUCUUCUACCCACACCUUCUUCCUCCUUGCUCAUCCAUUCUCGCGCACUCGAGCUCCAACGCCCAAGUCCACAUCCUUCUCCUCAACCUUCUCCAAACAUGUCCGGAGCGGGAGGCAAGUGGAUGGCUUCCUCCAUUACGGAGGGACACAUCAAAAAGCUGCACGGGGCCGGAUACUUAGUUGCGGAUAUCGCGCAUCGGCUGCCCGCUGCAGGGCAGAUCGUCCCUACCCCGGAACCUCACGAGAGGGUAGUUUUCCUCCACCACUUCCUCCACAGACUGGGGUUUCCCCUCCAUCCAUUCGUCCGCGGUCUUAUGUUCUACUACGGGCUGGACUUUCAUGAUCUGGCCCCAAAUUUCGUCCGCAACAUUUUGGCGUUCAUCGUCGUGUGUGAGGCUAUCCUCCGCAUCCGUCCCCACUUUGGCCUGUGGCUGAAAACCUUCAAUAUCAGCCGAAGGUGGUGGGCGGCCAGCAAGCGGAAUGCGGCAGAGCCAUGGUGGGCAAGAUGCCCAACGUUAUAUGGCUCGAGGGCUCCUUCAUGGAGACCAUAAAGCGGUGGCAAUCGGCGUGGUUCUACAUCACCGAGCCGCGCGACACCAACUGGGUGGCGGUCCCCGAGUUUCGAUCCGGAAUCCCCAUGCGGCUCACUUCCUGGAAGGAGAAGGGCAUGUCCUGGGGUUCAUCGGUGGAGCUGGACGGACUCUAGAAAUGUAUCCGGAACAUGGCAAGCAAGAAACUUAAGCUUGUCAACAUAGUCCAAGUCAUGCUCUUCUGCCGGAUCCUCCCGUGUCAACAAUGGGAUUUCAACUUAUGGGAUGUUCAAGGGCGCCGAGGUCCCUCCCUCUCUCAUCGAGGACCGCGGGCUAAGCGCGAAGCGCCCUGCGAAUCCGGUAAGUUCUGUACAUCUGGUAGGGUAUUUACUUCCCAUUGCUUAACCACGUGCAGGGUCUGAGCUCCCAUGCCUUUGACAGGACUGGGUGGAGGCAUCGGAGCAGAUCGACUGUCCGGCCCCUCCGCCCGAAGAUACUGCGGACGCUCUCCUGACGGAGAUGCUGACUCCGGCUCCUUACAAGGUGCCGGAGAAGACUAAGAAGAAGGCCAAGGGAAUCCGAAAGAGUUCCCGGCGUCAGGUGGUAUCGGACUCAUCGUCCGAUGACUCCGCGACGCACUCCUCCCACGAAGACGAGGAGGAAGAUGAAGAUGCUCCCCUUCAGCCGGGGGAGACAAGAAAAGGAAGGCCGCCCCAACCGGGGGGCGGGGGGCGAAGGGUCCAAGAAGGGAAGGACUCUCCUUCCGGACUGCUCCACCACCGCCGCUGAAGGCGAAGACGAGUGGCUGCUCAGGGUCAAGCCCCUGGCGAAGUCGUAAGUAUUCGGAUACUAGAGUAACUCAUAGCAUACCUCUAUUGCACUGCUUCUCCUAAUGUCGAAUAUGAUUAUGCAGACCGCCCCAAGCCCGUAUCGACGUAUCCUCGUCGGACGGCUCCUUGGACUCGUCGGAUAUGGAUAGCGAUCCACUCCCGACCGCCACCUCCCCUUGCCCUACGGACAAUGCCGAGGUAUUGUCUCAAGAGGCACUGGGUCGAGGGGAGACAGUCCCGGAGGCGCCCCAAGGUGACCUUCCGGACUCCGGGAGCUAAGGGAGUAAGGCUCCCGAGGGCUCCGAGUUCGGCCUUCAGCCGAACACUGCACCGGAACCUCCAGUGGUAACGGACUCGGGCAUGCGGCCUCCUUCCAAAAGGGGCAAGACGCCCAUGCCGGUGACCUCUGUCCAUCCAGAGGCACCGGACAACCUGCUGGGAGCGCUUCGCGGUGCUUCCAUCGACGAAGAGCACCGCACUAUUAUGAGUAUGGUGAUCAAGAAGGUUCAGUCCGCUAAGAGCGGACUGACUGAAGCCUGUGCUAGCCUUCUAACAGGCUUUGAGGUAAGUAUUUAAAAUAUAGGAAAAAUAUUACCGCAUAGACAGUAGCCCCUGAUGCUCUGUUUGGUGUUCACAAAGAAAAGCCGAAUAGAGGAUCAAAUAACAUCUGCAGGAGUCUAAUAUAAGUAUGUCUAUAUGCGUAUGCAGGCUUCGCUGCUGACCUCUGCCGCACUGACUGUGGAGGUCGCCGCACUGAAGCAGGACCUCAAGGGGUCCGAGAAAGAGCUCGGCCUUGCUAAGAGGCAGCUAGAGGAGAACAAAGGUAAGUAAUACCUAGUCUAUAUAUAUAUAGAGUGACACUAUUCUAAUCCCAGGGUUAAAAUAACUAUUUGGAUCACGGCUGGCCCUAUAUAGGCCCGACGGGGUGUUUCCGAACUCCCGAAAAAUAAAAGAACCGGCCCACACAGUUGUCUUCCACCUCCCGUUCCCCACAUCUCCCACGGACGCAGAUCCACCUCGCGCACCCCCACACCCGAACCGCUGGCGAACCACCGCCCCCGGCACAUCACGCCUCCCGGCCGCCUCCUCCCGCAACCGCCACAGUGGUUGCCUCCAUCCCCAACCGCCGCUCGUGCACCUCGUUCGGGAUCCCGCUGCCACCCUGUGCGUCGAUGAGCUUCAGGACCCCGCUGCCACAUCGCGCGUCGUCGGCCUCCCGAAACUCGCCGCCACCUCGUGCGCUGCCGGCCUCCUGAAACCCGCCGCCACCCAGUGUGCCGCCCUAUGUCGCCACCACAUCCCCGUGAUGCGCCAUGCAUAGCUCCGUGCACCGCUUCCCUUUCCUCCCCCACAACUUGGCUGCAGCUUCCCCAACCUCGGCGUGCGGAGUCGUCCUCUUGCCUCUAUCAACCAAAUUCCACUGUCACCAUGGUCUGAUACCCUAUGUUGCCAUUAUCGCGUGGUCGCUUCAUCAAACUGACGUCCACCAUGCCGACCUGUUUUGACACGUCGACUGACGUGGGGGCUUCAUUGUCACGCUAUCAAACUACUCUGUUUCCUCAGCUGGACCGGGGGCUUCCCCUCGGCACUUUGGCACCGUCAUGCUAUCACUUUGUCAAGUCGAGCUCUUCGCUCGGGUACGUCAAGACUAGUUUGGGGGUUGGGACCUUGAGCCACUACAAGCUCGGCCCACGUCACACCGAGCACAUUAACCAGCUAAGUCGCUUUCAUGCUCAAAAAAUUUUAAGUUUUAAAUAUUUUUUUCGGUUUGACCAAGCAUUACACUUUUUUGACAAAAAGUCGUUUGCGAAAAACUUUUUUUGUCAAAACCUUGUUUGUUACAAACAAAUUCAAAUAAAAUACCCCGUUUACGAUUGUCACGAUCGGGUCAUCCGAACUCGGACCUCAGACUGGGUGAAGUCGAAAGCUAGUGCUCUUAUUGUUUUCAAUCAUGGUCGGCACACAACGGAACUCAUGAAUACAAAAAAUCUAUUGCACAAGUCUCAUAGUAACAAUGAGCAACCGAAGAAAGGUACCGAUGGAGGUACUAUUUUCUUCGAAGAUGCUUCUUACACUUCAUCAGUAAUAUAGCAUAAGUUCCCUGAGCGCGCUUUGUCUGUUAUAGCCUUAUGGCCUGAUUGCCUGGUUAUCGGAAACACCAUCGAUAUUCUCGACAUGUGUAGUACAUAACACUUUUCGGCCCUUGUCCGAAGAGGGAGAAGCCGACGGUCGGUUAAGACGCGUUUAAAGUUCGGAUGAACACAUAUAUGAUAUAAGUACUUCGGUACAUACAAUCAUUAUACAUAAAAUUAUUUUACCCAAAUCACUUGGGGGAUCUUAAAUUAAUAUGAGUAGUUUUGUAAUAGAUGUUUUCUUUUUAGUCGUUGCAAAAUCUUUUUCUACCACUCCUUUAUCGACUCAAGUGUAUGAUCAAUAGCCGGGUAGCCUGGUUUCUCUCUAAAGCCGCUCGCGUUUAGUUUGCUAAACUGGCCCGAGAAACACUCCGCCUUCGGGAUAGGGAGGUUGAAGCCGAGGGCUGACCCACUUGAACUCUAGAGAUCAGAUGUGUCAUGUCAAAGCAUGACGGAAGUACAAUUUUAAGACCAAUUUCUUAUUGGCACCAAAACAGCUUGAUUCAAUCUAGAGGCAAAGUUUUUUACGCAUGUUUUUGGCCUUUGGGCUUAUAACAUCUUUUCACCUAUUUUAUGUUUUCCUUUCAGGAAGCAGGACAUUCUCUUGGUUGAGGUUUUCGGCAUGAAACUCUUUUCUAAAACUACAGUUCGACAUCUUUUCUGCCGUGCCCCACCUCGGUAUUGUCAAAACAUACAUGACAGUUGAACUAGUUCCCGAGGAGGUACGAUCCUAGGGUCGGCCAUGUUGCCCAACCCAAUUCUCGCGGGGCUACUGCAUUGGCAAUCCAAUGCAGAAAAUUUAAGUGCAAUAUAGUUUUCGAGGAGAUUAUGAUCCUCAGGUUGGUCGGCCGCACCCAACCCGAGUCUCGAGGACUUUGCACACUGCUUUUUGUGUCCUGAAGUAUUCUGCCGAGCUAAGAGUUGAUCCUCAGGUCGAUUUUGCGAAUCAACCUGAGUCUCAGGGGCUACUGUGAUCAGCGGUCUUAUGUCAUCCUUCAGGUGCAUCUUGGGUUUUAGACCGAUACACACGUUGAGGGCUACUGGCUAUAUAUCUCGGCAGAGAAUAAAUUGCACCAAUCAAAAAUAUUGACAAAAAAUCGGCCCGUGGUCGGGGUGGUGCGCCACCUCGGAAGCAGUCCGGCAUAAAGCUCGGGCACCAGUGGCUGGCUCCAUAAAGGGCAUUUCUGGCAUUAAGCUCGGCUAAACUCCUUCAACUUUUUUUGAACCAAGGUUUAUCUAUGGCACCUCGGACACAGUCCGGCGUUGGAGCUUGGACACAGUCCGACAUUGGAGCUUGGACAUAGUCCGACGUUGGAGCUCAGAUAAAGCCCGGCGUUGGAGCUUGGACAUAGUCCAGCGUUGGAGCUCGGGUACAUUCCGACGUUGGUGCUCGGCUGCAAAAGAUACCUCGAAUGUAGUUCGGCGUUGGAGCUCGGACGCUGCCGCCCGGAAACAACUUCAAACCCAAGGUGUGGCAUAAAAAUAAAAAGGCAUUGAUAAAGGCCGCAAACUUAAAGGGGCUCCUUGGAUACCCGACGUGUAAACUCUUCGGAUGCACUUCGGCGAUGCUCAAGAUCGAAGAUGAUAAGAUUUGUUGAACUAGUUUUCAAGACCAACGACCGAAGAUGAAGAACAGUUUGGAAGAAUCGAGGAGCGUCCCCAACUUGAAGACCGGUUCAGGGGGCUACUAACGGUGUCCUGGACUAGGGGGGUACUCACCACGUCGUCUCCCGACCAGUGGGUCGGGCCGAGGACCCCCAUGGCGGUUCACUAUUGGGCCAGUUCGGACAGCCCAUGCCGUAUACAAGGGAGAUCCCACAAAGACUUGGCGCUUAAGACGAGGACUCUCCUAAACCCUAGGCCUACGGUGUGUUAUAUAAACCGAGGCUAGGCUAGUCAAUAGACAUCCCCAUAUGAAUACAAUCAAAAGAAGGAUGUAGGGUUUUACCUCCAUCAAGAGGGCCCGAACCUGGGUAAAACCCCAUGUUCGUGUUACCAUCGCUCCAAGACGCCUAGCUUAGGACCCCUACUACGAGAUAUGUCGGAUAUAGAAUCGACAUAGCCCAUGCUCACUUUUUGCUCAUCAUGACUGGAAAGUACAAAUACACAUGUCCAGAACAGUAUGACCGAAUCAUCUCCGCUGAGCUCCCUAACAAGCACAAGUACCCAAAGUUAUACAAAAUGGUAAUCAAACAUAUGAUGCAUGCUCCUUGCGGUGCAUUGAAUAAAUUUUUUCCAUGCACAAAGAAUCGUCCGUCAUGCAAGAACAAUUAUCCAAGGCCAUUUAAUGAAACUACAAUCCAAGGAAAGGACUCCUGCCCACUGUAUAGGAGACGCAAUGAUGGUCGGACUGAAACGGUACGAAAAUGCCAACUGGAUAAUAGGUGGGUGGUUCCUUACAACCCAUAUCUUUUGUGGAUGUUCAACUGCCACAUAAAUGUUGAGAUAUGCUCGAGCAUUAAAGCCGUUAAGUACUUGUUCAAAUACAUCUAUAAGGGACAUGACCGAGCAUCUGUAUCUGUAACUGACAAAGUGGACGAAGUUGCAAUUGACGAGAUUAAACAGUAUAGAGAUGCGCGGUGGGUGACACCUCCGGAAGCACUAUGGAGAAUAUAUGGCUUCGAAUUAAGCAAAAUACACCCACCAGUCUUGCAACUGCAGCUACAUCUUCCAAAUAUGCACAUGGUUUCAUACCAUGGCAUGGAAUAAAUAAAGAAUAUUAUUGACCGUGAUGGCACAUAAAGAUCAAUGUUGGCUGCGUACUUUGAAGCAAACACCUUACAUGAGAAAGCACGAGGCAUACUAUACAGAGACUUUCCGGAAUAUUAUACUUGGCAAAGACAAGGGAAGUUUUGGCAGGAGAGGAAACGAGACGCUGUGUUCCAGGUUGGCAGGAUGGUCUCGGCACACCCGGCUGAAGGAAAACAAUAUUAUCUUCGAGUACUCCUAAACCACGUUCCAGGCGCCACCAGCUGUGAAGACCUACGAAUAGUCAACAGACAAGUAAUGCCAACCUUCCGUGAAGCUGCAGAAAAACGGGGGCUCAUCGAGGCAGACAACACACUAGAUGACUGAAUGACAGAAGCAGAGUUGUUUCGAAUGCCAUCAUCACUACGAAGGCUAUUCGCGACAAUCUUGGUUUUCUGCGAACCCAGUGACGUACGUGGCCUAUGGAACAAAUACCUUGAUGCAAUGUCAGAAGACUACAGCAGAAACUGUAAAUGCAAGCACACAAUCGAACAGAUGGUGCUGAGAAAUAUCAGGGACAUGUUGCACUCAAUGGGAAAAGACAUAGAAUCAUUUCCUCUUCCAGAGAUCGACAAACGACAUGAGACGACCGACGACAUACCUAGGGAGAUCGUUGAGGAGACCUCCAUCGAGGUUGACCCUGAGGACGUAUCGUUGCAUAAAAACCUAAACAUCGAGCAGAGGAAGGCCUACGACGAAAUCCUAGCCACGGUUGACCGCCAAAGAGGAGGUAUAUUCUUUGUCGAUGGGCCGGGAGGCACAGGAAAAACUUUUCUUUAUAGGGCGCUCUUGGCCACAAUACGCGAACAAGGCAAGAUUGCCGUGGCAACGACCACUUCCGGUGUUGCCGCUUCCAUAAUGCCCGGAGGGAGGACCGCACACUCGAGGUUCAAGAUUCCACUAAAAAUAGAUGAUGGAGCUAUUUGUAGCUUCACAAAACAGAGUGGGACAGCAAAGCUACUCCAAGCAGCAUCACUAAUAAUCUGGGAUGAAGCAUCUAUGACAAAGAGACAGACAGUGGAGGCGCUAGACAAAAGCAUGCGGGACAUAAUGGAUAGACUAGAUCUUCCAUUUGGUGGAAAAACGAUCGUAUUUGGGGAAGAUUUUAGACAAUUGCUACCUAUUGUCUGAAAGGGAACAAGAGCCCAGAUAGUAGAUGCAUCACUACGCAGGUCGGAGCUCUGGAAUUACAUGCGUCAAUUGAAGCUUGUGCACAACAUGAGGGCUCAAAUGACCCAUGCUUCAUAGAAUACCCACUACGCAUUGGAAACGGAACCGAGAAGACAAAUGAUGAUGGUGAAAUACUUCUACCUACAAGUAUAUGUGUUCCAAAUAAGACGGAUGAUACCGGCCUGGAUAGACUUAUUGACAGUAUCUACCAAACGGGAAAUGCUUACCUAAAAGAUCGAAAGUACAUCAUGUCAAGAGCAAUUUUAUCCACAAGGAAUGACUGCAUAGACAAGAUCAACCUAAAUAUGAUUGAUCGCUUCCAGGGGAGGAGAUGGUGUACCACAGCUUUGAUUCUGUAGAAGACGACCCACAUAACUACUAUCCACCAUAAUUCCUAAACACCCUAACCCCAAAUGGACUGCCUCCACAUAUGCUGAAGCUAAAAAAUUGUCCAAUCAUACUACUCAGGAACAUCGACCCUGCUAAUGGGCUCUGCAACGGCACCAGACUGGUCGUACAUGGAUUUCAGAAAAAUGCAAUUGAUGCAGAGAUUGUGGUAGGCAGCACUCUGGAAUGCGAGUUUUCUUGCCUCGGAUACCAUUAUGCCCAUCUGAUGAUGACAUGUUCCCGUUCAGUUUCAAGAGAAAACAGUUUCCAGUCAGACUCAGUUUUGCAAUGACAAUAAACAAAUCACAAGGCCAGACAAUACCAACUGUCGUUGUCUACGUGCCUGAGCUUGUUUUCUCACAUGGUCAAUUAUAUGUCACGCUUUCUAGAGCAACCGCGACAUCGGACAUAAAGGUACUAACAGGUACACAUGAUGUGAACAAGGGGACAAAUAAAAAAAAUAAAGGUGACACAUACACAAAGGAGAAGAAGAAAAGGAAGAAUAUGAUCAGUACAAGCAAGACAUACACAAUGAAUAUUGUCUACACAGAAGUCUUGACCAAAUAGGUAAUGCAAUUUUUCAAUUUUGUGUUUAUAAAUUCAGUUUCAACUUAGUACAUUCAUUCAUGAACAACUUAAUAAUUAGUAUUACACAUUGAAUCUCUAAUUUUCUAACCUUAAAAUUACUUCUUGCAUUCUUCAGGACAAUCAAGCUGUCAACUUCGGAGUUAGAAUUCAGAACUACUUGAUCGUCUUGAAGGAGGAUGUCUUCAUGUUCUAAACCACUAACUUAUUCAUUGAUAUUUAUUUAUAUAAUAUGUCCAAUAAAUUAUUAUUUUUUAUUCAAAUAUUUGAUCACUUCGAUGAUCUCUAUUAUGGUUAUACAAUCUAUAUAUGUAAAUUUACCAACGAUGAGUAGCUAAGGUGAAAUUGAGACUUACCAGUCAAUAUAGAGACAUAUUUCUCGCCUUGGAGCUAAUGUUGUUGCACUGAUUUUUCUAAACAUCGCUUUAUCUAAGUCCAAGAAACCUGAAAAAUAUCUGACACAUUGUAAGAAAAUACAUAUCAAUUUCACAUUGUAAGAAAAUAUCUGAC
RNAcentral lists this long non-coding RNA (151197 nucleotides) under Triticum aestivum (bread wheat). RNAcentral describes it as "long non-coding RNA (TAES_LNC005292)". Lineage: Eukaryota; Viridiplantae; Streptophyta; Magnoliopsida; Poales; Poaceae. The record is from RNAcentral.